Molecule: long non-coding RNA, 140476 nt
Filed under: Citrus x clementina
Lineage: Eukaryota; Viridiplantae; Streptophyta; Magnoliopsida; Sapindales; Rutaceae
Description: Citrus clementina (C. clementina) long non-coding RNA (CCLE_LNC002884)
Rfam family: Plant small nucleolar RNA R71 (bases 102358-102461)
Source: RNAcentral
ACAAAUCCUGCUUGAGAGAUCUAAGCCAUUGCCUUUCCUAACAGGCUGAUUCAUCAUCAUCAUCCUUAGCUUCCAUGGCAACCCAAAUUGCAACCUUGUCAUCAAGAUUAAUCCAGCACCCUAAAACCAAAGGGUCCAAGAAAAUCUGGCCGACAACGUCACAUCAGCAUUCUGAGCGCUGGACUCAUCAUAAUUCGGAUCAAAUUAAUGAUGAUCAUGUGAAGGGAAAGAAGAUGAAGAUGAAGCGGAAGCCAAAACACUGGGCACAAGAACGUUCGAGAUUAGGGUUUUGGUACGUGACAACAUCUAUAAGAUACACACUAAGGAAGGCAAGAGCCUUUUACAAUGAGUUCUGCAGCGAGAAGUACGAUGAUAAUCCGAAAGUGUUCAAACAAGUAAUGAUUGCUGACCCUUAUUUCUCAAUCCCAGUGAUCCCCCCUCCAAUGUAAAUUAACACUGUACUUUAGUUAUGUCAAAAGUUCGAAGUUAUAUAUGAUUAUGAGUUAAUUAAGCCAAGGUAAUGUUUAAAAAUAAUAUCGAGCGUACCUAAUUUGAGCUAUAUCUAAAAGUGUUAUGCUGCAAUAAUGUACUAAAUCACACCCAGUGAUACUCUAUAUGAUAAAAGUUUGUAUGUACUAAUAUUCAUUCAAUCCAAUUUGUCAAUUGCACACUUUAAUGUAAAUGUCAAAUUAUAUAUAUAUGUGUUUCUAGCUAGGAUCAACUAAUUAAUUUGUGGGGAGAAAGCGUUAAUAAUCUCCACUCAAGUUAUUGAAUAUAAUCCUGUAAAGUUAGCUUUCUACAUUAUAUGGCACGAUCAUUUUUUUACUUAGGUUUCUGACCUUCAGCGAUUUAUACACUAUCCAUUAUAUCCAUUGAUUUUAGUGUAAAAUCUGCAUGCUUUUAGUUAACAUUUUUGAAAAUAUUAAAUUUAAAUUUAAUAUUACAGUAAAAAAAUCUGUUGGGAACCUACUGUCAUGAUAUAUAACUGGCAAGAGUAAUCCAAAAACCUACUUCAGUGAGAAAUUAUGUACCACAUUUUCUAUGUAACUAGUGAAAUUGAUACUGGGAGGGAGGUGCGGUAAGAACUACUGAUCCAAGAGAUGACUCUAAAAUAUGUAUGAUUAAAAGGACUAAGAAACCUCUAAGGGGAACUGAUCAGUCUUAGCUACUUAAAAUUUAUGUACUAUAAUAUUUGGAAACACUCAAAACGCCAAACGGGCCUACAAAAUUUUUUAAAAUUCAUUCAAAAUUCAACUAAGUUAAUCUAUGUCACAUCCUCUUAAAGUUACGAAAAGGUGGUACUACCACAAGAAAUGGCCUCCAUAUAUUUCAAUUCAAUGGCUGCCUUCUGGAGUUUUACAUUUCUAUUUAUAGUUAUGUGUUAAACGAUUCAUAUUGGUGCUUGUUUUCCAAUUUGAUGUUUAAUCUGUUUUCAUUACUACUAUCAAAAUAAGCAUCAAAUUUCCACCACAUAAAAAGAAUCCAUAUGAUAAUGUCAUAUAAGGACCACCAAAGAUAUCAUAUAUUUUCUUGAAGUACUUCAAUUUAUAAUAUAGAGCAAAGUCGGCCGACAUGAUUGAAUGUCGGUGAGGGUAUUCUUUUCUUGGAAAUUAAAUAUGCAUUUGAUUUAUAUCGAAAAGUUAGAGAUCUAGUCCUAUCUUGAUUAUCGUAUCACUCAUUUAUUAAAUAAUAAAAUUUAUAACUUAUAAAAUUACUUAAAUACUAUUUAAUUGAUGAAUGUGACAUCAAUUGGAACUAAAUUAGAAAUUAAAUAUUAAGAUACUUAGUAUUGCUCCUAUAUUUAUGGGUGAUUGAUGAUUAAUAAAUUAAUAAUGGAUAAGGAAGACGCAUGACAUAAUAAAAGAGCUUUCAACAUUUCAAUCUAUGUGGGAUUUAUCUAUGAAAUGGUAGUUAGAAUAGAGUAAUAAAUAAUUUUACAAAAUAACGAAAUUAAUCAUCCAAUAGAAAAGUAUCACAUAAUAUUUAAGUUAAAAUACUGCAAUAAUAAAUGGAAAUUAUAGUAUUAUUAUUUUAAAAACUCACCGGUGGAUCGAGAUCUAAAAACUCAGUACUUUAAAUAUUUUCCCUUAGCCAUGUUUGGCAUGCCGCGUUAUACUGUAUUGGCGCUCUGCAUUGCAUUAAAAUAUGACAAUACGAUGUGUUGGUGCAAAUUUUGUCCCAACUUAUGAUAUGAAAAUUUCGACUGAGGACAACCCCCUUAGGACUUGGGUUCCUCUUUAUUAGAUUUUAUGAUGGUGAGUUCAUUCUUUGGGCUGAUCUUUAUGGGCCUUUAUAUAUGCUCUUCUGAGUUCACUUCCUUAGGCAAUCAGAAGGUCCUUGUCUUGUGAUACUCUACAAAUACAAGGAAAUGAUCAGAGGGCCGGCUUUGCCGGCGUAAACCCUCCGACGGUCAAGUCAAUCACCGGACUUUUGGAAAUAUAAAUUUAGAAAGAGAAAGAUUAGAGGGAGAAAGUUAGCAUUUUUCCCUUUUGAGUCUCUUUUUUGUCUUACCUUUUAGUGAGAAUGAAAGACAUAUUUAUCGACCAAACUGAUUUGACUUGGGUCCUAGUUAUUUUGAUGACAAAUGUCAUUGUUCUUGUGACAUUUGGCAACACUUGUCCUCUAGUGCCCAUGUGGAUUGACACAUGGAUAUACAAACUUGUCUACAGAUUAGAGGAAUGAACGUUUUAUCCUUAGGUUAUUUUUACUAAGACCUUGGGAUCAUAAGAGCCUUCAAACUUAGGAGGUUUGUUAUAGGAUAAGAGUCUAGAACCUCAGCACGUUUUGAACUUUAAAUCAUUGCCACCUAGUUGAUUUAUCCUAGGUGAUUUGUCUUUGGAUAGGAAUCUAGGACCUUGGCUCCUUUUAGGCUUUGAAACCUUGUUACUUAGGAGGAUCAUUCUAGGUGAUUUGUCCACCACUUCGUGGGCUUAAUUGGGAGGAAAUUUAUUAGACGGGCCUUAUUGAGAUUAAAUUUAUUUGGGCCUUAUUAGACUUAUUUUAUUUUUGGUCCAACACGAUGUUUGGUACUUCUUCGAUAUUGCAUUAAGAAAAAAAUUAAUGUUCACUCGGGUUUAUACUAUAUUAGCUUCUUCUUCUUCGUCUUCUCUAUUUCUCUCUCUUUCUUUUUUCCUUUUCCUCUCUUCUUCUUCGUCGUCCCUGUUACUCUCUCUCUCUUUUUGUUUUAUUUUUUCCUUUUCCCCUCUUCAUCUUCAUCUUCUCUGUUUUUCUCUCUUUUCUUUUUUCCUUUUCCCCUCUUCAUCUUCAUCUUCUCUGUUUUUCUCUCUUUUCUUUUUUCCUUUUCCCCUCUUCUUUUUCUUCGUCUUCUCUGAUUCUCACUCUCUCUCUCUUUUUUCUUUUUUUUUUUUCCCUUUUCCCCUCUUCUUCUUCGUCAUAUUUGUUUCUCUCUCUCAUUUUUCUUUUAUUUUUAUUUUUAUUUUUUUUCCUUUUCCCCUCUUCUUUUUCGUCUUCUCUGUUUCUUCUUCUUCUCAGUUUCUUGUUUGUCAUCUUCUCCUCCAUUUCUCAGUUUCUUAGGGCCCGUUUGGUAUUAUUUUUGAAUUUAUAUUUUCUGAGAAUAAAAAUGAAAAUGAAAAUGGUGUUUUGCAGUUGCUGUAUUUCGAAUUUAAGUAUGCAUCUGGUAUUAUUUUCUGUAUCCUGUAUUUUAAAACUGAAAACAGUAAUAUGCGUUUGGUAUACACAGUUGAAAAUGAUAAAAACAGAGAAUAUGCGUUCGGUAAUACUUUUUUCAAAAACAGUUUUUACUAUUAAGCAUUUACUGUUAACAUAAAUAUUUCUUUAUUAUUGAUUUUGAUGAUAACAAAUUUGAUUAAGAUUUAUUAUUAAUCUUUUAAAAGCUCAAAAUAGUUUUCAUAUACUUUUAAAUCAUCAUUCUCACUUUAUAAAGGCUUUAUUAUAUAUUCUAUGAAAAUAUUUUUGGUUAUUCUCAUGUUAAUGGUUUCAAUUGAAAAAGCUUUGAGAUAUUGCUUAAAAUCCUAAAAAUGGACCUAAUCGACAAGUUUUAUAAAGUUUUAGGCCAUAGUAUAAUUUUAUAAAGUUUUGGAGUCAAAUUAUAAUUUUACAAAAUAGUUACUGUAGAAAACGGUGAUCCGACAUCUUGAUAACGACUCCCCGACAUCGAACAGAAUUGAAGAUUAGUCUCUGGACACUAACGGCGAUCUGACAUCUAGAUAACGGCUCGCCGACAUAGAACAGAAUUGAAGAUUAGUCUCUGGACACUAACGGCGAUCCGACAUCUAGAUAACGACGAUCCGACAUCGAACAGAUUUGAAGAUUAGUCUCUGGACACUAACGGCGAGCCGACAUCUAGAUAACGGCGAUUCGACAAUUUAAAAAUUCAGCCCAACGACGAUCCGACAAAUACAACAUAAUAAUUUAAAACAAAAUUAUUAUAAAAAAUUUACAUGAUGAUAAAGUUUUAGAAUUAACAUUAAUUAAAAAAAAUUACAUUGUCAUUGUUUUUACAUCAUAAUUAAGAUAUAUAUUACAACACAUGAUUUAAACAAAAUAAUUAUAAAAAAAAUACAUGAUAGACAUUAUACAUUACGUAUGUAAUCAUGCCACAUAGAAGCUGCAAUUCUAUCUCUUGUAGCACUCAUCUCGGCGACACUUGCUGGAGAUAAAUCAAUCUUAGUAAGUGGCCUACUAGUGUCUCCUUCUUCGUUGGUAACCAAAUCUUACACAUCAAAAUCCCCAAAUAACCUAUCACUUGCAUUUUCUCGUCAAAUAAAGUUAUGUAAAGCGCAACACGCAAUUGGAAUUAGACGUUGCUUACGUAAACUAUAAUUAUGCAUAUCCCUUAAAAUUGAAAAUCGCGCUUUUAAAACACCAAAGCAUCGCUCAAUUACAUUACGCAAUGAUGAAUAUCUAUAAUUAAGCAACUCAUCACUUAUAGUGUUCCAAAUUUUCUUAGUGAAAGUUGAUGUUUGUAAAUCACCCUUUUUAACAUGGUCAUGUACAAUGCGAAUAAAAACAGUUUCGGUCCGGCUAGACCAAUCAGCCUUAUCCUCAACAUCAACAUCAUGUGAAUCCAUAUCUUGAAAAAUUAGAAAAAAUAACACAUCAAAUAAUGAUCAAAUUCAACAUAACAUAUACAUAUUUCAGCAACAUGUCAUACAUUAAAAACUGAAUGGUACCCGAAAAAAUAAAAAAUAAAACAUAUAUCAAAUAUUAAUCAAAUUAAAAACACUGCUAUUAAAUUUUUAGAUAUAAACAUACAAUUUUCAGUACAUGCUAUUAAUCCCCCACUCAAUUUUCAGUAAUGUAAUAACCCCCAAUACGAUUAAUCUACAAUACUCUAGUUUCAGUACAUGCUAUUAAUCUACAAUAUCAUCGUAUUAAAAACAAUUAAUUAGCUGAACAAAAAAAAAGAAGGGUGUUUCAGAACCUAUUCAACCCACGAGUUCUAUCACCAGUCAUGACCAAUUCCUUAUUUUAUUGGGUAAUUUUUACCAUAUUUUAUUAGAGAAACUAAAGUGAGAUCACAAAAUAAUUGAAUAAAAAUUAAAACAUUUGCCAUUUCGUCAAAUAUGCACCAUAAUUUUACAUUCAACAUCUCCUAUUUGUUUGAGGUCCCUUUAAUAAACCAAUAAACUCGAAUUAAGCAUCUGUAUAAAAGAAUUCCCACAAGAAAUUGUUUGUUUUAAUAGAUUUAAUCUCUAAAAUAAAUGAGGAAAAAUCCUAGUAGGUUGGCCAAAAUUUGUCACUACAUAUGAACAACCUCAGAAAUUUUCAGAAGCUUUAAAAAUCACUCAAAUCAUCUCUCAAAAAUUUCAGCUCAUAAACAAAAUAAAUACCGGCAAGUGACAGAUUCGGGAGAGCAACAAUGGUUGGGCAAGUGCAGAUCCGAGUGAGCAACAACGAAGCAGCAGUAGACGAAGAUCCGAGAGAGCAAGUGCAGAUUCGAGAGAGCAAAGAUGAAGUAGCAGUAGCUGGACGGAGACGCAGUAGCAGCAGCUGGAUGGAGUCGGAGCAGCAGCGGUUAUGGCGGAGAAAGAGCAGUGGCAGCGGCUAGCACACCAAGAGUGACCAAGAGAGAGUGGAUCGAGAGAGAAAGAUGUUGGAUGAAGAUAAGGGGAAGGAGAGAGUGCAGAUUUGCUGCAACUGGAUUGAGAAAAUUGAGGGGAAAGAGGGAGCUGCAGUGAAUUGGAUUGAGAGUGAGGGCUGCAGUGAAGAGAAAAGUGAGGGUUGCAGGGUCACGAUUUUUCUUUUGUUUUUUAAUUCAUUUUUAGGUUUAGUCUGUAAAAUUUGGAGAACAUGUUUAACUUGUUUUCAGUUGUGUAGUUAUAAUAAUGAAUCCGGAUUUUGUGUUUUGUAAUUUGUUUUGUGAAAAAAAUUCACCGAACAUGUUUUAUGUGUGUAUUAUAAAAAUGAAAACAAAAACAUGGCUUGAAAAACGGUACCGAACGGGGCCUUAGCUUUUGUGCUUUUGCAUUUGCUGCUUUUUUUUUUUUACUUUUGCUUUUUUUAAAUAAUAUAACUUUUUAAUAUAAUAUAAUAUAAAAUUUUCUUUUCUUUUAUUUUUAUAUCAUAAUUAUUAAUAUAAAUUAAUAAUUUAUUAUUCAUAUUUUAAUUUUUAUUAUAUUAAAAAUAUUACUAAAUAAUGUAUUAUUUAAUAAUAAUUAAGGAAUAGGAAGUUGUAAGGACCUGUAAUCACUAAUCAUCUAACAUCAUUAAAGAUAGUUGUCUUGAUUCAUUUCAACAACUAAGAGUAUUAGGAUCAUACUUAUAUAAUUACAUUAUAAUCCAAUAUAAAAUGUUUGCUACAACUUCAUAAUCUGACAGGGCCAUGCAUAUCAACAUAGCUCCACCCUCUGAUGUUGUCAUCAGUUGGAAAAGCUUAUUUUGCAAAAAUUAAAUGAAUCCUUUCUAGAUUAGAGAGAAUACUAAGGAACCAAGUUUUCUUAUAAUGUUACACUUAUCACUAUUGGUUGAUCAAAAGAAGUAAUCAGUAAUUUUAGUGGUAAUGAAAUUUACAAUUACAUAGGUGAGUGCCAUCUAGCUAGUGCUGCUGCUAGCCUCAAAAUCCCUUCUUUGAUAGCACCGCAGCCAUAAUUUUCAAAGGCUUGGGUCCCACUUCUGCUCCAUGUGGUGUCUGUUUCUUAAGCCUCUUCUCUUCAUUUUUGGCUGCCAAACUUCACAUUUUAUAGCCAAUUAAGUCUGCUGCCUCUCCUUAUUUCCGCUGCCAAGCUUCCCCUUGAUUAUCCAAUUGUUUGGAGGCCACACAAAUUUCUACAGGAGGCAAUGUGUUAUGCAAGACUCCUUUGAGGACUACUUCAGAUUUAUUAUCAAUUUUACCCGCCACAUGUCAUCAUUUUAGAUCGAACUAAAAUACAAUAAAAAGUAAUUUUAUUAAGUUCAAUUAAUUAACCUGUUUGAUUUUAAAACAAAACACAAAAAGAUGUGACUUUUCUCAAAGUUCAAACUGUCUCAUUUUGCAAAGCCACGAAACCCACAUAAUUCUUUUUUUUUUUUUUUUUCUCUUUUAGUUACAAGAAAUAAUGGUGGAAGGUUAUUAGGUGACAGCUCUCCUGAGGAUCAGGAGCUUGACAGAAUGUUUUUAUCUUUUUUGUGACAUAUCAAAUCACAAUUUUCUUUUUUCACUGAUAUUUGUCAGAUUUGAUUCAGAACAUGUACGCUUACGAAGGCCUGGAAAUUAAAUGUGCGUUGGAUUCUUUAUAGCUCUUUAAGAUAAUGCUUAAUAUUUAUGAUUUUUUAAAUAAAAUAUUCAAGAAUCUCAAUUUCCUCCCCCAACUCAGGAAGAGAGCUCAAUUCUCACCAGUAACACAACCCAAAUAAGUUUUUUUCAUAAUUUGUUGGAUUAAAUUUCCCUUUUAUCAAAGUAGGUUUUCAAGUUCCCAACAAACUUCUUAAGACUGCAGUCAAACAUUUAAGAAAGCUUGGGGAAUUGACAGAUAAAGACUGAGAAAGAAACACAGCGAUUGGAGCAUGGUACCGUGGCAUGAAAGUAUUGAACUAUUGACAGAUGAAAAUAAACGAGUCAUGUAGUACUUGGAUAAUAAGAGUUCGUAUCCUUAAAGUACACUCGUUUAUUAAAAUUACAAGAAACUCAAAUAAUAUCAACACAAAAUCGUACCAACUAAAAACAAGAACUAAUAUCUUAUGAAGGUUGGUGAUUACUAUUAGUUGGUUUAUUAAACGACAUUUGUUGCCCUUGAACAUUGUCAAUGACUACUAAAAAGAUUUGAGAUAGUGGAGGAUUUUUGCAUGACUGGCAAUUGUAUACCAUUUAUUCUUCCAUCAUUUGUAAUCAAAUAGUUACUCAGAUUGUUAGUGGCCGUGUGUUCUUGGUUUAUUUUUUAUCGGUAUUUUUUAGAGUUUUCUCAGUAUCAUAUUUUUAUUAAAGGUUUUCUCAUUUCACCAGCAUCCAUGCUUAUUGUGAGCAUGUUUACAGUUGCCGGAACAUUUAAUAUUAGAAAUGAAAUAAUUAGAUAUGCAUUGACUUUAGUGUUCACUUUGCAUCAAGUUUUUAUACAUUUCUUUUUGGCAAAAAAUACUGUUUGGAUUCACGCCCUAACAUUACUUAAGUUUAUUCUUCCAUCCUUUUCAGACCAUUGUAAUCAAAUGGUUACUCAGAUUGUUAGUGGCCGUGUAUUCUUAGUUUGUUUUUUAUCGGUAUUUUUUAGAGUUUUUACUGAAUAUCAUAAUUUUGUUAAGCGUUUUCCCAUUUCACCAGCUUCCAUGCUUAUUGUGAGCGUGUUGAUAGUUGCCGGAACAUUUAAUAUUAGAAAUUAAGUAAUUAGAUAUUCAUUGACUUUAGCGUUCGCUUUGCAUCAAGUUUUUAUACAUUUCUUUUUGAAAACAAAUACCGUUUAGAUUCAUAACAUAGCAUUACUUAAGUUUAUUCUUCCAUCCUUUUCAGAUCCUUGUAAUCAAAUGGUUACUCAGAUUGUUAGUGGCCGUGUGUUCUUGGUUUAUUUUGUAUCGGCAUUUUUUAGAGUUUUUGCUGAAUAUCAUGAUUUUGUUAAGCGUUUUCUCAUUUCCCCAGCUUCCAUGCUUAUUGUGAGCAUGUUGACAGUUGCCGGAACAUAUAAUAUUAGAAAUGAAGUAAUUAGAUAUGCAUUGACUUUAGCGUUCACUUUGCAUCAAGUUUUUAUACAUUUCUUUUUGAAAACAAAUACCGUUUGGAUUCAUACCCUAGGAUUACUUAAGUUUAUUCUUCCAUCAUUUUCAAACCCUUGUAAUCAAAUGGUUACUCAGAUUGUUAAUGGUCGUGUGUUAUUGGUUUGUUUUUUAUCGGUAUUUUUUAGAGUUUUUGCUGAAUAUCAUGAUUUUGUUAAGUGUUUUCCCAUUUCACCAGCUUCCAUGCUUAUUGUGAGCGUGUUGAUAGUUGUCGGAACAUUUAAUAUUAAAAAUGAAAUAAUUAGAUAUGCAUUGACUUUAGCGUUCGCUUUGCAUCAAGUUUUUAUACAUUUCUUUUUGAAAACAAAUACCGUUUGAAUUCAUACCAUAUCAUUACCUAAGUUUAUUCUUCCAUCUUUUUUGCACCCUAUCAUUUCUUUUGUAAUAAAAUGGUUAGUCAGAUUUUUAGUGGCCGUGUGUUCUUGGUUUGUUUUUUAUCGGUAUUUUUUAGUGUUUUGGCUGAAUAUCUUGAUUUUGUUUAGGGUUUUCUCAUUUGACCAGCUUCUAUGCUUAUUGUGAGCAUAUUGACAGUUGCUGGAACAUUUCAUGUUAGAAAUGAAGUAAUUAGAUUUACAUUGACCUUAACGUUCGCUUUGUAUUAAGUUUUUAUACAUUUUUUUUUGAAACAAAUACCGUUUGGAUUCAUACUCUAGCAUUAUUUAAGUUUAUUCUACCUCACUUUUGUAUCACAUAUAAAGUAGGUAGCCUAAAAAUACAUUCUUUGCUGGCACCAUAGCUUUCAAAGUCUUGGGUCCCAGUAUUGCUACUUGUGCCUAUGUUUUUUAAGCCUUUGCAUCUCCCCAUUUUGGUUGCCAAGCUUCUCAUUUUGUAGCCAACUAAGCUUCUGCCUCUCCCCAUUUUUGCUGCCAAACUUCCCAUUUUAUUGACCAACUGUUUGGCGGCCACGUGAAAUUUUACAAAAGCUUGCCCUUUAUGCAAGACUCCUUUGAGGGUUACUUUCCAUUUGCUGUCAAAUUUACUUUCCAUGUAUCAUUGUUUUGGAUAGAACUAAAAUACAAUAAAAAUUAAUUUUAUUAGGUUCAAUUAAUUAACCUAUUUGAUUUUAAGAAGAAAAAAAAUCCAAAAAAAUUGAUUUUUUAUCACGUUUAAACUGUUUUAUUUUACAAAGCAACCAAACCCAUACAAUUCUUUUCUUUUUUUUUUUAAUUAAGUUAUAAGAGAUAAUGAUGGAAGGUUGAUUAUUUUCUUUUGAUAAGGCCAGGUUGUAGAAGCUGCAACCAACAGCCUCGACAUUUUCACCUUGCAUGAACAAAUGCCUUGGCCUGGUUGCAUCAGCACAAACACGCGUGGAGGAUUCCGAUUGGCUAUGUUACGUGCAGAAGUUGUAACAUAGCAAGGUCCAUUUUCAGAGUCUUCAUACAGUAAUCAAAUGGCUACUCAAAUUGUUAGUGGUCAUGUGUUUUUAGUUUUUUUUUUAUCGGUAUUUUUUAGAGUUUUUGCUCAAUAUCGUGAUUUUUGUUAAAGGUUUUCUCAUUUCACCAGCUUCCAUGCUGAUUGUAAGCAUGUUUACAGUUGCCGGAACAUUUAAUAUUAGAAAUGAAGUAAUUAGAUAUGCAUUGACUUUAGCGUUCGCUUUGCAUCAAGUUUUUAUACAUUUCUUUUUGAAAAAAAAAUACCGUUUGGAUUCAUACCCUAACAUUACUUAAGUUUAUUCUUCCAUCAUUUUCAGACCAUUGUAGUCAAAUGGUUACUCAGAUUGUCAGUGGCCGUGUGUUCUUGGUUUUUUUUAUCAGUAUUUUUUAGAGUUUUUUUUAAUAUCAUGAUUUUGUUAUGUAUUUUCUCAUUUCACCAGCUUUCAUGAUUAUUGUGAGCAUGUUGAUAGUUGUCGGAACAUUUAAUAUUAGAAAUGAAGUAAUUAGAUAUGCAUUGACUUUAGUGUUCGCUUUGCAUCAAGUUUUUAUACAUUUCUUUUUUAAAACAAAUACCGUUUGGAUUCAUACCAUAUCAUAACCUAAGUUUAUUUUUCCAUCUUUUUCACACCCUAUCAUUUCUUUUGUAAUAAAAUGGUUACUCAGAUUUUUAGUGGUCGUGUGUUCUUGGUUUGUUUUUUAUCGGUAUUUUUUUAGUGUUUUUGCUGAAUAUCUUGAUUUUGUUUAGGGUUUUCUCAUUUCACCAGCUUCUAUGCUUAUUGUGAGCAUAUUGACAAUUGCUGGAACAUUUCAUGUUAGAAAUGAAGUAAUUAGAUUUGCAUUGACUUUAACGUUCACUUUGCAUCAAGUUUUUAUACAUUUCUUUUUUGAAACAAAUACCGUUUGGAUUCAUAUCCUAGCAUUACUUAAGUUUAUUCUUCCAUCCUUUUUAGACCAUUGUAAUCAAAUGGUUACUCAGAUUGUUAGUGGUCGUGUAUUCUUGGUUUGUUUUUUAUCGGCAUUUUUUAGAGUUUUUACUGAAUAUCAUAAUUUUGUUAAGUGUUUUCCUAUUUCACCAGCUUCCAUGCUUAUUGUGAGAAUGUUCACAGUUGUCGGAACAUUUAAUAUUAGAAAUAAAAUAAUUAGAUAUGCAUUGACUUUAGCGUUCGCUUUGCAUCAAAUUUUUAUACAUUUCCUUUUAGAAACAAAUACCGUUUAAAUUCAUAAUCUAACGUUACUUAAGUUUAUUCUUCCAUUCUUUUCAGACCCUUGUAAUCAAAUGGUUACUCAGAUUGUUAGUGGUUGUGUGCUCUUAGUUUGUUUUUUAUCAGACACUUUUAGAGUUUUUGCUGAAUAUCAAGAUUUUGUUAAGCGUUUUCUCAUUUCACAAACUUCCAUGCUUAUUGUGAGCAUAUUGACAGUUGCCAGAACAUUUAAUAUUAGAAAUGAAGUAAUUAGAUAUGCAUUGACUUUAGCGUUCGCUUUGCAUCAAGUUUUUAUACAUUUUUUUUGGAAAAACAAAUACCGUUUGGAUUCAUACCCUAACAUUACUUAAGUUUAUUCUUCCAUCAUUUUCAGACCCUUGUAAUCAAAUGGUUACUCAGAUUAUUAGUGGUCGUGUGUUCUUGGUUUGUUUUUUAUCGGCAUUUUUUAGAGUUUUUGCUGAAUAUCAUGAUUUUGUUAAGCGUUUUCUCAUUUCACCAGCUUCCAUGCUUAUUGUGAGCGUGUUGACAGUUGGCGGAACAUUUAAUAUUAGAAAUGAAUUAAUUAGAUAUGCAUUAACUUUAGCGUUCGCUUUGCAUCAAGUUUUUAUACAUUUUUUUUAAAACAAAUACCGUUUGGAUUCAUACCAUAUCAUUACCUAAGUUUAUUCUUCCAUCUUUUUCGCACCCUAUCAUUUCUUUUAUAAUAAAAUGGUUAGUCAGAUUUUUAGUGGCCGUGUGUUCUUGGUUUGUUUUUUAUCGGUAUUUUUUAGUGUUUUUGUUGAAUAUCAUGAUUUUGUUAAGGGUUUUCUCAUUCCACCAGCUUUUAUGCUUAUUGUGCGCAUAUUGACAGUUGCUGGAACAUUUCAUGUUAGAAAUGAAGUGAUUAGAUUUGCAUUGACUUUAACGUUUGCUUUGUAUUAAGUUUUUAUACUUUUUUUUAAACAAAUACCGUUUGGAUUCAUAUCCUAGCAUUAUUUAAGUUUAUUACACCUCACAUUUGUAUCACAUAGAAAGUAGGUAGCCUCAAAAUACCUUCUUUGUUGGCACCAUAGUUUUCAAAGGCUUGGGUCUUAGUGUUGCUGCAUGUGCCUCUGUUUCUUAACCUUUUGCAGCUCCCCAUUUUGGUUGCCAAGCUUCUCCUUUUGUAGCCAACUAAGCUUCUACCUCUCCCCAUUUUUGCUGCCAAACUUCCCAUUUUAUUGACCAACUAUUUGGCGGCCACGUGAAAUUUUACAAAAGCUUGCCCUUUUAUGCAAGACUCCUUUGAGGGUUACUUCCCAUUUGCUAUCAAAUUUACUCGCCAUGUAUCAUUGUUUUAGAUAGAACUAAAAUACAAUAAAAAAUAAUUUUAUUAGGUUCAAUUAAUUAACCUAUUUGAUUUUAAGAAGAAACAAAAUUCAAAAAAAUUGAUUUUUUUAUCACGUUUAAACUUUUUUAUUUUACAAAGCAACCAAACCCAUACAAUUUUUACUUUUUUUAUUUAAGUUAUAAGAGGUAAUGGUGGAAGGUUGAUUACUUUCAAAGGACAAAGCUAGGUUGUAGAAGCCGCAACCAACGGCCUCGACAUUUUCACCUUGCAUGAACAUAUGCCGUGGUCUGGUUGCAUCAGCACAAACACGCGUGGAGGAUUCAGAUUGGCUAUGUUACGUGCAGAAGUUGUAACAUAACAAGGUCCAUUUUCAGAGUCUUCAUACACUAAUCAAAUGGAUACUUAAAUUGUUAGUGGUCGUGUGUUUUUAGUUUGAUUUUUAUAAGUAUUUUUUAGAGUUUUCUCAGUAUCAUAUUUUUAUUAAAAGUUUUCUCAUUUCACCAGCUUCCAUGCUUAUUGUGAGCAUGUUUACAGUUGCUGGAACAUUUAAUAUUAGAAAUGAAGUAAUUAGAUAUGCAUUGACUUUAGCGUUCACUUUGCAUCACGUUUUUAUACAUUUCUUUUUGGAAAAAAAUAUUGUUUGGAUUCAUGCCCUAACAUUACUUAAGUUUAUUCUUCCAUCAUUUUCAGACCCUUGUAAUCAAAUAGUUACUCAGAUUGUUAGUGGCCGUGUGUUCUUGGUUUAUUUUUUAUCGGUAUUUUUUAGAGUUUUCUCAGUAUCAUAUUUUUAUUAAAGGUUUUCUCAUUUCACCAGCAUCCAUGCUUAUUGUGAGCAUGUUUACAGUUGCCGGAACAUUUAAUAUUAGAAAUGAAGUAAUUAGAUAUGCAUUGACUUUAGCGUUCACUUUGCAUCAAGUUUUUAUACAUUUCUUUUUGGCAAAAAAUACUGUUUGGAUUCAUGCCCUAACAUUACUUAAGUUUAUUCUUCCAUUCUUUUCAGACCAUGGUAAUCAAAUAGUUACUCAGAUUGUUAGUGGCCGUGUGUUCUUGGUUUAUUUUUUAUCGGUAUUUUUUAGAGUUUUUACUGAAUAUCAUGAUGUUGUUAAGCGUUUUCUCAUUUCACCAGCUUCCAUGCUUAUUGUGAGCGUGUUGACAGUUGCCGGAACAUAUAAUAUUAGAAAUGAAGUAAUUAGAUAUGCAUUGACUUUACGUUCGCUUUGCAUUAAGUUUUUAUAGAUUUUGUUUUGAAAACAAAUACCGUUUGGAUUCAUACCCUAGCAUUACUUAAGUUUAUUCUUCCAUCCUUUUCAGACCCUUGUAAUCAAAUGAUUACUCAGAUUGUUAGUGGCCGUGUGUUCUUGGUUUGUUUUUUAUCGGCAUUUUUUAGAGUUUUUAUAAAAUAUCAUGAUUUUGUUAAGCGUUUUCUCAUUUUACCAACUUCCAUGCUUAUUGUGAGUGUGUUGACAGUUGCCGGAACAUUUAAUAUUAGAAAUGAAGUAAUUAGAUAUGGAUUGACUUUAGCGUUCGCUUUGCAUCAAGUUUUUAUACAUUUUUUUUGGAAAAACAAAUACCGUUUGGAUUCAUACCCUAGCAUUACUUAAGUUUAUUCUUCCAUCCUUUUCAGACUAUUGUAAUCAAAUGGAUACUCAGAUUCUUAGUGGCCGUGUGUUCUUGGUUUGUUUUUUAUCGGCAUUUUUUAGAGUUUUUGCUGAAUAUCAUGAUUUUGUUAAGCGUUUUCUCAUUUCACCAGCUUCCAUGCUUAUUGUGAGCGUGUUGACAGUCGCCGGAACAUUUAAUAUUAGAAAUGAAGUAAUUAACUUUAGCGUUCGCUUUGCAUCAAGUUUUUAUACAUUUUUUUUAAAAACAGAUACUGUUUGGAUUCAUACCAUAUCAUUACCUAAGUUUAUUCUUCCAUCUUUUUCACACCCUAUCAUUUCUUUUGUAAUAAAAUGGUUACUCAGAUUUUUAGUGGCCGUGUUCUUGGUUUGUUUUUUAUCGGUAUUUUUUAGUGUUUUUGCUUAAUAUCAUGAUUUUGUUAAGGGUUUUCCCAUUUCACCAGCUUCUAUGCUUAUUGUGAGCAUAUUGACAAUUGCUGGAACAUUUCAUGUUAGAAAUGAAGUAAUUAGAUUUGCAUUGACUUUAAUGUUUGCUUUGUAUUAAAUUUUUAUACAUUUUUUUUUGGAAACAAAUACCGUUUGGAUUCAUAUCCUAGCAUUAUUUAAGUUUAUUCCACCUUACUUUUGUAUCACAUAGAAAGUAGGUAGCCUCAAAAUAGCUUCUUUGCUGGCACCAUAGUCUUCAAAGGCUUGGGUCCCAGUGUUGCUGCUAUGUUUAUUGUGAGCAUGUUAAAGGUUGCCGCAACAUUUCAUAUUAAAAAUGAAGUAAUUAGAUAUGUACUGACUUUAACGUUCAUUUUGUAAAAAGUUUUUAUACAUUUUUUUAAAAACAAAUACUGUUUGGAUUCAUACCCUAGAAUUACUUAAGUUUAUUCUUUCAUAUUUUUCAUACCCUACCAUUUCUUUUAUAAUUAAAUGGUUACUCAUAUUGUUAGGGGUCGUGUGUUCUUGGUUUGUUUUUAUCGGUAUUUUUUAGAGUUUUUGCUGAAUAUCAUGUUUUUGUUACGCGUUUUCUCUUUUCACCAGCUUCCAUGCUUAUUGUGAGCAUGUUGACGGUUGACGGUUGACGGUUGACGGUUGCCGGAACAUUUAAUGUUAAAAAUGAAGUAAUUAGAUAUGCAUUGACUUUAGCGUUCGCUUUGCAUCAAAUUUUUAUACAUUUCUUUUUGAAAACAAAUAUCGUUUGGAUUCAUACCCUAGCAAUAGUUAAGUUUAUUCUUUCAUCAUUUUCAAACCCUUGUAAUCAAAUGGUUACUCAGAUUGUUAGUGGCCGUGUGUUCUUGGUUUGUUUUUAUCGGUAUUUUUUAGAGUUUUUGCUGAAUAUUAUGAUUUUGUUAAGCGUUUUCUCAUUUCACGAGCUUCUAUGCUUAUUGUGAGCAUUUUAACAGUUGCCGAAAUAAUUCAUAUUAAAAAUGAAGUAAUUAAAUAUUUAUUGACUUUACCGUUUGCUUUGCAUCAAGUUUUUAUACAUUUUUUUAAAACAAAUAUCGUUUGGAUUCAUACUCUAGAAUUAGUUAAGUUUAUUCUUCCAUCCUUUUCAGACCCUUGUAAUCAAAUGGUUACUCAAAUUGUUAGUGGCCGUGUGUUCUUGGUUUUUUUGAUCGGUAUUUUUUAGAGUUUUUGCUGAAUAUUAUGAUUUUGUUAAGCAUUUUCUCAUUUCACAAGCUUCUAUGCUUAUUGUGAGCAUUUUGAUAGUUGCCGGAAUAUUGAUAUUAGAAAUGAAGUAAUUAAAUAUUUAUUGACUUUACCGUUCGCUUUGCAUCAAGUUUUUAUACAUUUCUUUUAAAACAAAUACCAUUUGGAUUCAUACCCUAGCAUUACUUAAGUUUAUUCUUCCAUCCUUUUCAGACGCUAUCAUUUCUUUUGUAAUAAAAUGGUUACUCAUAUUGUUAGUGGCCGUGUGUUCUUAGUUUGUUUUUUAUCGGUAUUUUUUUAUAGUUUUUGAUGAAUAUCAUGGUUUUGUUAAAUGUUUUCUCAUUUCGCCAGCUUCUAUGCUUAUUGUGAGCAUGUUGAUAGUCGCUAGAACAUUUCAUAAUAAAAAUGAAGUAGUUAGAUAUGCAUUGACUUUAACGUUCGCUUUGCAUUAAGUUUUUAUACAUUUUUUUAAACAAAUACCGUUUGGAUUUAUACCAUAGCAUUGCUUAAGUUUAUUCUUCCAUCUUUUUCAUACCUUAGCAUUUCUUUUAUAAUCAAAUGGAUACUCAUAUUGUUAGGUGCCAUGUGUUCUUGGUUUGGUUUUUAUCGAUAUUUUUUAGAGUUUUUACUGAAUAUCAUGAUUUUGUUAAUGGAAGCUUAUUUCGCAAAAAUUAAAUUGGUCAUUUCUAUAUUAGAGAGAAUACGAAAGAACUAUGUUUUUUAUAUUCCGAGGAGCUCAGAAAGAGUUCAUAGAAAAUCACCACCUCAUGAAAAAAUCAAAAUAUAUUUGUCCCCCACACAACUAGAUAAUGCUAAUACAAUUAUCACUAUUAUAUCCCGACUGAUAUCCCUGAUGAUAUUUGUCUAUUGGUCGAUCAUAAGGAGUAACAAGUAAUUUAGUAGUAAUGAAAUUUAAAAUUUACUGUUACAAAGGUGAGUGUCACCUCGCUUUUGUAUCACAAAAUAAGCAGCUAGCCUCAAAAUCUCUUUUCUGCUGGCACCAUAAUCUUCAAAAGCUUGGGUCCUACUUUUGCUCUAUGUGCCUUUGUUUCUUGAGCCUCCGCCUCUCCCUAUUUUUACUGCUAAGCUUCCCCUUUUAUUAGCAAAUUGUUUCAUUCAAUGCAUAUACAAGCAAAUUCUGUUGGUCACUCUCACUCAUCUUGGUCAUUCAGAAAUUUUAUUUGAACUUCCAUCAUUACUUAAAUUUAUUCUUCCAUCGUUUUCAUACCCUAGCAUUUCUCUUGUAAUCAAAUGGUUACUCUUUAUGGGGGUGUGUUUUUGAUUUGUUUUUUAUGGGUAUUUUUUUAGAGUUUUUACUGAAUAUCAUGGUUUUGUGUAGGGUUUUCUCAUUCCACCAGCUUCCAUUCUUAUUAUUAGCAUGCUGACAAUUGCUGAAACAUUUCAUAUUAGAAAUGAAGUAAUUAGAUAUGCAUUGACUUUAACAUUCGCUUUGCAUCAAGUUUUUAUACAUUUCUUUGUGGAAACAAAUUUUGUUUGGAUUGAAGCAUCCACAAUAUUCUCAGUAGGAGCGAUCUUUGGAAUCAGAGGCUUUGGUUGUUGGAUGCAAAACAACGAAAAUAGGGUAGCUACUGGAGAAGAAAGUGCUGGUGGCGCUAAUGGAUAAGUAGUUCAACAAAUAAAAGCAAAAGUCAGACAUUAGUCAGACAUUAGUUAUGCUUUUACAUAUUCUACAUGACACCAGUUCAACAAAUAGAAACAAAACUCCUUGUAGAUAUUCUACAUGACAUUUACAAAAGUCAAACAUUAGUUAUGCUUCAGACAACUUGAAGACAAUGAUUCUUUGUUUAUUCAGCCCUUUCACUCCAUUUUGAUGGUUUUUGUAACUUUAGUUCAGUACAAAAUAUUGAUGAGUUAUUUGUACAAUUAGUACAUAAUUGAAGAGUAUAUUUUAUGGUAAUCACUAACCAUCUAGCGUCAUUAAAAUUGGCUGUCUUAAUGCAUUUCAACAACCAAGAAUUUUGGGAUCAUAAAACUUGAAAAUAUAAUUGCAUGAAUCCGAUACAAAAUGUUUCUUACAGCUUGAAAAUAUGUAAAGGCCAUGCAUAUCAACAUCGCUCCGCCCAUGAUAUUGUCAUCAAUAGAAGCUUAUUUAGCAAAAACUAAAUUAGUCGUUUCUCGAUUAGAGAGAAUACUAAGAAACCAUGUUUUUUAUAUUGCGAGGAGUCCAAAAAGAGUUUAUAGAAAAUCACCACCCCAGGAAAAAAAUCAAAAUAUAUUUGUCCCCCAUACAACUAUAUAAUGCUACUACAAUUAUCACUAUUAUAUUCCAACUGCUAUUCUCGGUGAUAUUUGUCUAUUGGUUGAUCACAAAAAGUAACAAGUAAUUUUACCUGUAAUGAAAUUUGAAAUUUAUUGUUACAAAAGUGAGUGUCACCUCGCUUUUGUAUCACAAAGCGAGCAGCUAGCCUUAAAAUCCCUUUUCUGCUGGCACCACAGUCUUCAAAAGCUUGGGUCCCACUUUUUCUCCAUGUGCCUCUGUUUCUUGAGCCUCUGCCUCUUCUUUUUCCCAUUUUUGGCUCCAAAGCUUCCCUUUUUAUAGCCAAUCAAGUCUAUGCCUCUCCCCAUUUUUGCUGCUAAGCUUCCCCUUUUAUUAGAAAAUUGUUUCAUCGCAUGCAUAUACAAGGAAUUUCUGUUGGUCACUCUCACUCAUCUUGGUCAUUCAAAAUUUUUAUUUGAACUUCCAUUAUUACUUAAGUUUACUCUUUCAUCUUUUUCAUACCCUAGCAUUUCUCUUGUAAUAAAAGGGUUACUCAGAUUGUUUGUGGCGCUGUAUUCUUGGUUUCUUUUUUAUCGGCAUUUUUAAAAGUUUUUGCUGAAUAUCUUGGUUUUGUUAAGGAUUUUCUUAUUCCACUAGCUUCCAUACUUAUUGUGAGCAUGUUGACAGUUGCCGGAACAUUUUGUAUUAGAAAUGAAGUAAUUAGAUAUGCAUUGACUUUAGUGUUUGCUUUGUAUCAAGUUUUUAUACAUUUCUUUGUGUAAACAAAUACCGUUUAGAUUGAAGUUUUCGUAAUAUUUUUAGUAGGAGCCAUCUUUGGAAUCAGAGGAUUUGGUUGUUGGAUGCAAAACAACGAAAACAGGGUAACUGCUGGAGAAGAAGGUGCUGGUGGCGCUAAUGGAUAAGCAGAUCAACAAAUAGAAGAAAAAGGCAAACAUUAGUCAAACAUUAGUUCUGCUUGUACAUAUUCUACAUGACAGCAGUAAAAGUCAGACAUUAGUUAUGCUACAGGCAAUUUGAAGAUGUUGAUUCUUUAUUUAUUAUGCCUUUUACUUCAUUUUGAUGGUUUUUGUAACAUUAGUUCAGUAUAGAAUAUUGAUGAGUUAUUUGUAAAAUUAAUACAUAAUUGAACAGCAUAUAUUACGGUCAUCACUAGUCAUCUAGCAUAAUUAAAGAUGGCUAUCUUGAUGCAUUUCAAACAACCAAUACUGUUGAGAUUAUACAGCUUGAAAAUAUAAUUGCAUGAAUUCGAUAUAAAAUGUUUCCUACAGCUUGAAAAUAUGCUAGGGCCAUGCAUAUCAACAUCACUCCUAUGAUAUUGUCAUCAGUGGAAGCUUAUUUCGCAAAAAAAUUAAAUUAGUCCUUUCUAGAUUAGAGAGAAUACUAAGGGACCAUGUUUUUUAUAUUAUGAGGAGCUCAGAAAGAGUUCAUAGAAAAUCACCACCUCAGGAAAAAAUCAAAAUAUAUUUGUCCCCCACACAAUUAUAUAAUGCUACUACAAUUAGCACUAUUAUAUCCCAACUGCUAUUCCCGAUGAUAUUUAUCUAUUGGUUGAUCAAAAUGAGUAACAAGUAAUUUUAGUAGUAAUGGAAUUUGAAAUUUACUAUUACAUAGGUGAGUUCCACCUCACUUUUGUAUCACAAAGUAAGCAGCUAACCUCAAAAUCCCUUUUCUGUUGGCACCACAGUCUUCAAAAGCUUGGGUCCCACUUUUGCUUCAUGUGCCUCUGUUUCUUGAGCCUCAACCUCUCCCUCUCCCCAUUUUUGGCUGCAAAGCUUCCCUUUUUAUAGCCAAUCAAGUCUCCGCCUCUCCCCAUUUUUGCUGCUAAGCUUCCGCUUUUAUUAGCAAAUUGUUUCAUCCCAUGCAUAUACAAGCAAAUUUUGUUGGUCACUCUCACUUAUCUUGGUCAUUCAAAAAUUUUAUUUGAUCAUAUGUUGUUAAAUAAAUAAAUUAUCAAGGUCCAGUUAGCUAAUGAACAAAUGAAUGAAUUGAAAUUAAUUAAUUUCUAUUUUACAAAUAAUGUAUGAUCAUCAUGAGGAACCACCAAAAUCUCUCAUCAUGUCAUCUCUAGCAUUCCGCAUCUGUGCGAUUUGUCCAAAUAUGGCCCUUUACGUAGUACCGCUGGCAUUGUUUCUUACACCAUUCAACGACGAAGGCUUAUUUUAUUUAAUGAUUUCUGGUUUAUUAGGCUUUUCGUAUUUCCAAAUAAGUUUUAUACAGCCGCUGCUACUAGAUUGUGAUAUUGCUACCUUGAAGUUUAUUAGAAGCCAACCCGUUGUUUUUAUGGAAACCAAUACCGAUGCUGCUACUACAGUAAAAAGGACCACCUAACAGCUCAGGCUCAGACGAAAUUGUGUAACUUUACAAAUUAUUUGUUUUUAGUUUAUACUAAAUUCGUAGAGCGAUAUAGAGAGAAAGAAAGAGAAAUGUUCAUGUCCAUAAUCUUGAAAUUUAUUAAAAUUUGGGAAAAAAAUUUGGGAAAGUUUUCAAACCAUGAGGUUUAAUAGUGGUUAUGUCUAUGAAAGCUAUUUAAUCAUGUAGUUUAAUAUUAUAAUCAUAUAAUGCUAUUAAAAGACAUAAUUUAAUAGUUUUUUUAAAUUUUAAUAAAGUUCAGAUGCUGGACCAAAUCAACACUAUAUAUAUAUAUAUAUAUAUAUAUAUAUAUAUAUAUAUAAAAGAUCAACUUGUCAUUUAUGUUACUAACAAUUGAAACCUUAUUAUUAUCAACUUGUCAUUUAUGUUACUAACAAUUGAAACCUUAUUAUUAUAUAUACUUGCUUGUUCACUGCAUUUAAUUUAUUUUCGAAAUCAAAAUUAAUUCUUAACCCCUCCUUCCCAAUAAAGGAAAUAGUAUCUGAUGCCAACUCUUGAGUUGAAUGAGGAAUUAAUGGGAUACACUUUGUAACAUACAUGUUUCCCAACCCCCCCNNNNNNNNNNNNNNNNNNNNNNNNNNNNNNNNNNNNNNNNNNNNNNNNNNNNNNNNNNNNNNNNNNNNNNNNNNNNNNNNNNNNNNNNNNNNNNNNNNNNGAAUUAAAUGUUACGUCAAUUGCUUGCAGAAAGUAACUCAAUCGAAUUGAAAUUUAUGCAUAGGAGAUUGAAUCCAGAAUUCGAGUCGUCCUGAAACUCAAUUUCCAAUCAUAAAUUUCUCAGAAGAUAGUGACGACCUAAAACUCAAGAAUUUGUUAUUUAAAUUAUUAACUUGAUCGAGCAUGAAAACGUUUACCAUAAGCUUUCCUUACUAAAUGCAAAAGUGAGGAUACCCCACACACACAUAUAUGGGUAAAUUAAAAUAAUAUAGAUUAAAAGAUGAUGGGACAAGACUUGGCCCGCCCUUAAUUUACCCCACACCAUCUCAACAGUCGAAAUAAUAAAAUAAUUCACUAGUUGAAAGGAAUUUAGAUCUAUCACAAACAUAUAUUGCAAUUAAAAACAAAAAAUUAACAGCUUAAUUAAUUUUUUAGAAGUAUUGUUUACAGUUAUUGUUUAUCUGCAUAAAAAAUAUUCAUUUUUUAAAAACACAAUAAAAUGCAGAAAAUAAAUGACACGAAAAUUUUUUCAUGGUUCGGAUUAAUCAAUCCUACAUCCAUGAGGUCAUGCCUAGAUGAAAAGUAAUUUACUAAGUUGAGAUGUUACAACUUAUAGAUUUACCAAACUUAAGACUCUCAUUUAUAGUUUAUCACCAUACAGUUUACUCAACCUUAGACUGAAUCUGCUUCUCUUGAAUAAUUGAUACCCCUCUUGAUCCACGUUCUUCAAGGCACUUCACAAAGUGAUCAAUAACAAUUCUUCACAAAGUGAUCAAUAACAAUUCUUCACAAAGUGAUCAAUAACAAUUCUUCAAAUUUUUAACGUCUAGUGAUCCAAGAUCCACAUAGUCUCCACAGAGAUGAAAAGAAGAUAAGAAAACAAAUCAACACAACAUUAUGCGCCAAAUCCGAAUUCUUUAGGGAGGAUGCCGAAUUUUGCUUCUCUACUUUAUGCUUUGUGUUGUGCGUCACUUCAAUUGUAAAAUACCUCUUUUUAUAUAGGCAGUAGAGUUUCACCAAAAUAGCAAGUCUUAAAAGACUUGAAUUCUUUUCAAAUAAAAGUUUCUUUCCUCUUAUAAUUCCCAUAAAUCUGAAUAGGAAUAAAUAUGAUCUUCUUGCCUUGCUUGUCUUCCAAGAAAUAUUUAAAGCAUUUAAUGAACUUCCUGUUUGAACAAAUUCUUGAUCUAAACAGAUCUCAUGCGCUAAUUAUAGAAUCUCAUCAUUAAUUGACUUUUUAAAUUAGACACCUAAUUAAAUUAGGAAAAAAAAUUCCUAAUAAAUUGGAAUCUCACUAAAUUAGGGAAUUAAUAAAUUAAUCUCUAUUAAAAAAUAUACAAUAAAUAAAUUUUCAAUUUUACUAGACUUGCCAUAAGAUGCCAACUCUAUAAAUAAUGGACUUAACACUAGUGUUUUGUUACAUGACAGAAUUGUUAAUCCAAUUGUGGGAUCGUCAAUAAAUUCCAGUGAUUUUAAUGAAACGGUCAAUGAAUUCUUACAGUGAGAUCCGUAAUUGUACACGCAAUAGAGCACUAUUGGAAUAUCUUACUACCUCAAUAUGUUGACAUGGUAGGACAAUUCGACCCAAAUUUUUCUUGUUGAGUUUUUAUUUUAUUGUCAAAUAUUUAGCUCCUUUCUACUUCAUAUUUUAAAUUUGUUUAUAGAACAACUUUAAAAAAUUAAAAAGAAGUACAAAUAUAUUAAUUUUUAAAAUAUUAAAAAAAAUUCUUUUUGUUUUCUGUUUCUUCUGGAUCGUAUAAGCUAACGCUUAGGUGAAUAAUAACCAACCGACAGUGAAACUAUCAUAAAUCACUUCCAAAACAUUAAAAAUCAUUGAUGACAAUUGUAAUAAGUAAGAGUAAUAUCAAUAAAUAUUUUAAUUAUAGUGUUAUAUAUUAUUAUUUAAAAUUUUCUAAAUUGUAUUAUAUAGAGUUGAUGCACAUGCUCGAACUGAAUAAAAUUUCUACCUAUGUCCUUUGAAGGCGAGACUACACCAUAAUACUAUUGUUAAGAAUAUCAUGAUUAACAUACCCACAGUAAUCACGAUUCUCUCAAAUCUAAAUAAAAAAUUUUGAAUAAUUAAAAUUAAUAUUGUAUUACACUAAACUUAUAGGACAUCUAGAGGAUUAUUUAAUUUGCUUUUAAAAGUAGGAUUUGGGUCAAGUCUAAAUUAAAUUUUAGUCCUCAUCUUCUUAAAAGUUUGAACUUGAAUAACCAAUCAGAUAAAAAUUAUUUGAAAAUGAUUUCAUUAGGCCCCUGGUGACCAUAGAGAGGACUAUAUAUAUUUUAGUUUCUUUGCCAAAACACAAACUACAAACAAGAGAAAAAAGAGAGUAAUGGAACAGAAAGAAAUAGUAACCUAAAUCUAUGGAUGCACAAGCGACAGUUCUUGGGAGUUUUCUCAUGAAGCCUUCGAUUCAGGAGCUGGCAAUGAGUGCGUGCGAGCGACGCUCCCCAUGGUGGUCUCUCGUUGAGCAAGUUGUGGGUUCUCAUUGCAUAGCUCACCCAAUGAGUUAGAUGCUACCACGUGUUUCUCACCAGAUCGCUUAUUUUAAUUUAAAACAAGACAUUUGCCUAUCAAAGUAGGAUUCAACUAUGUUACAACUGUGGUACGAUACCUUAGUUGCUUUCAGCUAUUGAAUUCAACUAAUGCAACUGUACAACUGUAAAUCUAAUGACUGAUUGCAACUGUGGUACCAUAUCCAAUUGCAACCUAAUUUUACCCAUCAAAGUAUCGAAUAUAAAUUUUUAAGUACAGUGGACAAGAAUGUCCGGGCCGGUCUAGUCUAGGCCUGUGGAUUUUUGGACUAACUCUUCACACGAGGACCUAAAUAUGGACAAAAAAUUUUAAAGUAGGCUGUAAAUUGGUCUAGUUAAGGGCUUAUGGAAAAGCCCAAGGUUAUGCUUAUGUAUAGUCCAUGUUCUUGGAAUUGAUAGCUCAAUGUGAUUGAUAUAGCUGGCAAAAUUUAACACGACCCGAUUACCUGACACGAACACAACAUAAAUAAAUGGGUAUGAGUUGUCAAAUUUAACACGAUUAUUAAAUGGGUCGGGUCCGGGUCAACACGAUUUUUUUCCGUGUCGGGUUUGGGUUAAAAUUAUUGACCCAUUUACCCUAUCAAUGACCCGAUUAUAUUUUCUAGUUUAAAAUAAUUUACAUAUUCUUAUAAUUAAAACUCAAAUAUUAGAGAUGAUUUUCUUUUUUUUUUAUUCUUUAAAAGGGUGAAUAUAAACACAGUGUUUUAUUUAUAAAAUUUUACAUACAUUUAGAGCUUCAAUAGUGUAAAUGUGUAAAAAUUGAUAGACAUGUAUAUUUUAUAAUAUUGAUAUAUAAUAUUAUAUAUAUAUAUAUAUAUAUAUAUAUAUAUAUAUAUAUAUAUAUAUAUAUAUAUAUAUAUAUAUAUAAUUAAAACCUCAAUAGUGUAAAUGUGUAAUAUAUUGGUAGAUAUAUAUAUUUUAUAAUAUCGAUAAAUUAUGUAUGUAUGUAUGUAUGUAUGUAUGUAUGUAUUUAUGUACAUACGUAUGUAUGAUAGUGUGUAAAUAUUUUAUGUAACUUUUGUUCAAUAUAUAGAUAUUAAAUGGGUUAUUGGGUAACCCGAUUAUUUUUCCGUGUCGGGUUUGGGUCUCAAUAUUUUGACACGAUUAUUAAAUGGGUCGGGUUUGGGUCGACCUAAAUUUGACACGACACGAAGCUGACACGACACGAACACGACCCGAUGACCCGUUUUGCCAGCUCUAGUGGUUGAUAUGCUUCUCUUUGUUACUGCUUCUCCUCAGGUAAACUCAUUGUAAAUGAUGCAAUGGAAUUUAUUCUCAUGCUCUCCAGAUUCAAGAUUGGUUCUUGGAAUUCAGAGGUUGCUCUAUUGUCAUUUUAUGCUAGCUGCUCAUAGCCAACAAUCUCAACCCUUUUCUGUAUGUUGCUCAUUUACAUUGUUUAAAGCAUGUACAAAUUCACUGACAUUCUCUCCAUUAUGGCUUGAAUACAUAGCAUUGAGCACCAUAUAAAAAAUUUAGCAGACCAACACUUAAGUCAUCUGUACUUUAAAGCUGUUUUACUACCUAUUUUGCCUGCAGUCCAUUUCCAAACAUUCACAUGUAGGUAUAUGUGUGUGUGUGUGUGUGUUUGUGGCCCAUAUUUGGUCUUUUAGUGACUAAUGGAGAAUUGGUUGGUGUCCUUUCUUCAAUUCACCUUUCUUUGAAUCUUUGUUGUAAUGGGCAAGACACUAGGAUAGAAUUUCAAAUUGAAAGAGAUUUUGUUUUCCUGAUGGGAAAGUAAACUUUUAAUGACUUCUUCUCAAAUCCAUUAACUACUAUUCAUUCCUAUGUGCUUAUUUGGUAUUAGAAAUUACUAAGCCGAGCAGUGUUGGUGAGGAUUGAAAAGAUAUGUAUAAAGACUCUUGACUUCUUUAUGAUCCAUCUGCCUCAGUUUACUUAUGUCUGGAAAUAUUUAUUGUUUAGCCAUUGGGAUUAUGUCUGUCUUCACUCUGUGUUAGCCUUAGGGCCUCGUUGUUAUAGAUUUAUGGUGCCGCUGUGCUCAGCCCAUCUAGCUUAAAUGUUGUGUGUGUAUGCGUGUGUGUGUGUGUCUGUUUUUUUUUUUAAUUGUUCACUCAAAGUGGCUAAAGUGCAAAGUGAGAUAAAUUUGGCAGGGGGUUGUAAUGUGUGUUUUACUUUGAAUUAAUUUAAGGACUUGCAGCGCUUGCUUGGUCAGUGCUGAAAUGGUUCAAAUUUUGUGUUCUGCUUGCUGAUUUUCUUGUCUAGUUAUUGUUAACACGAGUUUUGAUGGUGCCCCACAGGUGGAGUUCAGACUUGAGAAGCAUAAUGUCUUCCCCUGGUAGCUGGUCCUGUAACAAGAAAUAUCUGUUUCAGGUACCAAACACAAACCUUUUCUUUGUGCUUGUUCUGAAAUGAGUGCAAUUGUUUUGGCUAAGAACCUUGUCGCCAAAAAAGUUGUCGUGUCAAACUGCAUGGUUAUUGCUUAUAUAGUUGUAGAAGCCUGUACUGCUUCAUUUGCGUUCCUGUUAACUUGUUUUAAGUGAUUUCUGACUGACUUCAACUUACCAGGUGAUUGCUAUGGAAAUGUUGUUUUAGAACACUUAAUAGAGAAUUAUAGUGUUUCAAGGAUAUAUGUUUGUUUGCUUCUCUGGAAACAGGAUCAUUACCCAAAGUAUGUAUUCCAUUUCUUCCAACUGAAAUUUGAUGUUAACCAAGGAAUUUAGAGCAUUUUUUUUUCUAUUUUAUUUAUUUUUUUAUUUUUGUUGGUAAGUGAUAAGAUGGUAUAAUUAAUACUCAUCUCGAUCACCUUAUAAGUUUCCCUGGUAUUGAUUUAGAUAUUUAUUUUCUCUCUUCUGGUUUCAGGGGUCUUGAUGCUACACAUCCGAGAGAUGCUUUGCCUUUCUCAGCUGCGGAGAGUUUAAUGUCACGGAACAACUGAUGAGAUUAAUUACUUCAAUAACGUUAACGAUUUACCAAGCCAUUAAUAUCUGAAAUAGAAAUUCAAAAUAAAUUUUCAAUUUCAUAGACAGUACACGAUUUGAUAUCAAUCUAGCAUUUUUUUUUUUUAAUAAACUCAAAAGGGUCGGUACUACUGAUGUAAUUCUUUGCUGUAAGCUAGCAAAUAAGAAAACAGUGUCACAAUAUUUUGGUGACCGGGCCGAUGUUGCUAUGAAAUGGCCCAAUGUGGUACUAAUUCAUAUUUUAUUUUCUCCACUGAGAGCCUACAAUCAUUACAUAAAAUCACACACAAACUAAUUUUUUUUUCCAAUAUUAUUAUUAUUUUUAGUCUCAACUUGUCAAACUGUUCUUGAUUUAUGCUGUACAGUGAGAAAGAACUAGUUGGGUUUAUGAUUAUGUUGCACUAUUUCGGAAAGAUGCAGCAGAGACAGUAGAGCUAAAGUUGAAGAUGAUCAGCAGAAGACAUAGGUUGAAAAAUGAAAUCCGACUCCAGAGCAGUAGCCAGUUCUGGCCACAGGAUAGCAGACACAGUCCAAGAGCCAUCACACUUGGCACUUGGCCUUUGAUUUAUAUAACCAACUCCAGACCUCUCAAUAAUUGAACUCACUGCUCCCAGGACUGGGCUCCCAAACCCAAAGUCCAAUUCAACCACUGGAAAUCUUCUUCCUGAUGACAUCAGGACUGCUGGACCGUCUCUCCCGAGCACCACUCUUGCCGGCAUCAAUCCAGGCCUGUGGCACUCUAUCCAAUCAAUCAGGUCCAAGAAGUGAGCUUCAUUUGUCACUUUUGUUAUUGAAUCAUGAACCCUGCUGGCAAUUUCUGAUAUGGACCCUUGCUUCAGUUCUGUAACACUUGCUUCUCCAACAGCCAGAGACAAAACAUUUCCUAUGUAACUUGACAUGGGAUUUUCAUAUUUACGAAUUCUACUGCAUCCAUCAAGUAACCAAUCCAUCUUGCACUUUCCAUGUUUCUUGUCGAUGGAAGUGACCAUAAUCUUCCAUAUGUAAGCUGAGAAAGCUUCAACUUUUGUUCUUUUUUUGCCAUUCACAGAUGCUAGUUGUUGCAGCCUGCUAAUGCUUGAAGCAUCAAUGUGGUAGAAGCGCUUCAGCAAGAUGUUCGUUGGCGGAAUGUUUGAGAUCUCUUCUAUGGUGCACUUGACAAAAGUUUGAUCCAAAGAAGGAUGAUAGCUUGGCGGGAAACGUGCACGAAGGUUUCUCCGAAGAUCUGGUGAGCAUGUUAUUGGUUUUUGUUGAGCUAUUUCUGACCAUGAGACAAGAAACUUGCCGAAGGUACUUGCAUCGCCAAGUGCAUGGUCGAAACUGAAAGUAAUCGAAAUGCCUCCACAGGUGUAACUUGUCACUUGGAUUUGCAAAGGGAAGUCUGGCUGAAUAGAGACUAGCUUUCCUUGAAGAGAUUCAUUAAGGUUGUAGAAAUCGAGAUUCACUAAAGGGAUAUUGGCUUCGGCUUCUAAAACUAGCGCUCCAUUCUUGUCACAAAUGAUCUCGGGCUCGUUAGUUUGAGGAUUCUGAAUGAUUCUACCAGCAAAAGGGUAGUAAAAAUUCAGAGUUUUAGCAAGGGAGAUUCUCAGGGUCUGGAUGAUUAAGGGAUAGUUUUUGCCAAAAGGCCUGCAGUAGAAGUAGAAGUAUGUGACUGGAAAACGGCCGGAAAGUAGGUCAAGGUUUGAGAGUUGAAGGGUAUGAGGCUCUGGCAAGGGACCCAUAGCUUUGACAAUACUUUUUCCAGUGGGUUUUACUUCAAGUUUUCCAUCUGCUGAAGCCUGCAGUAAUUCCAUUGGAUUGUUGCCAAAACGUUUGUGUCAUAUAGCAAAGCUCAAGUGUAUGAUAUUUCAUCAAUUAGAGAUACAUUUAUAUAGUGAAGUGAUUUUAUUACUUUUUGGCAUCAGCAAGCACUUGGCAAGUUUGGGUCGUCGAGUUUGGUUGACAACAUGAUAGUGGAAUGAAAGUUGUUGAUCUGGGAAUCACUUUUGGUUUUAAAAUUGAACCACCUUUUCUUUGCAUAUUGGAAGACAAUGCUAGAUGUAAUAGAGUGACUCAUUAUUUAAAAAAAAAAAACUCAUCCCAUUAUCUCAGCAUGUUAAGGUGGUAAGACAUGAGAUGACUAGUAAAAUUGUGUGUUUUAAACUGAGAUCCAUUAACUACUUUAAUUAUAAAUUUAGUGGGUCUCACUUUGGAUCUUACUGAUAAUCUCAUUAUAGGUCCACUGCUCUAUCACAUACUAGAGUAAUAUUAAACCGUCAUAUUUCCACCCUAUUGUUAUAAGGAGACAGUAAAACCAUUUUUUACAUAUUUCUUUCAUUGCUUCCCAACCCUAACAUGUAUAAGAGCACAUUAUAAUUGCAACAAAUUUUCAAGGAUAAACCAAUCAAAUAAUGGAGUUUGGGAGAAGAGAAUCCCACUUGUUGAUAUGGUCCAAAGUAUGCAUUAUCAUAAGAAAAACAAACUGUUGGCAGUAGCAUACAUGGCAGCAUAUUUUGUUUGUAAAGAUUCUCAUUGUAAAACAAAAUUAAAGAGUCCACAAACAAUCAAAAUCUUGCGAUAUACUUAAGUGGAUCUUUGGUGACAAAGAGUGGUACAUGUCAUUAUAAUCAAGAUUUUUGUUGGGGUUUGCUGAAAGCAUGAAACUAUAUAUACCCACUAACAUCUUGUCAACACUAGUAUUUACACUGUAUUGAUCAUCGUCACAAUGCAGUUCAAUAGUUGACGAGAGAACAAAUUUUACGGAAGGGUAAUGAUACAGUCGCAAAGUAUUUUUUAUAGGAAUAAUGUUGUAUAAACUAAUAUGAUAUCAUUUAUUAUAAUUGGUUGAAUUAAAAAUAUUAUAUGACUCAAAUGAUUUUUUUAUUUUUUAUUUUCAAUCGACUAAUCAGAUUAUUCCACAUCAAAUUAUAUAAGAUUGUUUCUUCACAAUUUCUCUAUAUAAAAUAUUGUCGAGUGUGGUUUCAUUUUAUUGCGAUGAUGUCCCCAUUGCUGAGUUUCGGUUCCCGUUAUAGGUUGUUGCAGAAUUAUGUAUGCACCCAAGGCCCAAGGGUUGGUUUCGGUAGUCUAGGCGAGCUGGGCUGUGCUCAUACAUUCUUGUGUUUAAAGAAAGAUUGGUGAUGUGUGAUCCUGCAGUAUAUUUCAUUAGCCCAUUUUUUAAUUAUGUUAUUUAUUCUAAAAUUAUUCUUACGAAAAAAUAAAAAAUAUUUAAAAAAAUUCACUCUCAAUCUCUCAACCGAUUAACUUCUCAUUUCUCUCAAUUUUCUUUUAAUUGAUUCAAAAUUUGAAUGAAAUAUUAAGUCAUAAUCAAAUCCCAUAUUAAAAUUAAACAAAAUCUUAGGUUAACACACAAAGAAAAACCAAUAUCAACAGUAACAAAAAAAGAAAUCACUUGUUUAUAAAAUUUAACCAAACCCAAUAUUGAAACUUGGGUGGAGUUGAUGGCUAAGCUAAAGAGAGUGGGGUGGGGGAGAGAGAUAAAAUAAAAUUAAAAACAAUUAUUUUCAACAAGGUUAAUUUUGAAAAUAAUAAGACAAACUAAAAAUUAGAGGCUAGUGAGACAAUUUAAGGGGGGUGGGGGGUCAAAUAUCAUUACUCUUAAAGAAAAUAUUAUAUCAAACCAAAUACAUAUUAUAAAUCUAAAUUAUACGAGAAAAUUCUUGAUGUUCUUGCGCAAUCCUCCUUAUUUAUUUAUAAUUCGUCAUGCAUAUAUAAAUAUUACCACAAUUAUUAAAAAAAUAUACGCGACAAGAAGUGGAUGAAAUUAAAAUGGAGAAAAUGCUCCUAAAACAUCCAAGAGAAGAAAUCAAACUACAACAAAUAACAACUUGACAGCCAUGGAGAUAUCUCUCCUGCGCUCCUUUACAAUAUUCUUUACCACUAAUAUUGGUUCGGGCAAGGAAAUGACAGAAACGCCUGGGCGUGUUCGCUAAUAAGAGACAAGUCAUUUUUUCACUUUGAAAUUUUUAUUUAUCAAUCUGAUUGCAUGUAGAAAGUGGAAAAAACGACAGCCACAUCCUGCAUUAUCCAUUGGCUCCCAUAUGAGACUUGAGCUUGAUCAUCUCCAUAAUGGAAAAUAUUUGAGCAACCAUAUGUUACAAACUAAUCUUACUUGAUUGAUUGAUACAUUCUUCAUGUGAUCGCACAUGCAUUUGUUGUUCAUAAAUUUGUGCCCUAACCCGGCUUUCAUAAAAUAAUCCAUGGUACCUUUCUCACGUUUGGAACCUACUAGAAUUCCCCCACACUUAAUAUUUUUCACUUGUGCAUUGUUCAUAUCCAUUAGUGUAACAUGUGGAUUGUGGCUUCAAAAAAGCUAGGAUGUAAAGCUUUGAUACUAUAUAUAGGCUAUGCAAUUACAUUAAUUACCAAAAAGUCGAAUAUGACGUUACAAAGUACACAAUCAUGCAAGGAAAAUGUGGUCCCAUAUGUCACAUGUUAAAGUACUGUAGUGCAUUCAUUUCCAUUCUUCAAAUCCUUUGAUCAUCCAUUAUUUAAGCCAUGAAGCAGUGGUGGCAUUUCACAAAUCCUGCUUGAGAGAUCUAAGCCAUUGCCUUUCCUAACAGGCUGAUUCAUCAUCAUCAUCCUUAGCUUCCAUGGCAACCCAAAUUGCGACCUUGUCAUCAAGAUUAAUCCAGCACCCUAAAACCAAAGGGUCCAAGAAAAUCUGGCCGACAACGUCACAUCAGCAUUCUGAGCGCUGGACUCAUCAUAAUUCGGAUCAAAUUAAUGAUGAUCAUGUGAAGGGAAAGAAGAUGAAGCGGAAGCCAAAACACUGGGCACAAGAGCGUUCCAGAUUAGGGUUUUGGUACGUGACAACAUCUAUAAGAUACAUACUAAGGAAGGCAAGAGCCUUUUACAAUGAGUUCUGCAGCGAGAAGUACGAUGAUAAUCCAAAAAUGUUCAAACAAGUAAUGAUUGCUGACCCUUAUUUCUCAAUCCCAGUGAUCCCCCCUCCAAUGUAAAUUAACAUUAGUUAUGUCAAAAAUUCGAAGUUAUAUAUGAUUAUGAGUUAAUUAAGCCAAGGUAAUGUUUGAAAAUAAUAUCGAGCGUACCUAAUUUGAACUAUAUCUAAAAGUGUUAUGCUGCAAUAAUGCAAGAAAUCACACCCAGUGAUACUCUAUAUGAUAAAAGUUUGUAUGUACUAAUAUUCAUUCAAUCCAAUUUGUCAAUUGCACACNNNNNNNNNNNNNNNNNNNNNNNNNNNNNNNNNNNNNNNNNNNNNNNNNNNNNNNNNNNNNNNNNNNNNNNNNNNNNNNNNNNNNNNNNNNNNNNNNNNNNNNNNNNNNNNNNNNNNNNNNNNNNNNNNNNNNNNNNNNNNNNNNNNNNNNNNNNNNNNNNNNNNNNNNNNNNNNNNNNNNNNNNNNNNNNNNNNNNNNNNNNNNNNNNNNNNNNNNNNNNNNNNNNNNNNNNNNNNNNNNNNNNNNNNNNNNNNNNNNNNNNNNNNNNNNNNNNNNNNNNNNNNNNNNNNNNNNNNNNNNNNNNNNNNNNNNNNNNNNNNNNNNNNNNNNNNNNNNNNNNNNNNNNNNNNNNNNNNNNNNNNNNNNNNNNNNNNNNNNNNNNNNNNNNNNNNNNNNNNNNNNNNNNNNNNNNNNNNNNNNNNNNNNNNNNNNNNNNNNNNNNNNNNNNNNNNNNNNNNNNNNNNNNNNNNNNNNNNNNNNNNNNNNNNNNNNNNNNNNNNAAUUUAUGUACUAUAAUAUUUGGAAACACUCAAAACGCCAAACGGGCCUACAAAAUUUUUUAAAUUCAUUCAAAAUUCAACUAAGUUAAUCUAUGUCACAUCCUCUUAAAGUUACGAAAAGGUGGUACUACCACAAGAAAUGGCCUCCAUAUAUUUCAAUUCAAUGGCUGCCUUCUAGAGUUUUACAUUUCUAUUUAUAGUUAUGGGUUAAACGAUUCAUAUUGGUGCUUGUUUUCCAAUUUGAUGUUUAAUCUGUUUUCAUUACUACUAUCAAAAUAAGUAUCAAAUUUCCACCACACAAAAAGAAUCCAUAUGAUAACGUCAUAUAAGGACCACCAGAGACAUCAUAUAUUUUCUCGAAGUACUUCAAUUUAUAGUAUAGAGCAAAGUCGGCCGACCGGAUUGAAUGUCGGUGAGGGUAUUCUUUUCUUGGAAAUUAAAAACGCAUUUGAUUUUACAUCGAAAAGGUUAGGGAUCUAGUCGAUCUAGUCCUAGCUUGAAUAUCGUAUCACUCAUUUAUUAAAUAAUAAAAUUUAUAACUUAUAAAAUACUUAAAUAUCAUUUAAUUGAUGAAUGUGACAUCAAUUGGAAUUAAAUUAGAAAUUAAAUAUUAAGAUACUUAGCAUUGCUCCUAUAUUUGUGGGUGAUUGACGGUUAAUAAAUUAAUAAUAGAUAAGGAAGAUGUAUGACAUAAUAAAAGAGCUUUCAACAUUUCAAUCUAUGUGGGAUUUAUCUAUAAAAUGGUAGUUAGAAUAGAGUAAUAAAUAAUUUUGCAAAAUAACGAAUUUAAUCAUCCAAUAGAGAAGUAUCACAUAAUAUUUAGGUUAAAAUGCAAUAAUAAAUGGAAAUUAUAGUAUUAUUAUUUUCAAAACUCACCGGCGGAUCGAAAUCUAAAAACUCGGUACUUUAAAUAUUUUCCCGGGAAAAAAAAUACAGCUAAUAGACUGGAGUAAAAGGAAAUCGUUGCUAAUGAUCACAAUUUGUCAACCCUUACAAUAUUUUUGAAGACUAGAAUUAACUAUAUCAAUGGCAAGAAAAAUAAUAUCGGUAUGAGUUUGCACUCUUUCUUCAAAAUCUUCACCUACUAAAAAAAAUUGAAAUAAUAACAAGUUUGGUCUUUUACACUAUUAAUUUUGAUCUAUCAUUUUUCACUGGCAGGCUUAAUUCCAUGAGAUCGCCAAGAUAUGUCUUUACUAGCUAGCAAUGGAUGAUGUGCCCCACCAUUAAUUGGAAAAGAACCUUUGAAUAUCCUGGUCACAAAGACCAGCAGAGAGCAAUCUCCUUCCCCUACAAGAAAGUAAUUUUAACUUUCAGCUGUGCAAUUUGUUGUUAGCCCUGCCCUAAGAGGUUUUCAAGAAAUUUAUUUAGUUGGUUAUUCUAGUUCAAGUCAUGACAGAGAUAGGGAAUUAAACGAUUAAUUUAAAUUCUACCCACCCCUCUACCUUAAUAAAUAAAUAAAUAAAUUGAUUGCUAACCCGAUUGUGUCAAAGAAAUGUCACUUCCUCCUACCUAACAUAGAUGACAGCCCAAGAUAAGUGUCAUGGCAGGAAACUCCUUGCAAAGAAUGAAAGAAAAAUCACUCUCUCUUAUUCCCUUAGGGUGCGUUUGGCACACUGUAUUGUAUUAUGUUGUAUUGUAUUAUUUUAAUGCUGGUGUAUUGUAUUAUGCUGUAUUGCAUUAGCACUGUAUUAUAAUAAUGUUAUACAAUGUUUGGUGUUACACUGUACUGUAUUAUUAUUUUUAAUUAAUUUAAUUUAAAUUUUAUAUUUUAUUAAUAUAUUUAAAUUACAUUAAUAUUUUAUGUUAUUAUUUAUAUUAUUAUUAAUUUUAAAUUAAUAGUAUUUAAAUAUUUAUUAUUAGUUAUAUUAUAUUAUAAAUUUAUUAAUAAAUUAUAAUAUAAAAAUAAAAAUAUAAUAUAAUAUUAUUGAAUAAAAAAGUAUAUAUUUAUUAAUUUAUAUUAAAUUAUAAUUUAAAAAUAAAAAUAUUAUAUAAUAUUAUAUUAAAUUAAAAAGUUAUCUUUAUUUUUUAUUAUUAUUAUAAAUAAAAACAAAAGUUAAAACAAAAAGUAAUUGAAAAAGAAAGAAGAAGGUAAAAAAAAAAAGAAACGCAAGCAGCAAGCUGCCAAGGAAAAGAGAAAAAAAAAGGAAAAAGGAAAGCUUAAUGCGGCAACUGCCGCAUUAAGCAAACCCGACUCACAGUCGGGUUUGGCUAAUGCGGCAGUUGCCGCAUUAUCUACAGUACUCUAAUACCAUGUGAUAUUUUCCCAAACAUGGUAUUGGUAUUAAUUUAAUGUAAAUAGUAAUUUAAUACCCCUUUAAUACUAUAAACAAACACACCCUUAUAGUUUUUGGGCUAGCUAGCAGAAAGGAUUUCUCAUUGGUAAAGAGUUGAUCUGAUGCAUCGGAGAAAUUAUCAAAGAAUAUUUUUUUCCCUCAAUUAACUGGCUUCAUCAAAUGUUCCCUGAAAAGACCAAACUGUCAUCUGCAAAAUAUAAAUGAGAGUAGAUGGCACGUAGAGACAAAAUUUAAACCCAUGAAUUUCCAUUUUCUGCUUUAUUACACGGUGACUUUUUCUUGUGCUGAAAUCAAACCUUAAAUCGUGCUGGUUCCUAAGAUCAACCACCCUAAAAAUGCAUCAGAUUAUAGGCCAAUUAGCCUAUGCAAGGUUAUUUAUAAAAUCGAUGUAAAGCCUUUUGCAAACAUAUUAAAUAAGAUUCAAAUGAAUAGGAAGUUGUAAGGACAUGUAAUCACUAAUCAUCUAACAUCAUUAAAGAUAGUUGUCUUGAUUCAUUUCAACAACUAAGACUAUUGGGAUCAUACGUAUAUAAUUACAUUAUAAUCCAAACAUUUCAUAAUCUGACAGGGCCAUGCAUAUCAACAUAGCUCCACCUCUGAUGCUGUCAUCAGUUGGAAAAGCUUAUUUCGCAAAAAUUAAAUGAAUCCUUUCCAGAUUAGACAGAAUACUAAGGAACAAAAUUUUCUUAUAACGUUACACUUAUCACUAUUGGUUGAUCAAAAGUAGUCAGUAAUUUUAUUGGUAAUGAAAUUUACAAUUACAUAGGUGAGUGCCAUCUAGCUAGUGCUGCUGCUAGCCUCAAAAUCCCUUCUUUGAUAGCACCGCAGCCACAAUUUUCAAAGGCUUGGGUCCCCCUUCUGCUCCAUGUGGUCUCUGUUUCUUAAGCCUCUUCUCUUCAUUUUUGGAUGCCAAACAUCUCCUUUUAUAGCCAAUUAAGUCUGCUGCCUCUCCUUAUUUUCGCUGCCAAGCUUCCCCUUUGAUUAGCCAAUUGUUUGGAGGCCACACGAAUUUCUACAGGAGGCGAUGUGUUAUGCAAGACUCCUUUGAGGACUACAGAUUUAUUAUCAAUUUUACCCGCCACAUGUCAUCAAUUUAGAUCAAACUAAAAUACAAUAAAAAGUAAUUUUAUUAAGUUCAAUUAAUUAACCUGUUUGAUUUUAAAAGCAAAACACAAAAAGAUGUGACUUUUCUCUAGUUCAAACUGUCUCAUUUUGCAAAGCCACGAAACCCACAUAAUUUUUUUUCUCUUUUUAGUUACAAGAAAUAAUGGCGGAAGGUUAUUGGCGACAGCUCUCCUGGGGAUCAGGAGCUUGACAGAAUGUUUUGAUCUUUUUUGUGACAUAUCAAAUCACAAUUUUGUUUUUUCACUGAUAUUUGUCAGAUUUGAUUCAGAACAUGUACGCUUACGAAGCAAGGUCCAUUUUCAUUAUAUGCACUGGGUUAUAUAACUUACAGCAUGAAACGACAGGAUCAUAAAGCAGUGACUAGGUGACGCUGUGACAGCUCUGAUGAGGAUCAGGAGCUUGACAGAAGAAAGUAUUAGGCUGCAAGAUAGGGAUAGGAGCACUGUUACCCCAUGAAUUAUAUAACGUUAAAACAAAGGGUCCUCUUUCCAUGAAAAUAUAUACAAGCAAAUUCUGUUUUUCUUUCUCACUCAUCAGGGUCAGCCAUUGUUUAGUUUAUUGACUUUGGCUUUGAAUUUUAUCUAUUUUAAUGAUAACGCAAAAGUUGGCUGCUGCCUCGAGUUUGAAAUCAAUUAAUUUACUUACAGCCUGCUAACGUAUUCCCUUAUAGUUUUUGGGCUGGAUAGCAGAAAGGAUUUCUCAUUGGUAAAGAGUUGCUCUGAUGCAUUGGAGAAAUUAUCAAAGAAUAUUUUUUUUCCCCUCAAUUAACUGGCUUCAUCAAUUGUUCCCUGAAAAGACCAAACUGUCAUCUGCAAAUAUAAAUGAGAAUAGAUGGCACGUAGAGACAAAAUUUAAACCCAUGAAUUUCCAUUUUCUGCUUUAUUACACAGUGACUUUUCUAGUGCUGAAAUCAAACCUUAAAUAGUGCUGGUUCCUAAGAUCAACCACCCUAAAAAUGCAUCAGAUUAUAGGCCAAUUAGCCUAUGCAAGGUUAUUCAUAAAAUCAAUGUAAAGCCUAUUGCAAAUAUAUUAAAUAAGAUUCAAAUAAAUAGAAGUUGUGAGGACCAGUAAUCACUAAUUAUCUAACGUCAUUAAAGAUGGUUGUCUUGAUUCAUUUCAACAACCAAAACUAUUACGAUCAUACGUAUAUAAUUGCAUUAUAAUCCAAUAUAAAAUGUUUGCGACAGCUUCAUAAUCUGACAGGGCCAUGCAUAUAAACAUAGCUCCGCCCUCUGAUGUUGUCAUCAGUUGGAAAAGCUUAUUUCGCAACAAUACAUUUGAUGAUUACAUACUGUCCUAAAAAUUUUAUCUCCAAUCUGAAAAUUCAGUAUAUAGUUUAUUGAAUUUGGCUUUGAAUUUUAUCUAUUUUAAUGAUAACGCAAAAGUUGCCUACUGCCUCGAGUUUGAAAUCAAUUAAUUUACUUACAGACUUCUAACGUAUUUUUCUUAGGAUGUAUUGUCAUGUCAAGGGUUUCCAUUUCCAACGGAAAAAAUAAAGAAAAAGAAAGAAAUGGAAUUGUUUUCUAACACCAAAAAGGAUAAUUUCAAAUAACUCCCAUUAGCAAAAAGCCAAAAACUGAAUAUAUUAGUUUGCAUCGACUCACUGCAUGCAUCACCAUUCAGCAAGCCAACAUUUUAAUCACUGAAUGCCACCAAAAUAGAUACACUGAUUAGCUUUAACCUAAAUAAAUAAAAUUGAAUAAAGUCAGAAAGUCCUAAUAACCGAUUAACUUAUAUUUUUCAGAUUUGAUUCAGAAUAUACAUGUUUAGAAGACGAAGAAACUAAAUGGGAAGUUGAUUCUUUAGCUCUUUCGAAUAAUGUUUAAUAUUUAUUAUUAUUUUUUAAACUCAACUAAGUUACCACAAUACCAUCAAAAGAAGUUAAAACAAAAAUAAAGAAAAAGAAAGAAAUGGAAGUGUUUUCUAUCACCAAACGAAAAAGAUAAUUUCAAGUAACUCCCAUUAGCAAAAAGCCAAAAACUGAAUAUAUUAGUUUGCAUCGACUCACUGCAUCACCUUUCAGCAAGCAAACAUUGCAACCACUCAAUGCCACCAAAAGAAACACGCUGAUUAGCUUUAGCCUCUGCCUCUCCCCAAUCUUUUUCAUACCGUAGUAUUUUCUUGUAAUCAAAUGAAUACUCAAGUUGUUUGUGGCGUUGUGUUCUUAAUUGGUUUUUUAUGCGCAUUUAUUAGAACUUUUGUUGAAUAUCAUGGUUUUGUAGAUGGUGUUCUCGUUCCAGCAGCUUCCAUGCUUAUUGUGAGCAUGUUGACAGUUGCUGGAACAUUUCGUAUUAGGAAUGAAGUGAUUGCAUAUGCACUAACUUUAGCAUUCACUUUGCAUCAAAUUUUUAUACAUUUCUUUGUGGAAUUUAAUACCGUUUGGAUUGAAUCAUCCGCAAUAUUCUCAGUAGGAGCCAUCUUUGGAAUCAGAGGCUUUGGUUGCUGGAUGCAAGACCGAGAAAAUAGGGUAGCUGCUGGAGGAGAAGGUGCUGGUGGCGCUAAUGAAGAAGCAGUUCAACAAAUAGAAGGCAGGAUCAGAGAAGCGAUGAAGUUCAUAAUUUUUAACUAUAUAGCUGCAUUUUGCAUCGCAUUAAUUUCUAUGAUUUUGAAUAUUAAGUGUAUUAGAAUUGAAAAAAAUCAUAAGGAUAACACUGAUAAAAUUCUUAAAAUGGUUAACUCUGAUCAAAGCAAGUAUAAUAUUCCGAUUCUGAUAUGUUUAGCAGUUCCUUCUGUUAUUGGCCAUAUACCGCUUUACUGGGAACGAACGUUGCAUUUCUUGGUACGUUAGAAUACUAUUUAAAUUUUUUUAUUACAUAUCUAAUAAUCAUUAUUAAUAUAUUAUUAAUAUUUUUUUAGGCCUGGUGCAAUACUCAAAGCCAAGUGUUUCAGGGCUGGAGUAAUAACAGAUGGGAACUGUUUCAGGCCUGGCAAAAUGCCCAAAUGCAACACUUCCAGAAUUGGUGGAAUAUGCAGAUACAAAAUAUUCAAAACUGCUGGGUAGGAAUUGGAAAUUGGUGGAAUAUCUGGAUGCAUGAUGUUCAAAACUGCUGGCCAGGACUUGGAAAUUGUUGGAAUGUGCAAUCUAGCGUAAGGAGAAGCACUGGCGACGAAGAACGUGGAGAAGAAGAAAGUGCUGGUGUUGUGGUGGAAUUAGAACAUGUGGGGACGCGUGCUGGUGGUGUGGUGGAACCGGAACAGGUUCAGGUGAUGACUGAUAAUUAAUUUGGGGUUCAUCUUGGUUUCAGAUUUGAUUUCUCCUUUUUAGCUUUUUUACUUUUUUUUAAGCUUUCUGAUGCUGUAUUUUGAUGCUUUUUUACCUUUAAUUAAAUGAGAUAACUAUUAGCAAAUCACAAUUUGGCUCCAAUUGAUGUAAUGAUUGUCUUGAAGCUCGUUCACUUUUGUAUGAAACGAGACCUAAAUGAAACAAGCCAAGACUGCCUUUCUCUUCAAUAUCCUUGAUGGUAAUAUCUCUGGAAGCAGCAAAUUGAUGGGUAAUCAUCAUGGUCCCUUAAAUAAAGGUCUACAAACUCAAUGAUAUUAUCUUCUACAAAUGGUUCGUUAGCCGUAUUAGUUAUAUUGUCAAUGUACGCUAAGGACAACAUAAAGCUCUGCAACUGUAGCAUGGUAAUAAGUGAGUUGCCAGGGCGUGAACGAGAAAAGUUAAAUAAUGUCUCCCUGGCUAUGCCAGCUAGUACGGUAGGGUUAAGAUAAGAGCCUGAGAUACUAUAACUUUCAGAAGUUAUUGACUGCAAAUUAAAAUGUCUAUUCAAGGAUGUUCGAUGCCUCUAAUUAACUUCCCAUUUGCUAUCAAUUUUACCCGCCAUGUGUCAUAAUUUUAGAUAGAACUAAAGUACAAUGAAAAAUAAUUUUAUUAAAUUCGAUUAAUUAACUUGCUUGACUUUAAAGAGAGACAAAACCCAAAAAAUUAAAUUUUUAUAAGUUCAAACUGUUUCAUUUUACAAAGCAACAAACCCAUAUAAUUUUAUUUUUCAAAUUAAGUUAUAGCUCUUUAAAAUAAUGUUUAAUAUUUAUGACUUUUUUUUUAAUUCAACUAAUUACCACAAUACCAUUGAAAGAAAUUAAAAAAAAGGAAGAAAGAGAAAUACGGUGGCGUAUUUGAUGAUUACAAACUGUCCUUAAAAUUUGGUGUCCAAUAAGAAAAAAUUUGGACAUAAAUCUUGCUGGAUCAAUCCUUAAUUGGAAACAAAAUUUAAAAUAUAGCACUUAAAGGAAAAAAAAAAGAGAGAUUUUGAAUUUAAGAGAAACAUAGAAAUCAAAAUUUAAUGAAGCUACGUCUAAUAAAUUUGACUCCUUUAUAAUCAUAAGUAAAAUUUUAAUUUUUAAUUUUUGAUUGACGAUUGUUUAUCCACUUGUUAGAUGAUUGAUGAUGGUUCUUCAGAAAGUCUUAUGGUAAAGGUAGAGUCUAUGACGCCAUUAACGGUGGUCAUAUGAUAUAAACUUGAAAUCGUGUAAUAAACUAAUAAUUGGGUAAAACAAAUAUUUUUUUGGCAAUAUAAAUUCAAUAAAUUUUUUUUUAGCAAUAAGUUAGCUUGCAGUAAAUGAAUGAAUAGGAAAAUAAUAGGUUAAAUCUCUAUUUGACUUGUAAAUAUUUAAUCCAUAUUGUAUAUGUAGGGAUGGCAAUGGAUUGGAUUUGAUCCAAGAUCCAUGUGAUCCAAAUCCAAUCGGAUCGGAUUUGGAUCGGUUUAAAAUGGAUUUGGAUCGGAUUUGGAUAUCGAUGUGCGGAUCUAAGACGGAUCUGGAGCAGAUAUGGAUCUAUCUUAAUAUCUAAAUCCAUAUCCAUAUCCACUCAUCUUUUAAUUUUAUUUUAUUUUAAAAGUUUCUUAAUAAUUGUGGAAUGAUAAUAUGAUAAUAAAUUUUAUUCAUAGCAUAUAUAGUAGUAUUUACCAUGUAUUUAAACUCUUAAAACUUAAAGGUUAGUUUUGUAAAUUUAAAGGUCAGCCAGCCUCAAAGCAUGUACAUGCAAUAUUCAAAUUGCAAUCCAAAUAAUAUAACCUGGUAAUUUAUUUUAUCAUAUUGGCCAAAUAAUUUUUAAGGAAUACAAUUAUUCAUAUAUUUAGUCAAAUAUGGUCAUAAUAAAAAUAAUAAAGGACUGAAUAUAAAUCAUAUUUAAUUUAUAUGUCAUUAUUUAAUGUUGUAGGAAUGAGAGUAGGUGUAUCGUGGAUAUUAGAAUGAUGAAAGAGAUAAUAGAAUAUUAGAUUGAUCUUACUCCUGCAAUUACUUCUAAAUGAUAUUUUAUUAUCUUUCUUAUUUGUUGUUUUGGUAUAGAAGUAUAAGCUACAAUAUUUAUUAUAUUUUUGAGAAAAAUUAUAUAAUUUAUUUGUUAUCAAUACAUUUUAGCCUUCAAUUUUCAAUCUAAAAAAUUAUUACUUUUUUAUUACAGAAUUUUAGAAUUCAUGACGGAUCUAGAGCAGAUUUGGAUUUUAAUUUUUUUUCGGAUUUGGAGCGGAUAUAGAUAUUUAUUUCUUUUUUGGAUCUGGAUAUGGAGCGAAAAAUAUGGAUUCAUAACGGAUCUGGAGCAGAUACGGAUCUUGAUUUUUAUUAUGGAUUUAGAUCUGGAGCAGAGUAGAUCCAACCCAUAUCUGCCCCAUUGCCAUCCCUAUGUAUAUGUAAUUAGUCCAACUCAUGGUGCAUUAUUCAUAUAUAUAUUUCAAUAUUUGGGCUCCUAUAAACUCAAAAACAGUUACUCAUAAUUGUCUUAAAGCUCAUUUACCUUUAUAUGAAACAAGCCAAGACUGCCUUUCUCUUCAUUAUCGUUGAUGACAACAUCUUUAGAAGCAGAAAAUUGACAGGUAGUUAUCAUGGAAUCCCUUAAAGAGAGGUCUAUAAACUCAAUGAUAUUAUCUUCUACAAAUGGUUCAUUAGACUUCUUAGUUAUAUUGUCAAUGUACACUAAGGACAACGAGAAGCCCUGCAAAUGUAGCAUAUUGAUAAGUGAGUUCCCAGGACUUGAACGAGAAAAAUUAAAUAAUGUCUCCCUGGCUAUGCCAGCUCGUACGUUAGGGUUAAGAUUAGAGAUUGGGAUACUAUAACUAUCAGCAGUUAUUGACUGCAAAUUAAAAUGUUCGUUCAAGCAUGUUGGGUGAAUCCUCUAAUUAACUUGGAAUGGACUCGAUAGGGAGUUAUGAAGGAUGAGGUACCUUGAUGCUAAUUAAUGUCGUCCGAGAUCCCAGGAAAGUGCAAUGUCCUGCUUGAUGCUAAUGUGGUCAAUGCAACUGAAACCUUCUAUCUGACGUCACCUUAAAUGCAACAUAAUCACCUCAAAUUGGGCUCUGAGUGUUUCUCACAUGCUGUUUUGAGAGAUCUGAAUUCUAUGCACCAUAACAUGAUCAAUGAAAUGGAUUGUAGGACUGGAAAGGUCUGUGGCGGCCACGUUUGGUGUGUUUUUAUUAUCUUAAUUUGUAGGCAAUCCCUGCUUCCUCAAGGUUUGAAACGUAGAUGUUCUUAUACAUUGUCACAUUAUGUGUGGCUGGUAAUCUUGUUUUGAUCAAUAGGAUACAACAUUACACAUAUAUCAUCAUUCAUCCAAAACUUUCUAGCAAAAGUUUGUCAUUGAAAGUUCAUGGCACUACAACAGAAACGAUUUUUAACCGCAGAAAAAAUCUGCCGUCAAAUAGUUAAGAUGGUAUUAAUGGAUGCACUAUUGAGGUCCUGUUUGAGAUUGAGAUGCUGUAUCUUUUAAGGUACAGUUGUUGUGAAAAAAAAUUAUAAUUAUAAAAUAAAAGUUACUAAUACGUCGCAAAUAUAAAUUUUAAAUAAUAAUUUUGGUAAAAUUAUUAAAAAUAUAAUAGAUUUUUCACUAUACAAGUAAAAAAUUAUAUCAAUAAAACUUUCAAAUUAUAAUAGAUAGUGUUUACCAAAUACUUUAGGGUGUGUUUGGUUGAAGGAUUAAAAGUGGGGAUUGGAAUCUUUUUUUUUUUUUAAAUUUAUCCUAGUCUCAUAUUUGGUGCUUUCAAGAGUAUUAGAAUUUAGUUAUCUUAGGCCCACAAGUUAAUCUCAAUUUUGUAAAACAAAUUAUCCCAAGGGGGGGUCAUGGGAUUAGUUAGUAUUCGAUUAUAUUGAUAACUCAAUUAAACAUAAUAAUUUAUAAAUAUUUAAAUUAUAGUAAUACGUGAUAAAUGUAAUAAAAAAUAUUGAUUUUAAUAAUGUAAAUAAUAAAUUAUACUAAAAUCAUUAUUAAUUUUACAUUAAAUUAAAAUUCUAUUUUAAUUUAUUUAAAUAUUCAAUAUUUUUAUAAUUUCAAAUUUACAUUAUAAAUUAAUUAUUAAAUUAAUAUUAAAAAAUAUACAUUUUUAUAAAAUAAUAGAUUAGUGAAUAAAAAAAUCUCAUAAAUAUAUUUAAAAAAUAAAAAUUAUUUAAACUAUGAUUUAUAUUUCAUUAAUAUCAUUAAGGUUGAUUUGUAUAACUAAUAAUACAAAAUCUUAGUUUAUAAUAAUAAUAAUAAUAAUAAUAACAACAACAACUUUUAAAUUGUAAUAUUAUAAUAUAAGAUAUGAUUAUUUAUAUUCCAAUCCAAUAUUGCACCAAACACAACAUAGUAUUAUAAGUAAUCCAAUAUUAUCCAAUCUGAUCUGAUUCAAUCCAAUCCAAUUCGGCAUACCAAAUGAGCCCUUAGUGCUGUAGCUUUUAAAUUAUAGUUGUUUAACUUCAAUCGCAAACGCACCCUAAUUCGUGAGCCUAUAAAGUCAUUUAGUUUUUACAGCAUAGAUUUAAUGCUGUAAACAUCGUCGUUAAAAGUAGUAGACGACAAAGAUUGUUGCCAUUGAUGGUCAGUUUAACGACAGCAAUUGCUCUCCAGCCAUAAUUAAAAUAGUGAAUUCUAUUUGCAAUCUAACGACACACAUUACUUUGCUAAAUAAUAAUCUAAAAUGGUAGAGUGAAAUUGCCGUGGAUUUACUAUUGUUUUUUUAAAAGUUUUUUUUAAAUAUUUAUAUGUCACAUGCCUCAUCUAAUAAAAAUGAAUAAAAUAUCCAAUAAUAAAAAUUUAAUUACAACAAAUCACCUUUGUCCAAUAAAAAAAGAAAAAUGUUACAAAACACGAAGCCUUCCUUUUGCACCUAAAUGCUAAAUUCGUUUGCCUCCCAGAAUCAUUCUUGUUCGUAGCUUUAAAUCACUGCAAAAAUAACAAGACAAAUGUUAAAAUCUAGAGAAAACAAACGAAAUGUAUGUAAUUAAAUAAAUUUUCAUUAUUCUAUUGAAAACUAACUUUUGUAUGUAUACAUGUUUCCAAGAAAUGAAUUAAUGUAUGUAAUUAAGAAUGUAUGUAAUUAAAUCUUUCAUUCUUUCUUCAUCAUAGAACUAGGCCAAUUACAAUAAUUAAUAAUUAUUAUAAUUAUUUCCAAUUAGUUGCCAUCACUUGUUCGACCCCGAUGCAUAGGAUUUAUCCAAUUAUAAGAUCUAAUAUUACUAAGCACAACGUUGCCCAAAAAGAAUUUUAUUUAAUAGAAUGUAUCCGCCGCACUUAUUUACCAGUUAUUAAGAAUUAAAAUUAUAAAAUCAUGAUCACCAUUCACCAGUUAGAGUUAAUAAACUUUACCAGUAAAGCAUCAACCUAACAAAAAUAAGAAAUGAGAGAUUAAUGCUCCAUCAACAUACAGAUAUAAGAAUAUAAAAGAUUAAAAGAAUUAUUGAAGACACGCAUGAGCUAAAAGAUCAAGUAAUAUACAUGUUUAUUGCCCAUAAGAAUGAAACAAGUACUUACAUAAGAAAAGCCCCAAAUUGCUUGAUACAUCCAAGUGCUCAAAGGGAUCAUAUAGUUCGAAAAACUGAAAAAAUAAUUAAAGAUAACAUACAAGUCAUAAUACAUUCAUGUAACUUUAAUAUGCAAAUUUCCUUGAAAGAAAAAAAAAAGCCAAAUUUUAUGCCUUUAUGAAGAUUUAUAUCACAAGAAAUGCAAUGAGGGCAUAACUGCAGUAGCUACAAUGGGGACUCAUUUUAUAAUAUGCAUAAUCAAAAGAAUCUAACUUUUGUGUGAUGAAAUUAAAUAUUUUAAAAAAUAUAUCAUUUUCUAGUUUGCGUACUUUUCUUGCUCGUAGGGCCUCAACUCUGACUAAACAAAGCUUGUUUGUUAAGAAUUAGGCAUUCUUUUUCAAUCACAAUAAAAAAUGAACAAUAAUAAAAUUAAGUAAUGAUACAACCACAAACUCUUGUAUAAACUUAUUUUGUACAAACUGACGUGGCAUUAAUUCAUUGGUUGAAUAAAAAUAUAAAUUAAUAAAAACAAAUCAUGUGGGUCAAGUGAUAUUUAAUUCAACCAAUCUUAUCAUGCCGCAUCAAUUUGUACAAAAUAAAUUUAUACAAGAGUUUGUGUUUGUAUCAUUACUCAAUAAGAUUUAGGGAAUAACAUUUAUAUUAAAACGAACCCUAGAAAUAGAAUUAAUGAAACCUAACGAACGAACCCUUAAUAUGCAUAUAGAUCUCAAUGAGACGAAAACCCUAGGAAUAAUUUAAAUAAACAUCUGAUAAAAAUAAUUUCAAUUGAAAAUUUUGAAAAUGAAUUAUAAACAAAACACAAAUUGGAUCAAGGAUACUACGGACAACACAUAACUAGGUAAAUUAAAAUUCAAAAUCCAAAGAAGAAGUGAAAAUGCCUUUAAGAGUUUAGGCACAAGAAAGGAGUAGAUGUAAAUUAUUUAACAUUAGAGUGGAGCCAUAACUGCAAGGAGAGCAACGGAGAAAAACUAGAUAAUAAAGUUUGUUGAAAGUAAAAAAGGGAUUUGUAAUUUCUUUUCUAUUUUUAUUAAGCAUCGUUGUGGAUUUCUAGUUCAAUGCAAACGUAUUUAUUCUAAAAAAAGUAAGAAAAUCAACGAUAAAUAUAUUUACGCUAUUUAAAAUAGUAUAAUCAACAAAAACGAUAUCUAUGCUGUUAAAAAUGUUAUCAUCUACGGCAAAUAUUAUAUGCCGUCAAAAGUAGCUUUUACAUUUUACGGCAAUUAUAUUUUUUAUGCCGUUACAUCGAAGUCAUCUACUCAUCUUAUCUAUUGACAGCACGUAAUAAAAGCAUGCUGCUGCUAAUUUUUUCAAUGGCACAUAUUUUAGACAUGCUGUCUUUGUUAACUUUUAAUGGCAUUGCAUGUUGAGUUCUGCUAUUUGAACUUCGCGAAGACAAAAGAACGACAGAAAAAAUAUGUGCGUGUGUGCCCCCACCAAAACACGUCAGCGACCUUUACAUGCUUCUUUGCUUUUCCUUUCUUCUUCCAUCAUUCACUCCACCUCUCUCUCUGUCUCACUAAACAAUGACUCGUUGAUGCCCUGAAACGUACACCAAAGGUAGCUAGCUGCUUCAAGCUCAUACAUCAAUGGCGAAAACAACAAUAAGCAUUGGGUCGUUCUUCUACAAGUUCCUCUCUCUCUUUCUCCUCCUACUUCACUUGGGUUGCUUCAUUUUCCCAUCCAACAACAAUCCCUCACCAACAAGAAAGAAACGCAAGGCCUCUCCUCUCUCUCCAUCUCCGUACUCCCCGUCUCGCCUUAAAACUAAACCCCACAAGGCUCUCUCAUCCUCUUGGUCCUAUCUCAAACGUAUCUUCUCUAAUUCAAAGACCCUGAAACCCAGCUUGUCCCAGACUAGCUCUAUGUGACCUGGGGCAAAGCGGCAAUUCCAGCAUUUGCAAUCAGACAUAUUGCAGCGUCUGUGGGAUCAUAAAGUCGGGAUUCUCACCCAAGCUGGACGGAAUUUCCACGCUGUCGAGCAGAUGGAGAGCCCACGUGGCGAUCCCUGAGGAGAUUGAGGAGGAGUUCAAGUUCAUGAACCUGAAACGGGCAAUGUUGGUCUGCCGGGUCGUGGCGGGCCGGGUCGGGUGCGAUGCCGAUGACGAUGUGGAUAUGGCGAAGGAGAAUGGCGGGUUUGACUCGGUCGUCGGGAGGGGUGCCGGUGGGGUCAACUCAAGAGUGGACGACGAUGAGGAGCUUUUGGUCUUUAAUCCCAAGGCUGUGCUUCCUUGCUUUGUGAUUGUGUACACUGUGUAAUGACGGUGGUGUUGGGAGUGUGUGUUCUGUUAAAUCUCCUGAGAAACUUCAAUAUGCAAUCUGUAUGUACGUAACCUUAUUUUGUGACAAAGUUUUGUACUGUAAAUGUGCGGUGGCGAUGGAGUUCUGGUUGCCGGUUCUUGAUGUGGGUCCCAAUAUAUGUGCCCGUGACUGCUUGCUGUAGUUUAUUUUGUCCCACUUAGUCAAAUACAUGAUAAUCUAUCAAAUGGUGCCCGUAAAUUUUUCUCUCUUUCUUUCUUUUUCUCCCCAAAACAACUACUAAUCGUGAUCAGCACAAUGAUGGUGGUUAGUUGAGUACAACUGACCGGCAUAAUACAAUGUUCUGAAAAUCAGAAGAAGGCAGGGAGCUCGUCCGAUCAACAAUGGAGAGAUCUCGGAAGAGUAAUGUCACUUGUAAGGUUAAGAUAAAUGGUACGCAGAUAAAUUGAGGAGGAGUCUGGUAACGAACGAAGCAAACUCAAUGGAGGGGAGUCUGGUAACGAACGAAGCAAACUCAAUGGAGGAGAGUCUGGUAACGAAGCAAAUGGAGGAGGAGUAAACUAAGGAAAGGAAAGGAAAAUGACUUGUUGGGGAGGUGGCAGAAUGUCCAUCGUUUUCUCUUUUUUUUUGUGGGUCCACGUAAUAUUAAAAGAAGAAAAAAUCAACACGUGAAACGGCAAUUUAAAAUUGCGUUUCUGUCGUCCCUUUGUCUUCAUUUCGUUCGUUUAUCAUUUUCCUUGCAUGUUAUACGUGGUCAAAAUUCUGCCGCGAAAAGUCACUUUUGUUCUAGCAUGCCAGUCUUUAAGAUGUUGUCUGGGCAAUUUAACCAUUGAACAUGCCAACCGCGCGGCCUAUGGUAUUCCUCACUUCGUACAACUUCAUUAAUGUCUUUUUUUUUAAGAAAAAAAUCAAAUUUAUGAACUUUUAUGUAUAUUAAAGUUUUGUUACAAUAAUUAACCACAUUUACUAAGGGCAAGCAGAAUUCACUCAUAUUUCUUGGAUGGGCAAUACAAUAUUGCCAUGAAUUCUUUGGUUAAUCAGAUCCUAUUAUCCUAGUCCUCAUAGAGAAAAUUCAGGAAGUUCUUCUUGAAAAUGAGGUGAAUCAUAAAAAGAUUGUGGUGGCCGGACGGACUAUAGAAUAAAUAAAUAGAGCAUCGUUAAAAUUAGAGCUUCACAAUGGAUAACACUCUGCAUGAUUUAAAUUGCGCUAGGCUUCCCAAAUUGCACAAUCCCACAUAUAUACCAACAGGCGAUGACAUAAAAUAGGUAGUGACAAGUUAGCAGACAAAUAUCCUAAAGUUCCGUGAAGAAUAGAAGAAAAUUUUAUAAUGCAAUUACAUGUAAGGAUUUUGACUUGUAAUUGACAUCCUGGAUUCUUUGAAUCCCCUUCAUGAAACCUUAUGAACAGCAAGAUUGGUCUCCAGUACUUUGAUUGAUUUUUUGCCUUGGAUACCUUGAUUCUCAUUGCUUUGACAAUUGAUACUUUCCUUAUGAGCUAUAAGCUAGUAAUAACAAUGGAAUAGAUAUAUAGAUUGGUAGAAAAGGAACAUUCUCUUAUGCUUUUUCCUUCAUGAAAAGCGCAUCUUCACUUAAGGACGUUGACAAGACUUUUGGACACGUGUCUGUCGCGAAAUUCCUACGCAACAAAACCUCCCAGCUUCUAGGUUUCGAGACAAAUGCGAGGCGCUGGGAAGCAAUAUAAUGCUCAGUUUACACUACUUCAGUUUUAGUUACAAAUUAAUUUUAUUUCUUAAGCAAAACUGAAUGGUACUUAAAAAUCUUAAUAAAGUACAUAUAAAAUGAAACUAAAUAUUAAUUUCAAUGAUAAAAUCUUUUAGGAACAGGAUUGUUUGCAACACAAUAAUAAAAGGAUGUCAUCUAUAUUUCAAUAAGGUAAAAUAUUAUUUCCAUUCACAUAUAGAACAAUAACGUUUUUGAAUAUCACAGUUACAUCUAAUAUUGUAAAAAUGAUAAAGAAACUAUCCACGUAUCAAUUAAAUUAUCAUCUUCUUCAUUGCUAGUUGAAGCCUCCAACACAGUUGCUGGUGAUCCAUCUUAUUGCAAUUGGGCGAUGGCAGUCUAAAAAGAAAAUGAUUUUCCUUAUAGCUAUUCUGGUUGAAGGUUGCAGUCUCAAAAAGUAAAGGGCAUGAUUCACUCACAAAAGGGGAUUGAGGCAAGGCUGUCCUCUAUCUCCUUAUCUCUUCAUUCUCUGUGCAGAAGCUUUUUCACAUUCACUAUAAUGCACAAAAUUGCAAAAACUGAUUCAAGGGCUGAUGUUCAGCAACCAUUUGUCAAUCAACCAUCUUUUUUUUUUUUUGCAGAUGACAGCCUCAUCUUCACGAGAGCUACAACUGAAGAUUGCACAAAUUUGAAGCAAAUUUUUGAUAAAUAUGCAGCAGCUUUAGGCCAAAUCUUCAACUACGAGAAAUCCUCAGUGUUCUUCAGUGGAAACACCCCAAUAAGGCAAAUCAAUGAGAUUAAAAGCAUUUUUCAGCUCAAUGUUGUGGCUAGACAUGAGAAGCAUUUAGGGCUGCCUUUUAUGGUGGGAAUAAAAAAAGUGAGCUUCUUUAAUGACAUCAAGCUAAGAGAUUUUAGCAAGAUAUCUAACUGGCAAAGCAAAUUUUUCCCAAAUGGAGAAAAAGAAGUUCUGAUCAAAGCAAUUGCCCAAGCAAUCCCUGCCUAUGCUAUGAGUGUUUUUAGAAUUCCAAUAGGGCUAUGUGCUGAUAUUCAAAGAGAAGUAGCUCCAUUUUGAUGGAAUUCAAAAAGAGACCACAGAAGUGUUCACUAGACCAAAGGGGAGAGAAUGUGUAGAUCCAAAGGAAAGAGGGGAUGGGAUUCAGGGAUUUAUUUAGCUUUAAUCAAGCCUUAGUGGCUAAAUAGGGGUGGAGGAUUAUCCCGUUCCCUGACUCAUUGAUGGUAAGAGUUUUGCAAGCACUAUAACAUAUACAACUUAAUUUUUCCUAAUUAAGUGUAUUAUGUAUUUUUCAUUUCUGUAUUAAUUUUAAAGUUGUCAGAUUAGUUACAAAUUAUUGCGGAUAAACUUGACACGACUCGAUUUCUUAUCAUAAAUUAAUGAAUUUGAGUCGAGUUAAUUAAUGAAUCGUGUUUUGAUUAAAUUUAAAUUUUUUACGACAUUAAAUCGAGACAAUUUGAGUGUGAUUAAAAGGUUGGGUAAUCAGAUUUUAUUUUCAUCAUAGGUCUGGUAUUAUAUUGAUUUGUAUUAAUUUUUUUAAAAAAAGAGAAGAGAAUCGGUUCUAGAAAUUGAGAAGGGGAGAGAGAGAGAGGGGGAGAAGGAGAGACAAGGAGAGAGAGAAGUUGACCUGUUUGACCCGUCCCGACCCGCGAAACUGACCUGGAUCCAACUCGCGAUCUAACCACCUCAUCGAUCUAGCCAGGUAGCAAUUUGAAGCUCGUGAGACGCAGGUCAUAUCCCAGUUGUCUACAAUGCCCGAAAACGAUCCGAACACCAGUAAUCAAGCUCGAAAAAUUGCGUCCAAAAACCCAACACCAUCGCUAUCAAUCUCAUCAAAAUUAGGCUGCAUCAUCGGCUGGGUUCUACUCCUCAGGUCACCAGCUUCCAUUUCCGAUCGGUCUUGUCACCUAGGGGUGUUCGCGGAUCGAAUUUUACGGAUUGGACAUCAAUCCAUAUCCGAUCCAUGAUUUUACGGAUUAUAAUUUUUUAAUCCAAUCCAAUCCACAGAUUGAUAAAAUUCAAUACAAAUCCAAUCCAUACAUCUGCGGAUUGGAUGCGGAUUUGACUCAAUCCAUAUCCAAUCCAUACGUCUACAGAUCGGAUGCAGAUUUGACUCAAUCCAUAUGCAAUCCACCAUUUUGCGCAUUAGUUUUCGAAUUAAAAAUUUUUAGUUCUCUCCAACUAAUGAAAUAAAAUAAUCUAAUAUAAAAAUAAUUUUGCUACCAAUUAAAUUUAAAAUUGAAUAAAAUUUAAAUAAAUUAAUUAUUUGAAUAAAGUUAAAAUAAUACAUUUAAAGUUUCAAAAUAUAACACAUCGAGACUAAUUAUUCAAAGAAAGCUAUAAUAAUACGUUCAAAGUUUCAAAAUAUAAUAUACCAAGCUUAAUUGUUCAAAUAAAAUUACAAUAAUACGUUAAUAUAACAACGAAAUUAAUUGUUCAAAUAAAGCCACAAUUAAUUGAAAUGGCAAAUUUUCGAAAACCAAACACAGUCUGAUCCUUCACCAGGGCUAUUGCACCUGUCGAAAGUGGUGAUUACGGAGCCAUCCACGAUGGAAACCAGAAGAAGCUGUACGGGUAGUGAUCUUGAAGGUUGUGAUAGUGAAAUUGUUCAGCUGGAACCAGUGAAUGUGAAGUGGCUCGAUUGACUUGGGAAAGAAGAUGGCUUGCUCUGGCCGGAAUCGCACGACCGAUGUCCUUUAAAUCCGUGUCGAGAGUGUAUCCAACUAGUAUUGAGUGUUGCUAGUGUGUGUGACGGCGGGGAAGCUUACAAUGUCACCUGAAACAGCCGGAUUAUCGCUGAUCAGCCACUUGAAGGUUCACAACUUUGGGAGCCGUCACUGCGCGUAGGAGCUCACGACCACCACCAUUGGACUUAACGUGGUCAAAAGUAUUAGACAUGAGCUUGAUGUUGCCGUUGAUUGAACUCUGGUCAUCGUUGACCACCAGGGGCAAUUUGGUAAUUUCAUAAAACUUCGGGGUAAAUUUGUAAUUUAUUAAGAUAGUAGAUAAUUUGGUAAUUUUAGAUUAGGGCAGUGAGGUAAUUUGAGAUUUCAGGGGUAAUUCAGUAAUUUAAUUUUGUUAAGGGCAUUUUGGUAGUUUCACACUCUGAGGAUAAUUUCAUAAUUUCUGAUAUUAUGGUUAUUUUUGUGAUCUGAAUUGAGGACAACUUGGUAUUUAAGGAUUUUGAGGAUAAUUUGAUAAUUUCAUAUUAGGGCAGUGAGGUAAUUUGAGAUUUCAGGGGUAAUUUGAUAAUUUAUGUUGUUAAAGGGAUUUUGCUAAUUUUACACUUCGAGGGUAAUUUCAUAAUUUAUGAUAUUAUGGUUAUUUUUGUGAUUUGAAUUGAGGGCAGCUUGGUAAUUAAGGAUUUUGAGGAUAAUUUGGUAAACAUUGACAUCGAGGGCAUUUUAAUAAUUAUGGCAUGCAAGGGUAUUUUGGUAAUUUUGUGCACAGGGAAUAGUUUAUUGCGGAUAAAUAUUUGUUUCGAGAUUUAUUGCAUAAAAUUAGUUGUAUUUCACAUUUACAGAAUAUGAGUAUGUCGUUUCCUUGAAUUAAGAGGAGGAUCCACGAACGAGAAUCAACCCAUAAAGGUUGACGCUACUAAGUUCGAACAUUGUCACUGUGAGUGGAAUAUACAAAAUCUAUUUUGACAGUAUAUUUUAAUUUUAUGAUAUAGUACAACAUGUUUUGAUAAAUAAGUAUUUGAUGCUUCGAUUUAAUGAUUUUCUAGAAAAUUGAUUUUUAUCUGCGUGUUGAUAUUUAUUAUUAUUAAAAAUGAGUUUGAUUAAUGAUUUUACUAUCGUUUUUGAGUAAAUGCAUGAUAAUAAUUUUAAAGAGAAUUAAGUGGAUUGAAUUAUGUUAUAUGGAAAAGAAAUGAGAUUGAAGUGUGAUUAUAUGUUUAUGUAUAUGUGUACAAGAGGAUGUUUUUAAAAUCAUUAAACAGUACAUUUCCCUUUAAGAUAUAGUGAUACAAAUGAGAUUAGAGGCCUUUGGGAUUCGUUUGAACACGUAUAGAGGUUUUAGGCCAUGUAAUUGGGCGCUUUUCCCUUUUGGGGGCUUAUGCAUGCAGUAUGAUGAUUACAGAGGUACAGACAAAUAUUGAUAUUACAGAUGAGAUAGAUAGUAUAGAUGAGAUACGAUAAUACAAAUGAGAUAUGAUGAUACAUAUGAGAUAUGAGAUGACAUUUCCCUGUCUAUCUGUUAUAGCUCCAGGGUAUGAUGGUAUCCUGAUUGCCCGUUCGUCGAGGUCCGGAUAAGAUGAGAUAUGAGAUAGUACUUCCCCGUCUAUCUGUGUAGCUUCGGGGCAUGAUGGUUCCUUGAUUGUCUGUCCGUCGAGGUCCGGAUAUGAUGAGAUUAUUCCCCUGGGUACUUGUUUGGUGAUAGUUUUUCGGUAUUCAGUAUAGUUUUUUGGUAUUCAGUAUUUGAUGUUAUCAAUGUUAUGAUUUCAUUGAUUUUAUGUAGAUUUAUGAAAUAUUGUUAUUCCAGUAAAUGAUUUGAAUUAAAUGAGUUUAUGAAGGUUCUUAUGAUAUUUUAAUGAGAUUGUUUAGAGAAGUUUUAAUUAUUAUUUUUUGAAUAAAUUUAUUUUUUUAAAACUAUUAUCCACUCACUGAGCUCACUGAGUUUUAUACUCACCCUAUUUUCAUUAUAUUUUCACCCCCACAGGAGACUUGUAGGUACAUCAAUCAACCCAGCAACGUUAGUUAGAUUUGAUAUUCUAGCCACAUAAUAGUGCUAGGAAUCGUAGAUAUUUUCUUGGGAUAUUGUGGAUUGUAUAAUUUACUACAUAUUUGUGAUAAGAAUAUUUUACUGUAUUUGAUAUUAUAAUGUUUGGAUGAUAUUUGGUAUGUUGAUUAAGGAAGUUGGUUGUGGGUGUUGAUUGUAUUUGGAAUUAUUUUGGGAGUGUUAAUUUUAUAAUUUGUACGUUUCGGUAUAUUAUAUUUAUAAGGGAAGCUCUGCUAAAUUUUUGACAGAAUCGUUAUUAAUUAGAUUACUUCCUACUCUUUUUAAUAGAUUUGGAUAGACUCCCCUAGGGGAUUGGAGCGGAUCGUUUCAAGCACAAUAUUUUAAAAGAGUAGAUUUUUUGAAUUGGGAUACAACCAUCCUUUGUUUGGAGAAAUAUUCUGUGGGGGUAGACAAAUACUUCACCAUGGUUUGAGAUGGAAAAUAGGAAGUAGAGAACAAGUCAAAAUACAACAGCACCUGGAUCCCAAGGCCCUCAACUUUCAGGAUAAUGUCGGCACCCCUUGUCCCCUUAGAUGCCACAGUUUCUCUAUUGAUAGAUGAAGAUCAUAAGUGGAACGAAAAUUUUGUCAGGCAACAAUUCAUGCCUGAGGAUGUAGAUCAGAUUUUGAAGAUUGCGCUGCCAAGAAGUCCAAGACUAGAUCAGCUUUUAUGGGGUUUUGACAAACAUGGUAACUACUAGGUUAAAAGUGGUUAUCAAGUUGCUUUAGGUCUUAGAAUCUCAGACUGCCCAAGCCCAUCAAAGAGAAGUCAUUCAGAAUGGUCUGCAAUUUGGAAGCUGGAAUUGCCAGAGAAAUUGAAGAUAUUCAUGUGGAGGGCUGCACAAAAUAUGCUCCCACCGGCAGAAAAUCUUUGGAAGAAUAAAGUUUUGCAACAUCCAUGGUGUCAAAGGUGUGGUAAACAAGGAGAAAACCCUUCCCACGUUCAUCACGGAAGUCAUGGAGGAUUACAGAUUUUUCUGAAGAUAUGAAACUUUUUGUAAAUCAAGACCUACUUAGUGUGUUGCAAGCUCUGGCAGCGAAGAGAAGUAGGGCAGAGAUAUAAUUCUUUGGAGCUCUGUGUUGGGCAAAUUGGCACUCAAGGAAUCUUUUUGUCUUUGAGGGAAAGAGAGAAGAUUAGCAGGUAUCAUUGGCAAAAGCAGAAGCAAUUGUAAAUUCAUACAAGAAAAUCAAAUCUCAUGUGUUGGCAUUCCAUGUGAGUCAGAGUAGCUUGAGAAACCAGCAUAGGAAAGCUCCUCCAAUAGGUUGGUUCAAGGUGAAUGUGAACGCAGCAACAAAGCAAGAGAAUCUGGUGGCAGGCUUGGGAGCAAUCAUUAGAAACUCAGAAAGAAAGUUUGUAGCAGCAGCUCAAAAGCAAACCACAUAUUAUGGAGAUGUCACUGCUGUAGAAGCAAAAGCAAUAAAACUGGGAAUUGAAACUGCAGUUUCUGCUGGUUGCAUGCCUCCGAUAAUUGAAUCUGACUGUCGAGAAGCCAUAAGCUUGGUUAACAGGAAGAACUUGCAGCAGAACAUAAAAUUUCUAGAGUAUCUCAGAUAUCUAGGACAGUUUAAGAAGCUUGAACAAAGCUAAAGUGCAUCACACUUCAAGACUUCGUUAGAGCACUGCACACUCAAUUGCCAAAAAAGCACUAAGCUCGAUAGAACCAACCAUGUGGAAGGAUGAUUGUCCUUCUCAUGUUCUGUACCUUUUCUCUGAUUUAGGUUCAUGAAAGCUAAGCUUUUCUAUCCCAAAAAAAAAAAAAUUCAUUCCAUUUUCUCCUGAUGUCCAAAACUUCGCAAAAAAACUCAUACCAAUCACAAAACACUAUUUUCUUUGUUAAAAUUUUAAAAUUAAUGGAUAACAAUAUUAUUUUGAAAACUGUAGCGAAUAAAUAGUAAAACCAAAAAUUGUUUUGAGGAGAAAGUGUCAAUAAUCUCCCUCAAGUUAUUGAAUAUAAUCCUGAAAUUGGAUUGCAAAAGAACUGCUUAAAUUUUUCCCGCUAGCCUUAAGAGAAUACGUUCUUUCAGUAUGCAUUGGCUUUGCAGCACAUGGUUUUUUGUUGCUAAGUGUCAAGAUUUGAAAAUACCAUUGUACCAAUCAAAUGCAACAGAUCUGUAUUUAUAUCACAUGUGGCAUGAUCUUUUUUCACUUGGUUUCCAACCUUCACUGGUUUAUACACUAUCCAUUAUAUCCAUUCAUUGGAGUGUAAAAUUUGCAUGUUCUUAUUUAAAAUUUUUGAAAAACAGUCAUAUAAUAUUAAUAAAAAAGUUCGUCGGGAUCUGUCUUGGAGUACGUAUUUCAGUGGAAGAGAAGUUAUGCACUACAUUUUAUCCAAUUUUCUUGUCUUUGAGUUCUUGAAAUUGAACUGGAGAAGUGUGGUAAAAACAACCGAACCAAGAGAUGAUUCUGGAAUAUGUAUGAUUAAAAAGACACAGAAACUUCUAAUGGGAAACUAAAGCAAUAAGUUUUGUCAUUUGCUUUACGAAAAAUUUUAUGAUGCCAUGACUAAAAUUACAGCAUUAAUGCCAUAAUAAACAUAAACUUUGUAAAUUAUAUAAAAAACUAUUAAAUAAAAGGUAAAAUAAAUAAAUUAAUAUCGAAUAGUAUAUUGAUAUUUUAAAAUUAUGGAUUAAGCAAAUACUUGUCAAAGUAAAAACUUGUAAAUCAACAUUAAAUUUCAAUUUAAAAAACGUUUAUUUAUUUAAACCAAAAAAAUUACUCAUCAAUUGAAAACAAAAAAUUUGUAUUGAAAAUAAUUGGAAUAAGUUUUAUUAAAUUAGUUUAACCAUAAAUUUUAAAUUAAUGCUAGGACAUUUAUAAACUUUUUUUUUCAUUUUCUAUCAUUGUAUUUGUUUACCAUACUAUUUAACCAAUGAAAAUUAUUUUUCUUGAUAUAGAUCAAGCCAAAACAAAAUAAAAAGACAUUCUUAUAUUAAUAAUAUCUAGUUUUAUACAUAUUUCAUGUAGUUUCAAACAUUGCUUCUUACUCAUGCCAAAAUAUCAGUUGUGAUUAUUGUCGAGGAGGCUUAAAAUGAUGCAAAAUCACUUAUAUUACAAAUAAUUUUGAAAAACAUAAAAAAUUUCUCAAAAUUUGAUUUUGAGAAUAAGUUUUAUCAAGUAUAUACACUACUAGAAAAAUGGUCUUUACUGACACUUGGUUUGUGACACUUUAUUACAAAGUAUCAGUAUUCGUAUGCAUAUGGGUCAUUUUUCGUGUUUAACACAUAUGUAUCACAAAUUAAUGAUACUAUGGUGUCUGCAAUUUGGACAUCAGAAAUCGCUGACACUGAAGUAUUAGUAAUAAAAGUAAAAUAAUUCUAAUCGUGUAACGGAUGGAAUUCGAACCUGGGACCUCGAACAUCGGAACAUUUAAGUUUAAGAAAAAGACCUUUUUCUUGGUGACAAAGGUAUCAAUAAAAGAAAAGAAAAUUUAAAUUUCAUUCCAAACUAAUUUUCGAACCCAGGACUUUUCAAAGCCAAAGCUUUUAAGUUUAAAAUUGAAACCGUUCUGACUUUUUGUUAGUUAUUCUACUGAAUUAGUAGAAUAUUAUAAUUUUAAUAUGAAGCACUUGAAAUGUAUUGAGGACGGCUGAGUGAUAAUUUUAGCGGGUUUUGACUGAAAAUUUACUAGUAAAUAAUAUAUUUUCAGUUAGAAACGAUAUUGUUUCACUUAGGAAAAAUAAAGAUAAGUAAAACGCAUCGUUUUAUUCAACCCUAAGACCAAAAUCGAAGCUAAUUUUUUUCUAAGUCAUUCACUCAUUAGUCUUUCACCACUCAGUUCUCCUUCUCUGUCAAAGCUAAGUAAACCAAACCCUAAAAUCAUAUCCCUCACAGUAAUCAAACUUCACAUCGAUCCCAACCAAGCUUUAAGCAAAGGAAUUCAUUUCUAUCACGAUUUUGUUCUCUCUGUCUCUCUCUCUGCACUGCGAUAAAUUCAUUUCUGAAGGUGCCAUUUAUUCAUUUUUAUUUAUUUUAAUUAUUAUGUUUCCAAUUUACAGUGCCUAUUUUCCUCAUGCAUGUUGAUUUGUUGUGGUUUAACUGUAGAAUGUGUUUUAAAAUUCUUAGUUUUUUUUUGUAAUCUUGAUUGGUUAUAAUUUGGGACCUGGGAAAACCUAAUAGAGAGGUAAAGGUAACUGAAGUUGAAUUAUUGUACUAGAGUCUUUAACUAAGAGUAGUUUUAUAAGUGCCUGAUUCAAAUCAGUUUUCUUUCGUCUCUUUCUUUAGUUGCCAUGUCACUAGACUUUGAAUUUUGUGUACACUUUUACUGGAAUUGAUGGAUACAAUGUCAAUGCAGAUUUGGGUUUUUCUCAUUUUCCCCAUCUCUCGAAAUUGCAUUUUAAAAUUUGCAUGAUGCUUUUAAUUUUGGGCCUAACUUGUUCCAUUUAAUUAGCGCUUGAUAAAGAUACAUAUUAACAAAGGGUCAAUUCAUCAAUCCUUUCCUUGUAAUGCACUUGCUAGACUUAGUAUAAAUGCAAUAUCUCACAUGCAAACCCUUCAACAACAACAAGUAUUGUCCUUAUUUUUUUUUUAUGUGAUUUCCCUUGUACAGCUCUCUGACAUAGUAUUUAACAAUCUGUCGCUUUUAAAGAAUCACAAAAGUUUACGGUGUAACAACUAUCUUCAUUUGGUAAUUCUUUUAAAUCACUCACUUUCUUUCAAUUUAUAUUAUGGUUGUGUUCUGAGUUUUACUUGUACUGACGUGUUUUAAAUAUUGACAGGCAUUGUUUUACUUUCUUUUUUGUUGCAUAGACUGUUCUAGAAUAAAAUUUUUCAUUCUAAUAUAUACUUUUGUUUGUUCUAAUAUGAAAAAGAAAUUUUGAAAAAUGUGGAUGUGGCAUGUUUUGUUGGCUUACUGAAUGUGUAGAUGUAAGUUACUUUUGCUGGCUUGGUGAAUGUGUACAUGUAUGCUCUGUUGGCUUGUUGAAUGUGUACACGUAUGCUCUGUUGGGUUGCUGAAUGCUUACAUAUAUGCUCUGUUGGGUUGCUGAAUGCGUACAUAUAUUUAAGUGACUCUAAAUAAAUAAAAUUUAGAUUUAUUUUGUAAUUUGUAUUUUUAAUUUAAACCUAAAAGUUUGGAGUUAUUUGUGCAAUUUAAGUAAACUUAUUAAACUAACAACAUCUAACAAAUAAAUAGGUAACAAUACAAGUUAUGGACAAAACUUGGAUAUUCUAUGAUAGAUUGUCUGAUGAGUAUAGUGUUGGGGUUGAUGAUUUCUUGGAGUUUGCCAUUCUUAAUUCUAAAAAUAAAAUGUCAAUUAGAUGUCCUGGUACCACUUGUUGUAAUAUGGAGUUUUUGAGUCCUCAACAAGUGAGGCUACAUCUAUUUAAAAAAGGUUUUUUGGAAAACUAUUUAGUUUGGAAUUGUCACGGUGAGGUGGACCGGAAACCUACCUCUGUAAAAUGCCAAGACCAGCCACAAAAUCAACGUUUUAGAUGUCCGGAUUAUAGUUAUGUAGAUGACAGGGUUCAUGAUGCUUUUGAGCAGUGUGAUAAAGAUCCUAGUUCUUUUAAGAAUGUGCUUGAAGAUCCUGAAAACCCCCUAUAUCUGGGUUCAAAGCAUUCAAAGUUAUCGAGUCUAUAAAACUGUACAAUAUAAAAGGACUUUAUGGCUUGUCUGAUAGUGGGUUUUUCAGUUUUAUUGGAAGUGCUUAAUGAGAUAUUGCCAAAUGAUAAUAGUUUUCCUAAGUCCAUGUAUGAGGCCAGAAAAAUAAUGAAGCUAUUAGGCCUAGAUUAUGAGAAAAUACAUGCAUGUCGAAAUGAUUGCAUUCUUUAUAGGAAUGAAUUAGAGAAUCUUAGUGAAUGCCCAAGGUAUGGAGCAUCUAGGUGGCAAAUAAGAAAAGAUGGAUAAAAAAAAAAUUAGAAAGGGGUCCCUAAAAAGGUGUUAUAAUAUUUUCCUAUAAUUCCUAAGUUGAAAAGAAUAUUUCAAUCACCACAAACUGCAGAGAACUUAACAUGGCAUGAAAAUAAAAGAAUUAGGGAUGGCAAGCUUCACCACCCAACAGAUUCAAUAGCUUGGUAGUUAAUUGACAAGAAAUGGCCUGAUUUUGCCCAAGAGUCGAGAAAUAUUCGGUUCGCUUUAUCAUCUGAUGGGAUUAACCCACAUAGCACACUUGGCACUACUUAUAGUUGUUGGCCUGUUACAUUGAUAACAGAUAACCUUUCUCCAUGGUUGUGUAGGAAUAGGAAAUUUAUGAUGUUGUCUAUACUGAUAUUUGGCCCUAAACAAUCUGGAAAUGACAUAGAUGUAUACCUAGCACCAUUGAUUGAGGACUUAAAAACCCUAUGAGAUGUAGGCGUCGAUGUGUUUGAUGGUUAUAGGAAAGAAACUUUUAAUUUAUGAGUUGUGUUGAUGUGGACAAUUAGUGAUUUUUCAGCUUAUGGAAACCUGUCUGGGUGUACUGUUAAGGGGGAUUAUGGUUGUCCAGUUUGUGGGAUAAACACAUGUGCAUGUUGGCUACCGCAUAGUUGGAAAAUGUCAUAUAUGGGUCAUAGGCUGUUUAUUGAAAACUCUCCUAGGCCUUUGUCUGGUACAAAUAUCUUAAACUUGGUGGUUGACAUUGACACCAAGUUUGGGAAAAAGGUCCAAAAACAACGAAAACGGGGUGAGGUUGAGGGUCACAAUAAGGGUAAAGGUGAGGGUAACAGUAAGGGUAAAGGUGAGGGUGAGGGUGAGGGUGAGGGAGAUAGUGAGAUUGAAGGUGAGGGUGAGGGUAAUGGGGAUGUAGCUUAGUUGCGUUACAAAAAGAUAUCAAUCUUCUUUGAUUUAGAAUAUUGGGAACAUUUGUUAGUUCGCCAACAACUAGAUGUGAUGCAUAUUGAGAAAAAUGUAUGCGAGAGCAUCUAUGACAUAUUACUCCAUCAACCGGGCAAAACAGAAGAUGUAAUUAAUGUUAGAAAAGAUCUUACAAAUCCAGACCUUAGAGAAAAAAUUAAUAAAGCAUUGAUUGUAUUAGCUCCUGAUGAACAAAACAAAGUCCUGCACCCUGCCCCGUACACUUUAAGUAAGAAGGAAAAAAAAUGUUAUGUGAAACCUUGCAAAGUGUUAAAGUUCUUGAUGGCUAUUGUUCUAAUUUUAGAAAUAUUGUUUCAAUAGAUGAUUUUCGUCUUCACGGGCUUAUGUCUCAUGAUUCUCAUACCUUGAUGCAACAACUACUACCAUUAGCAAUUCGAAAUUGUUUACCUCAAAAUUUCAGAUAUGUCAUAAUCAGGUUGUGACUCUUCUUUAAUUCUUUGUGUUCUAAGGUAGUAGAGCCCAAUUCUCUAGACCAAUUGCAAAAAGAACUUACAAUCACCUUAUAUAAUUUAGAACAAUCUUUCCUACCUGCCUUCUUCGAUAUAAUGAUCCAUUUAACAGUCCAUCUAGUUGAAGAAGUUAGAUUAUGUGGCCCGGUUUACCUUCGAUGGAUGUAUCCAUUUGAGAGAGAAAUGAAACCUAUAAAGGGCUAUGUACGCAACCGACACCGUCCUGAAGGUUGCAUUGCAGAGUGCUAUAUUGUUGAGGAAGCACUUGAAUUUUAUGCUGAAUACCUUUCAAAUUGUAAUUCAAUCGGACUACCUACUGGUUGUCUAAUUGAUUUUACAGUCGAAAGGCCACUAGGAGGUACAAAUAUUAAGGUGGUUGAUGGCCUUACAUUGGCGCAAGUGCACCGAUGUGUUCUGGUGAACACCCCCGAGAUUCAACCAUACAUAGAGUAUGUGACUGAAAAUUUGAACCUCUUUUUCGUUAAUUUUUUUUCAAUUUUAUUAAUUUUGUUGGUAUAAUUUUAGGGAGCAUUUGGCCUUAUUGCAAUCAACACACCCUCGUCAAUUAAAAAAGCCUUUAUGGUUGCCAAUCGAGCACUCCUGUACGUUUGCUGAUUGGCUGAAACAAAAGGUUAGAUUAACUUCAUUAAAUCUAAUAAAAGUAUCCAAGUAAAAGCACACAAACUUUUCUCUUUCAACUAAUUAUUGUGAUUUUAUUAAUUGAACAAUAGGUAACAAUUGAUAAAACAAAUAAUAUAGUGGUUAACAAAAAAGUAUGGUGGUUGGCAAACAAACCCAGCUCAAGCGUGGUUACUUAUGAUGGCUACUAUAUUAAUGGUUUUAAUUUUACUACAAGAGAUCGGGAUAGCAACCGCAUAACACAAAACAAUGGUGUUUAUGUAGUUGCUAACACUUUAUAGAUUUCAAGUUCGAAAGACAAAAAUCCUCAUUCUAGGGAUAUGCCUUUUUAUGGGGUUGUUAGUGAAAUUUGGCAACUUGAUUAUCUGGGGGUUAAAAACGUACUUUUCAAGUGCGAUUGGGUAGAUGAUAGAGGGGUUAAUAUUGAUGAGUUAGGGUUCAAUGUAGUCAAUUUAGAUCGAAUAGGCUACAAAUCUGACUGUUUCAUUCUAGCUGGUCAUGCAAAGCAAGUGUUUUAUGUGAAAGAUCAGUUAGAUAAUAGUAAAUCAGUUGUUUGUUCAGUGAGCUCAAAAUGUAAUUAUUUAAAUGAGGCCUUGUGUGAUGGCAUCGAUGAGUAUGCACCAUUAUCCAACAAUUUUCCAGAAUGUAAGUUAGGUUUAGGUGAUGAGGAGUUUGUGUCAGAGUAGUUGUUGAUGUUUUUCUUGUAAAUAUUGGUGCGGAAAAUGAAUAAUCCAACUACUAUGCCUUAUUACCGCUACUUCCUGUAAGUCAUCAACAAAUUUGUCUUUUAUUAUUUUAUUAUUAUAUUGGGAUAUUAGAUUGGUAUCUGGUGCACUCAUCCACUUUGAUGUAUUUGCAGGUUUAUUGGAGACAUGGCAGAAAAAGAGAAGCCAACAUUUGAUCUAGAUCUAGAAGGAAGACCAAGACAAAACCUUACAAAGAAGAAAGACCCCGUAGAGAGGAGCUAGUGACGACACUGAGGUUAUGUACAAUUCCUAAGGAGUUCCAGUUGGAAAAAAGAAAAACGAUCUGAGAAACUACAUUGGAGUGUUUGCACGGGAAAGAGUUCCAAUUAUCUAUGAUGAUUGGAGGAAAGUGCCACUAGACAUCAAGGAGAUGUUAUGGAUUCAUUUUCAAGAAAAGUUUAAGUUGAGUCUUAAGGCGAAAACCUAAGUGUUUAAGUGGAUGAGAAUUGCAUUAAGGGGCUUUAGAUGUAAGUUGGCCAAUGAAUAUAUUUUGCCUAAUGCAAACAACUUGAGUUCACUGAAAAAGCCUUCUCUUGAGUAUGAAGGCAUUAGAAAAGAGGAUUGGAAGAGCUUUGUUGAUAAGAUUUUAUCUGAAGACUUUUAGGUACGUUUAAAAUUAUGUUAGUUAGAUAAUAUUAUUGAGUUCCUGUAACCAUUUUAAUCAAUAUCCGCUUUGUGCACGAAAAAAGUAAGGCAGCAAAGGACAAAAGAGCAAAGAAUAUGUACAAUCAUCACUUAGGCAGCACAAGAAAUGCUGGGUUGUUGUAUAAAAGAGUAAGUAUAAUAACCACUCUAUACAAACUUAUGACAUUUUCAAUACAAAUAAUAGGAUGAUUCAUAGCAGUUUUCAAUUCAAUUUUUGUUGAAUUAUUACAGCAGUUGGACCUCGGAGUUACUGAGCGCGAGAUUGACCGCAAUGAAGCAUGAUUAUUGGCUCACAGGAGAAAAUAUGGAACUUAUACACCUGAAGUGCAGCAAGUGGCUGAGAGAAUUGUAAGUUUCCACCACCACUGUCGUUAUUUAACUUAUCUUUUUGUAUUCCUAAUUUUGAUCAAAUUAUUUUUGUAUUUAUUUUGUAGAGUGAGCUAAGAAGUCAAGUUGAGCAAGGAACGUUUCAAUCCCAAGGACCGAAUAAUAUCCUAGGUGAAGCACUUCCAAAGAAGCCUAAUGGAAGUCGAGUGCAAGGAUUGGGUCAAUUUAUCACCCCAUCCCAUGUAUUUCAAUGUUCCUAACUCCAAGGAGUUGGCACAAGAACGGAGAAUGUAGCAGAAGAGUUUUCAGUUUAUGCAAGCUCAAUUAGAUCAAAUGAAUGCAAGGAUAAACGCCUGCAACAACACUAAAGUUGGCAGUUCCAACUUUCCUAACUCCAAAGGUGGUUGCAGUGUUAAGAUGGAGAUAGAUCGUCGAUCACCCAACAAAGUUACUCCAAAGUCAGUGACUAACAACCCCAAAGCAACUCCAAAGUCAGUGACCAACAACCCUAAAGCUACCAUAAAGUCAGUGACCAACAACCCCAAAGCUACCCCCAAGUCGGUGACCAAAGUUAGUCCAAAGUCAGUGAUCAAUGACCCCACUGUUUGUCCAAAACCUGACAAAAACAUCAACACACCUCCCCUACCAUCCCCUGCACAGAAUCCACCCACAGUAGUUUGUGAAGCCACUUCAAAAAUCACCCCAAGAAGAUCUCCAAGAUUAACUCCUUCAAAGAGAAAAGUGGAUGGCCGAAAGUCUCCUACAAAUCCCGUGGUAUAUCUGUAUGAACAGAAAUGAAAACGAACAAUAAAGGAACUCGUUGUUGUAAAACCAGUGACAACAAGGAAACUGGUUCAGAGAAAGAAUACCCGUGGAGCUGUGAAAGCAAGAAAAGAGAACAAAAGUUCACAAAUGAACAUCUUUUCUUUGAUGAUUGAAAGCUCCCUACCACAGACGAUUAUGAUUGCCCAUGAUUUGAAGACUUUUGGUGUCUACUGGGAGAGCAGAUUUGCAAUGAAGCCAUUGAGUUUACAGAGCUCUCAAAUUCUGUUUUGGAGAUAUGGAUCAAGUAAGAAAUAAAAAACUUGAUUUAUGUUUUUACUAUGUGUUGUGCAAAUUUUAUUGAACUCGCAAGCGCACAAAUCUAUUGUAGUAUAGAUCUAUGGUGACGAGCGUUGAUCCCACGAGGAGGUGAAUUUUAAUUAUAUAUAGAAUUAAUUUUGUAAAUGGGUGGUUGGAUUUGUGGUGGAAAUGAUUUAAAAUAUGCUAAAACUUAAAUUAAAAUAGCAAGAAUAAAUUCUGAAAUUGGAAUUGAAAUGGCAAGAAUAAAUUGAAGAGAAUUCUAUUGAAAUGACGUACUUGAGUAUCUGGAUCCGUAUCAACAUGCAUCAUGGGCUAAAUAUUCCAUAUUAAUACCAAUUAAAUCAUGAGGGGGGAAUCCACACCUCAUGAACCACACUCUAAUAAACAUGGUGCUAAGAGCUCAUCGUGCCAAAUAAUAAUAAUCUUAUACUAGGGAGCCGGUGAAACCAGGGCGAUACUAGACAAGAUUAGUAUUAUUUGUCGACGAGAAGUCAAAACAUCCACAAAAACUAGAGGGGAAGAGAAAAUAAAUUUACCAAAUAGAGCCCAUGACACAUGUUGAGACUUCACCUUCAACCCAAGCUUGAAAGAAAAUUAGCCACUCAUAGUUAAACUAGGGGCAAAAUGGAAAUUUAUUAAAAUACGUAGAAAAUACAAGAUAGAGAAGGAAUUACAGAAAAUGGAGUCCAAAAAUAGAUUCAGAGGUGCCAAAUUAGGGGGGAGAGGCCCCUUUUUUUAUAGAUACAUCGAGUAAAUCAUGGCCAUCGGAUUAAAAACAGUUUGGACGCUCAGGAUUGCGCUACGUCAUCAGUCAACAGUACGCGUGAACAGUACCACGGUUUGACUACGGUUUGAACAGUGACACGGUUUGAACAGUGACACGGUUUGCACACUGUUUGAACAGUAACGCGGUUUGCACAGUAAUAAUCUCAUGUGUUGCAUGUACCGUACGUGCAGUUUUUAAUCCACUAAUAUGCUGCCACGUCACCAUUAAACAGUACAUAAAAAUUUUAGUCCAACAGGAUCUUGACACGUCAUCAGUCAAUGCCACAUCAUUGGUCAAUGCCACAUCAUGGAUCCGUCUAUAUGAACAGUGCCGUGAACAGUAACGUAGACAGUACCCGUACAUGUGAACAAUGCCCUUUUUCCUUUUAUGCUCCUCCUAAGGUUUUCGACCGUCCUGAGUUCAAAAAUGAUGUCCGUUUUAUCAUUUGAUAUCUCGUUUAUUGUGAAAUGACUAUGAUGCCCCUAAAAUACAUAAAACACUUAAUUAAAAUAAAACACACAUAAUUAAAUUAUAAGAAACUUAAACAUAUAAAAGUAAGGGUUGUUAGUAAGACUUGAUAUGUAAAAUGAAGAUUUUCUCCUUUAUAAAUAUGCAUUUUCUAACACUCAACAUACCCCCCAACCAGCUUAUUGCUAGUCCCUAGCAAAUAAAGCGAAAACAAAAUUCAAAAAUGAUUUUUUUAAAACACUCUUGUUUAUUCAAUCAGACUAAUGAUAACAAUCAAAUAAAAGUAUAAGUAUUAUCUCAAGUCGAAAGAAAGAUCACACCCACAUCAAUCAUCCACAUGAAUCAGCCUAAUAGACUUUGUCGUAGCUACCUUCAAGAAUGACAUGUCAAACCCCAAAAUCUCACUAGAAGUAGUGACACUCUCACAAAGAAAUUAAACCCAAUAAAAAUAGUCACUCCAAUGAAUGGUAGUUGAGAGAAAAUAAUAAAGAAGUGAUAUCACAUGCUCUCCCCAAAAUGAAAGAAAUAUGCCCUUAGCUUAGAAAUAAUACGAUCUCUAGUCAAAUAAAAAUGCUAGUCAACCCAAUUUAUUUAUUUUUUUUUUUCAUGCAUCACUACAUUCUUUUAGCCCAUAUAACUAGGCUAGGGACAUGACUAACAAAGAAGGGAAAUAAGAAAAAUAAAGUGUAUGUUUGAGAAAAAUGCAGAGGAUUUUUUUUUGGAAGUUGCAAGGUGGAUUUCACCUAUUAUUAUUAUUUUUCUUUGAAACAACAAUUUCUUUUUUUUUUUGAAGCAACAAUUUUUUUUCUUUUUUUUUGAACUAGGCAUAACUUCACUAUACAAAAUGUUUAUUUACAUUUUUUUCUCAAACAUAAAUAGGUAAUGGAUCUUAUAAGAUAUUGGGUAAUACUCCAAAUCGGAGUGGGUUAAGAUGAUAAGUUGACAAAUAAAAGGUUUUUUUUUAAAGGCUUAAAAGGGUUAACUAUGGAUAUUUGAUAAAAAAGGAUGGCUAGAAAGGCUCAAACGGAUCAAAGAUGACAUUUCCAUCAUCUUUUAGGGCUCUAAAUAAUCUUCCAUAUCUACUAAUUAGAUGGGCCUCCAAAUGUAGCAACACACAUUUUUUUUCUUUUUUUUUUUAAUUUUCAAUUUUUUUUUAGGGUUAACUCAAAAGAAAUCUAAAGAUCGUGUAUACAAUAAUAACUGCUAAGCUGUAUAAAAAAUGGGAAAAAGGGUUACUCUCCAAGAAAAAUGAUAGGCUCAAAAACUCACUUGGUAUUGAUUAUGACAUGUUCAUUCCUUCAAGCAACUCAUAUUUAUCUCCGACAUCAACAUGUAGAGUAGCAAACAUAGUGUAACAUCACUUCAGACUAAAGAUAAUACAAAUACUAAAAUUUGAAAUUCAUCAUGUCAUCCAAUGUUAAAACAAAUCACAUUUUUUUUUAAACAACACCCUACCCCCCAACCUAUUCUAAACAUGAAAAGAAAAUAUAUAUACAAAAAUGAGAAAAUGAUGCAGAAAAACUAAUUAGAAAAUGAUAGAAAACAAAAAUUGUUGUUUUUUUUUUGUUUUUUGUUUUUUUUAACUUAAGAAGAUGCAUUUUUAGAGUUACUACACUCCAUAUUCAGCCAUCUUUAACUAAAAAAAUUUGAAAAUGUAUUGUUCGUGAUUUGUGCAUUUUUUAAAACAAUGUGAGUUUCUCCAUAACUUGUUUAAUAUUUUUUUGAAGAAUGCAUUGUGAAAUGGAUUUUCUUAAGUGAAUUGUGAAGAUGGUUAAUGAGUGAACAUUUUGCUGCUUUAUGCUUGAAACUAGCAAUAUAAUCAUAUCUUGUGCUAGGGAUUAGAGGAAGUGUUGUGUAUGUUUAGGAUAAUCACAUACACUUUAUUUGCCAUAUUUAUUAUAGGUAAAAGCUAUAACGCUAUAUACAUUUUAAUGAAUGCAUUCAACAUGUUUGGAAAAAUUAAUGCCAAUUUUUACUGUGUUCUACUAUGUAUUUUAAGGCACUUUAGUGUAAACCAAAAUGACUGGAGUUGUUGCAUGUACAAAUAGAAUGCAUAGAAAUCUCGGUGUUUAGUGUUAAAGUAGUAUUGAGCAAUGAUUGGAGCUGCUGUAUGUACAGAUAGAAAGCAUAUAAAUCCCAAUGCUGAGUGUUAGAAGUAAUAUUGAGUAAAGCAAAUAAUAUAUUAUAAAUUAUCAGCUUCUUAGACAGCUUUGGUAAUUGUUGUUUGCUAUGGUGAUACAAUUUAUUUGCAUGUUCUUCAGUUUUGAUAUUAAUCCUGGCAAACUUAAAAAUAUAUGUUUUUAUUGUGUUGUUUUAUUUUAGAACAGAUUCUAUAAUAUAUGAAUACAUUUUGUUGCUUUAUUUUUGAAGUUCAAGGGCUGUAAUGAGUACAUUAUGGAUGAUCUUUCGCAACUUCGCGAUCAGUGGGCGUUGUAUAUUGCAAAGUUACUUGUAGCAUACAAUAAUGAGGUAAAUCAUAUUUUUGCUUGUAAAUAUCAAAGAAUUGAUUUUUGUAGCAUAGUCGCUAAUUGAUUCUAUAUACUGUAAUUAUAGGUGGGAAAGGUGAAAGGAAAGGCAAAGAUCAAAGAGUAGAUGUACUGAUUGUUUCCUGGAAAGGCAAAGAUCAAAGAGUAGAUGUACUGAUUGUUUCCUGCAAAUUGUCAUUAUGUGUUCAUGUAAAUAUUUGACAUGUUUUCAAACAAUAUGUUAGAUAUUUGUAUUAUUAUUUUAUUUGAUACCUAUUUAAAUGUUAGCAGGAAUGUUAUAUACUUAUAUUUAAUUAUUCAAAUUUUUACUUUAGUUUAAUUUAAAUAGAUUUUCUUUGAAUACCAUUAUUUCAUUGGGAAAACUAAAAGAAUAAUGAAAAUAAUCGAGUAACAACAAUAAUUUCAGCAUCUUUUCUUUGAAGCCAUUGACGCUAAAAAAUGUUUCAGCAUCAUAAUAUUAGUGAUGCUAUAGUAUUACAAAUUGCUGACACUGAAGUAUUAGUAGCCGUUUAUUCUAUCAUGUCACCUCACAGUGUAAAACAAACUAUUGACGUGUAAUAAUUGUUAGUAAAUACUAUCACUAUAGUGUCAUAAUAUUUUGUGAUACUAUGGUGAAAGUAACUUUUAACAAGUGAUCAUUAUCAGUAAUUACUAAUACCAUAGUGUCAUGGAUCUGAUAAUACUAUAGUAAUAAUAAUCACUAACAUCAAUUACAAGUGUCACUAUUUUUCUGACUCCUAGAUUACUGACACAAUUAACAAGUGUCAGUGAAAGUAAUUUCUGACACUAUUCUAAAGUCAGUAAAGACUAUUUUUCUAGUAGUGAUAUAUAAACUCAAAAAUAUCAUUAUUCAAAUUUAGGAAUCAAAACAAUAAAUAUAUAAGGUAAUCAUUAUUAUAAUGAGUUUUUAUCUUAAAUUUGUAUGUUUUUAUUAUUUUUUCAAUAACUCUUUUAAUAUUUACUUAUUUUACAUUUCAUUUAUAAGUAUUCUAUUUCAUUUACAUAAUUUAUAUGUUAUUUUACACUUGACAUUGAUUUACAAGUUUUAUGUUGCAUCUAAAGGUUUAUGUUUUGUUUACAAUAAUAUAUUAUUUUACUACUCUAUGUUACUUUACUUAUUUUACAUUUUAUUUAUAAGUCUUCUCUUUCAUUUACAUAAUUUAUAUGUUAUUUUACACUUAUAUGUUAACAUGUAUGUGUCUAUAAUGUUGAUUUUGAUGAUAACAAAUAAAAUUAACAAUGAUUAAUCUUUUAAAAGCUCAAAUUAUUUUUCAUACAUUUUAAAUAAAUUAUUAUUUUCAUAAUAUAAAGGUUUUAUACUUAAUGAAAAAAUGGUUAUUUUUCAAGUUUAUGGUCUAAUUGAAAAAGUUUUGAAACUCUAGAAAUGGACUUAAUUGUAAAGUUUUUUGACGAUUUGGGUCAUAGUAUCAUUAUAGAAAGUUGGGGGCAAUCUUAUAAUUUUAGAAAAUAGUUUUACUGUAGCAUUUUUAGUAUAUAUUAUAUGUUAUUCACACUUUGAGCAUUAAUUUGUAAUCAUUUGCAUUGUGUGAGGGAAAAUUCAUUUCUAAUAUUUGUUUUUGAGUGAUUGUAAGUGUGGGGAUACACUUGGGUUAAGAGAUUGAGAAUAAUCUCUUAUUGUAAAUGUCUAUUGAUACCUUGGAAGUCAAUUGUAAGCAUUUGAAGCGUUGAGAGGUUUGGAUAGUGAAAUUCUUGAGUUUGGUUGGCUUGGAGGCAUGGACGUAGGCGGAAAUUGCCGAAUCACGUAAAAAUCAUUGUGUUUGCUCUCUCUUCCCUUACUCUUUUAUUAUUGUACUUUAUUAAAUUUGUUGUUUUUGAUUUCAUUGAGACAAUGAUUGAACUGUUGUGUUGUGUUGUUUAGCUUAAGUUUUAAAAUUCCAAUUUACCCCUCUCUUGGGUUGCAUAACUAGUAUUUUAUUAUAUUGAUUUGUAAGUUUUUUUGUUACAUUUGUAAGUUUAUAUUUUGUUUACCAAUAAUAAAUUAUUUUACCAAUCUUACAUUAAUUUACUUGUUUUACCUACGAUUUACAGGUCUUAUACUUUAUUUACUUUAUUUAUAUUUAAUUUUAUAUUUAAUGUUGACUUACAAGUUUUAUGUUAAAUUUACAUGUCUUAUAUUUUAUCUAUACAAUUAAUGUUUAAUUACGGUAUUGAUGUCCUAAUUUUAGUUAGGGCAUCAUAGGAUGACCCUUUAGUUUAUUAAUAAUCUUAUUGUGACAGAUUCGUCAAACCAAGGAAUAACUUAGGGUACCUCUUCCUUGGAUAAUAAAGGCAUGUCAUGUUUUGGCCCUCAUAGAAUUAAUUCCGUUUUUAUUUUUGAGAAAAAAUCAUAGUUAUGAACUUUUAUCUGCAUUAAAGUUUUGAUACAACAAUUAACCACAUUUAAUUCCUAGGGCAAACAGAAUCACGCACGCAUAUUUCUUGGGUGGGCGAUAUAAUAUUGCUAUGAAUUCUUUGGACAAUCAGAGAGACAAAGAUCCAGCUCCUCUUGGAGAAAAUUCAGGACAAUAUUCUUGAAAAUAUUGUUAAAUCAUAAAAAGAUUGUGGUGGCCAGACGGAUUAAUAAAUAAAUAGAUAGAGCUUCACAAGGGCUAAUGCUCUGUAUGAUUUUUAGUUGCGCUAGGCUUCCCAAAUUGCCGGGGAUUAAUAAACAAGGGCAAGUAAAGUUAGAGGCAAACUCCUAUUAGCUUGUUAUUAAAGAUUUUGUAAUUUACUUACCUCUCUAAGAAUGAUUGUUUAUUAGUCCUAUUAGGAAUAGGAUAACGUACAUACUCUCUAUAUAUUAUAUAUAUAUAAGAAGUACAUGCGCAUAUAGGACUGAAUUAAAUUUAUUUGUCUAGUUUUAUUAUUAGUCAUCAGCAGCCAUGGGCAGGAACUCGCAACUUCAUGUCGUUCUCGCCGCCAAGCUUUCUUUAGAUAGAAAGACAAUGUAUAUGAAAGUAAGUUGGUUAAUUAAAUUGAGUAGCUUAUCCACCCCGACUAGUUUUUGUAUAUUUACAAUUUUGUUUUUUUGUUUUUAUUAAUAAAUUUAAAACUAUUAAUUGCAUCUGCAUAUAUAUACGUAUGCAGUUGAUUUCGGCAGAUUUUGUCCCUGUGCUGUUCCUACACUUUUGGUGGGUGUAUGGCGUCGACACCCCUCUCAUGAAUUUGACGGCAAAAACAUGCUUCAUAGCACUAAUAAUGACAGUUUUGUUCGAGGUAAGGUGGAGGUAUCUAUUCAAAUAUUUUAAAAAGGUACGUAAAAAAAUUAAUGAUGCAUUGUAAUUAUUAAGGUUAUGGUUUGACGAGGAUACUAAUUUGUUAAUUUUUUUCUAUUAACUUAAUUAUGUUUUAUACAUUGUGUUUCAGGAAGCAGAUUUGGAGAAUAUCAUACAAUUUACUGAGACCCCACAUUAUUGUCAGGCAUGUCUCUACUAUUAAUAAUAUUGCAUAUAUAUAAUAAGAGUCAGCUUCCAAUCAAGGAAUCUCAAACUUUAUUAAAACCCAGGAUGUGUUUAUAAAUGUAUAUCGUUAGUUAAUUGCAUGUUGUUAAAUAAAUAAAUUAACCAGUUCCAGUUAGCUGACAAGCGAAUGGAUGGAUUAAAAUUAAUUACUUUCUGUUUUACAGAUAAUGUAUGAUCAUCAUCAGGAACCACCAAAAUCUCUCAUCAUGUCAUCUCUAGCAUUCCGCAUCUGUGCGGUUUGUCCAAAUGUGGCCCUCUACGUAGCACCGCUGGCAUUGUUUCUCAAACCAUCCGACGACGAAGGCUUAUUCUAUUUAAUGAUUUCUGUUUUGUUAGGCUUCUCGUAUUUCCAAAUAAGUUUUAUACAGCCGCUGCUACUAGAUUGUGAUGCUGAUACCUUGAAGUUUAUUAGAAGCCAACACCUGGUUUUUAUGGAAACCAAUAUCGCUGCUGCUACUACAGUAAAAGAACCACCUAACAAAUGAUUUGUUUUUAGUUUAUACUAGAGGGAUAUAGAGAGAAAGAAAGAGAAAUGUUCCUGUCCAUGAUCCUAAAAUUAUUAAAGUUUGGGAAAAUUAUCAAACCAUGAGUUUUAAUAGUAGUUUUAUUUGUUAAAGCUAUUAAGUCAUGUGGUUUAAUACUAUAAUUACAUAAUGCUAUUAAACACACUAUUUAAUAUCUUUUCUAAACUUUAAUAAAAUCCAAAAUCUUGGACUAACAAUUGAAAUCUUGUUAUUAUAUAUACUUGCAUGGUCAGUGCAUUUAGAGUGCGUUUGGCAUAUUGUAUUAUAUUACGGCAUUAUUUUAAUGCUUGUGUGUUGUAUUAUUAUAAUACUGUAUUGUAUUAAGUUUUUAUGAUUAAUUUAAAUUAAAUAUUAUAUUAAUAAAUUACAUUAAUAUAUUUAAAUUGUAAUAAUAUUUUAUAAUAUUAUUUAUACUAUUAUUAAUUUUAAAUUAAUAUUAUUAAAAUUUAUUCAUAUUUAAAUAUUUAUUAUUGUUUAUAAUAAAUUAUAAUGUAAAAAUAAAAAAAUUAUAUAAUAUUAUACUAAAUUAAAAUAAUAAUAAUAAUAAUAAUAAUAAUAAUAAUAAUAAUAAUAAUAAUAAUAAUAAUAAUAAUAAUAAUAAUAAUAAUAAUGAUAACAACAACAACAGCAACAACAACAACAACAACAACAACAACAACAAUAAUAAUAAUAAUAAUAAUAAUAAGAAAAAAGCAAAUGUAAAGUUGGAAACCGAAAGGGGGAAAAAAAAAGAAAGAGCAAGCUGGCCCAUUAUGCAGUGUCCCUAUAACUUUUAGCUUACCAAAUAUGUAAUGAGGAGUCAUAAUAAAUUUAAUGUAAUGAAGAGUCAUAAUACAUCAACCAAACAUGCCUUUAUAGUGUGUUUGACAUACUGUAUUAUAUUAUGUUGUAUUGUAUUAAUAUUAUAUUAUAAUAAUAUUAUAGUUCUACACUGCAUUGUAUUAAUUUUUUUGUGAUUAACUUAAAUUAUAUAUUUAGAAAAUAAUAUUUUUUAGUACCUAGAAAAAUUCUAAAUAUAGAAGUCUUAAAUUUUAGAAAUUUAACAUUAUUUUUUAGUAUAAAUGUUAAAAAAUCAUUUUUUUUUCAUAAAGAUCGAAGCUUAUAGCCUUAUAUUCUCGGCAGCAUAACAUUUAUUUUUUAGUAUUUUCUAAAUAUAUAACAUCUGAAAUAAAGAAUGAAGUGAAUAAUUUAAUCAAAUAAUCUCUAAAUAAUAUCAUAAUGUAAUGAUAUUUUAUAUUAUUAUUUUUAUUGGUAUAAUUUUAAAUUAAUAUUAUUUAAAUUUAUUCGUAUAUAAAUAUUUAUUAUGAGUUAUAUUAAAUUGUUAAAUAAUAAUCAAUUUUUAUAUAUCAAUUACUAUAAUAUAAUAAAAUAAUGUAAUAUUAUGUUAUAUUUUUAUUUUUAUAUAUUACUUAAGUACUUAUUGUUAGUUAUGUUAACUUAUUAAAUAUUAAACUAUCUUUUAUAUUAAUUAUUAUAUAAUUAAAUAAUACAUUAUUUAGUUAUAUUUUUAAUAUAAUAAAAAAUAAAAUAUGAGUAACAAUUUAUAAAUUUAUUGAUUUAUAUCAAUAAUUAUGAUGUAAAAAUAAAAGAAAAUAAAAAUUAAUAUUAUAUAAUAUUAUAUUAAAUUAAAAAAUUGUAUUUAUUUAUUAUUAUUAACAAAAGCAAAAGUAAAAAGGAAAAAAAUAAAAAAAAAAACUAAAGCAAAACGCUAAUGCGCUAGUUGGCGCAUUAGUAUACCCCCUUAAUUCCUUGUAAAUUCCAAAUAUAAUAUUGGUAUUAAGUUAAUGUAAAUAGUAUUUUAAUACUAGUAAUCCCAUGAUCCAAACACACCCUUAAUUAUUUCAGUAAUCACAAUUUAUUCUUAUUCACUCCUUAAAGGAAUUAGCGUCAGCUGAUUUAAAAAGCAAGAGAAAGCACCAGCUAGCAAAGUAUCUGAUGCAAACUCAUGAGCUGAUGAGGAAUUAAUGUGAUACCACUUUGUAACGUACUCUUUUUCCAAAUCACCGAAAAGAAAAAUAAAUAAAUAAAAUAAAGCACUAUCUGACGUAUCAUGUUUAAGAAUAAUUUUUUACUACUAUUUUGUUCCUUGCUUGAUUCUACUUCAAUUCCUGCAUGAAUUAAAUCUUACGCCAAUUGCUUGCAGAAAGUCAUUCAAUCGAAUUGAAAUUUAUACAUAGGAGAUUGAAUCCAGAAUUCGAGUCGUCGAGAAACUCAAUUUCCAACAAUAAAUUUCUCAGAAGCAUAAGAAUAUAUGUAUUAUGAAAUUCACUAUUCCUUAGAAGUGACGACCUAAAACUCAAGAAUUGUUAUUUAAACUUUUAACUUGAUCGACCAUGAAAACGUUUACUAUCAGUUUUCCUUGUUAAAUUCAAAGUGAGGAUACCUCCACUAAAGCAGGAUUUUACACACGCGCGCGCGCGCACACACACAUAUAUAUAUAUAUAAUAUAUUAGUCGAAGAUGAUGGGACGGGACUUGGGCUGGCCUUAAUUUGUCUUUUCGGAUUUGUUAGACUUGAUAAGAGUAAAUCUUAUCUUUACUAUAAGAUAAAAGUCUGAGUAGGUUUGGCCCACACUAUCUCAACAGUUAAAAUAAUAAAAUAAUUUACUAAUAUUCAACAAUGAUAUUCUCACAAAAAUGGAUACAAAGGUUUGUACAAUGAGGGCCUUUUUACAAAUCAUUUCAAAGUUUUGUGUUAUUUUUAUAAUUUAUGAAUUUUAUUAAUUUUGAUUGAUUCGAGGAUUUCCCAUUCUAUCUCUUCAACAUCUAAUUUUAAAUUUCUUUAAAGUUUUGACCAUAUCUUUAUAGAGUUCUAAAUGAUUAUCUUUUUCAUAAAAAGCUAUACUUAAAUUAAUCCCUGAAUUUAUAAUCAUUUGUCUUCUUUGAGUUAUAGACCAAAUUUUUUCUUCUAACAUAUCUAUGUAUACUCCUAAGCCAUCUUCCCAGCUUAGAUACAUUCUAUCAAAACUUUCGCAUAUAAAUUGUAAUUUGAGAUCAGCAUCUUGAAUCAACAUCUCUAUAUUAUUAUUAUUAUUUAUUGUUUUACGCUUGAUUUUGAGUUUUAUUAUUAUUAUUUCGAGGGUAGUUAAAAUUGAUUCUAUUAAUGUUAUCCUGUUUUCUUCUUCAAAAGAAUCGAAUAUUUCUGGAUCAUUAAUUUCGUUUAUUUGUUCAGAUAAGCGUUUGUUUGCAGUUAAUCUAGUUUUAAUCAACGAAAUUGUAUAAGCAACUUGAUAUUCUUGACAAAAGUCUAAAUGAUCUAUUGCAUCUAAAAAUUUAUUAACAGAUCUUUCCAUUUUUAAGAAAUUGAGUUACUCUUAUCACUUCCAAUCUUACAACAUCUCAUAAAACAAACAAGGCCCAACAUACUUCCAUUUGUAGUUAAAAUAAUAGAAGAGUUCAGAUUACUAACCAAUGUACUAUCUCUCGGAAUUCUGAGAUAGACUCACUUAUUGCCUCCAGCCAUAGAGAGGUCCAUGGUCAGCACCGCCAUAGCUCCACACAUCAUACACGAUCACUUCAAAGACUGUUCCACAUGGCCCAACACAACACACACCAAAAUGACCUAAUAGGAUAUGUCUAAAUGAUUUCCUUGCAGUUGUCUCUGGAAGAGUGCUUAGUAAUAGAAAAUCUUCUUCGUUUAGUACAAGUAUUGGCAUGUAAGAUUCUUGGUUAAUUUUCAAAAGAUGUUUAAGAUAUCUGGAAGAUGAUAAUUUCACUCAAAAACAUUUUAUUUAUUUCAUUAUUGAAAUUGUUUACAGAGGGAGGUUACAUAUAUUACAUAGGUAAUUGAAGGUUAGACACAUGCUGUCUUUCCUUUCUUACAUGCUUUCAUUUAUAUAUCUCAAGGGAUAAGAUUAACUAUGUUACAUAACACAUGUUCGAUUCUUGUGGUAGAUUCUCGAUUUCCUUUUGAUAAGGUGACCCCCCAUCUUCAUCAUUGAAGGCACUAGUUGUCCUCUUUUCAUGUUGGCAGACAACCUUUAUCUGGUGAGUCUUUUCUUUUUGAAUUAUUGAUGCUUUUUGGAUAGCAUCUUUUAUCUUUUGUAGUGGUCCCCAUCGCAUGCCAAUUAUCAGAUCUUCAUCUGGAGACAUGUCUUCCCCACUAAAAUCUCCUUUUGAUCCUUCGUAGCAGUAGCCACAUGAUAACUGAUGCUUUAGCACCUUACAUACCUCGUGGUGUGUCGGUAAACUGGAUUCCACGAGAUUUUCAUAUAUGCCCUUUUUCUUUUUUAAUAUGGCCUGUCUGGGUAAAAUAUUUUCUUUUCUACUCAUAGAAAAGAUUAGAUGCUCUUUUGUGGCUUCGUGGAGCCAUAUUUUCUCCUUACUCAUCCUCUCAAGAGAUUCAUAGAGGACUUUCAUUCCUAUAACCCUUUUGCUGGUGAGAGCUUUUGGCUCGAACAGUUUAGGAUCAUAAUCAUUGUAGACUUGAUCUAAAUCAACAGUUGGACUAACUUUUUUGCUGCUAAUUCCAACUUGAAUCAUGUGCUGUGCUGGAUACCACCUGCUACCACAAUAUUCAGGGCAAGCAGUAAGGAUCUUGAUAAAAUCAAUAUCUUUUGUUUGAGAUAUCAUUUUGAGAUUAGUAGCAGCCUCUACAACUUUUGCGAGGAGCUUUUUUAUUUCUUUGCAAUCAUCACUGACAUAAACAAGGUUAAGAAAACCAUAUUUAAACAUGUCUUUUAUUAGUUUUGGAUCAGCUCCUGGCAUAAUGUUUAUCCUUGGAUAUAGCCCUGAAUGGUAUGGUAUAAUAGUCUGGCUAGGAUGAAUCCCAUAGGCUAUUUUAUUAAUUCUUUUAUAAUCAUAAGUAUAGUCGCUUCCUAUCGGUAUUUUAAUUUUUAACCAUAGGGACAGACUGUCCGCUUUUAUCAUACUAGGGUCUUAGGCUUAUUAAAGAUCCUUGAGAUUCUUCUUUCUUUGUACAUUGAUCUUUAAGAUCAUUGAUUGUGAGAUAUCUCUCUGGACAUGUGACCUUUGAGUUUUGUGAAGAACUCUGAGCGAUCUAUCCCUCAGAUUGAUCCUCAAAAUGGACCUUUUUUUAGCAUAUUGCUAAUAUAUUGUUAUGACGUUUGGACUUGAGGAUGAUCUUGCAAACUUUUAUCUAGGCAAAGUUUGCUCAAUUCUUCAUGGGCAUCAUCUAUCAUGGCAAGCCCAGCAUAAAUCAUACUAUUGCCUUUGAGAAGUAAUUCUUGUCCUUCAGGGCACAUUAUUAUGCCCUUAAUUAUUUUGGAAAUGCUCUGUUCCAUUAUAUUCUCGGCUAAGAAAAUCUGUAAUGUAAUUGUUAGAUUCCUUAAUAUAUUCAAUUUCAAAAUCAUAUUAAGCAAAAAAAUGUUGCCAUCUAAUUAAUCUUUUAUAAUGAGGAAGAUUAGGCAAUUUAUUGAAUAUAAAUCCUUUGACUUAAGUGUUAUCGGAUCUUACAUUAAAUUUCUUUGGUAACAAAAAUAAAGAAAAUUUAGCUAUUCCGUUUUUAAUAGCCAAUAAUUCCUUUUCAUUACUAUGAUAAUUCAUUUCUGCGGGUUUGAAGGUUCCGCUAGAAUAUCUACAAAUAUUUUCUUAAUCUGUUUUUAAGACUGCUCCGCAGUGAUUAUCUGAAGCAUCGAUUUCAAGAAUUAAAUUAUCACUAGAGGUAGGGAAUCCUAACCUUGGAAGAUUUUUAAAUUUUUCUUUUAAUCUUUUCACUACCUUGGUAUGUAGAUCUUCCCAUGAUUUCAUAUUAUUCUUUCUUAAUAAUCCUUGUAAAGAUUGUCUUUUUUUAGCUAAGUUUUCUAUAUAACCUUUAGCAUAAUUAAGACACCCUAAAAAUCUUUGAAUUUUUUCUUUAGAUUCUAAUUUAUGUGGGAAUAGAUGUAUUUUUUCAGAAAUAUGGGGUUGCAUCUCAAUUCCUGUUUCAUAUAGUAUUAACCCUAGAAAUUCUAUUUUGGGUUUUAUCAUUUCAACUUUCUUUUUAGAGAGUAAGAUUCCAUGUUUUUUGCAUUUUUCUGCGAAAGAAAUUAGAUGAUUUACAUGAUCUAUCUUAUUAUUUGAAAAUAUAAGAAUAUCAUUUACAUAAAUUAUGCAAAAUUCAUGAAAUUCUUUGAAGAUUUUAUCCACCCUUCUUUGCAAUAUUUGUGGUGCAUUUUUUAAUCCAAAAGGCAUUACAAUCCACUCAUACUGUCCUUGAGGGUAACUAAAGGCAGUAAGUGGUACAGUUUCUUCUUCAAGUUUAAUUUGCCAAAAUCCAGAUUUGCAAUCAAAUUUGCUAAAUAUCUUUUUAUUAAUUACAGAAGUAAUUAAUGUAUCUUUAUGAGGUAAAAAGUAUCCAUCGAAUUUGGUAUACUUAUUUAAUUCUUUGUAGUUAAUUACCAUACGAGCUUUUCCUCGUUUAAUUUCAUCAUGAUUUCUAACCAUAAAGACUGGGCUACUAUGAGGACUUUUAGAUUCUCGAAUAAUCUUGAGUUCUAAUAACUCUGUAAUUUGUUUAUCAAAUUUUUGUUAUCAAUUUUUUGUCUAUCUUCUUGUCCAUACCUCAUAGGCUUGACUCUUAUGAUAACAUUUGGAUCUUUUAAUUCAAUUUUUUCAUAUGUUUUAUCAAUUUCCCAUAAUUGAAUUGGGUUUUCUCCAAAAUUUUUAUCAACUUUUUCUAAUUUUUUUUUCAUAAUCUGAUAUGACUUGCUUGAUUUUUAUAUUGUAUUCACCACCCUGGCUGCUUCGAAAAUGUAAUUUUUGAGUUGUUCACCUAAUAGGGUUAUAAAUUCUCGGUGUGGUAAUGGAAUGAUUACAUGACAUUUUAAGAGUAAUUCAUUCGUUAGUCAUUAUAUAAGUGAACUGACGGAGGAAAUUGACUCCUAAAAGUUUAUCUGCGCCCAUAUGAUCAUAAGACCAAAAUAUAAGGAUACUUAAGAUGUAAUUUUUUAUUUGAAUUAAAAUUUUAAUCCUACAUGUUCCUAAGAUGAUUUUUUCGCCAUUUAUUCCAUGUCCUGUUAAGGGUUUAUAAUCUUUCCAAUAUGAUUUUGGAUAAAUCUUGAAUUAGCUAAGCAAACUCCGGAACCAGUAUCUAUUAAAGCAUGAAACCAUUCUGACUUAUACUUAUAAUAUGGUAUAAUCACUUUUAUAUAUACUAUAAAAGGAUUAGACACAUCUUGAUAUGGUUUGCUUAAUUCCUUCAAUUGUUAAGCUUAUUUAUCUAUCUCCUAUAGAAUAAGGAGUAAAAUUCUCAAGAAAGUUCAUCCUUAAUAAUAAAGGACUUAUUUCUGUUUCAUAAUCUGGUUCUAUGAAAAAAGGAAAGAUGAAUUCUAUCCCUUUCAUUCUUAAUAAUAUUUUACUAUAUUGGCUUAAUGUCUUUCUUUCUCCAUAAAUCCUAUAUAAGUAUGAGCCUCAAUUAAAAUUUUUCUUUUUAGAUAUUUAAUCAUUUUAGAAUCUACAUAAGAUUUUGCAGCUCUUGUAUCAAGGAUAGCAAAAGUCUUGUGCCAUGAUUUUCCAUUAUUAUAUUCAAUCUUAAUUUUUAGAUUUUGAUUAUUUUUUCUAAUUGCGGCUAAUAUUUCAUGUGAUGGUGGUAUCACAAGAUGACUACAUCUAGUAAAACUUUGGGUUCUACUUAAUUUUGGUUCUCUUUUUGGUAUAGAGAACGAUCUUCUAUUUCCUAUGAAAAUUCUUCCUUUUAGAGUAUAUUUUAUAGCUUUAAUGGUAUUUCCUUUGAUUAGGGUAGCUUGAGUACUUAGAUCCAUUUCCCAAUCUAUUUCCCAUUCUUCUGGUAAAUAUAUUUCUCUUAAAGUUUAAGGAGGUUGUAUUUUUCCAACUUUAUUGAAUAAUUUAUCAAUUUCAAUAAAAUCUUUAUCAGCAAACAUUUUACUAUUUGCUGAAUUUGUUAAUGCAUAUUCUAUGGCAUGUGUUAUACUAUAUGGAUAUGAUCCAUCAUGCAUUAUGUCAAAAUAUUUAAAAUCAUGACAUAAGGUUAAUGUCUUAUUUAUAUUUCUGUCUUUUAGACUUAUAGAGUAUUUGGGAAAUAUUUUAAAUAUCAAAAUUUUGUAAUUUAAGUUUCCUUGUAUUAUUCCAAGGAGCGCAUGUUUUUGAUCUUUGAUUCUAUUAUCCAGUAUUGCUAAAUUUACUGGACUAUUUAUUCUUUCUCUAAAAUGAGCUUUUAUCAUGACUUGAUAUGCGAUGAAUAUUUAUCUUCUGCCCCUGGAGCUUUGCCGAGAGUUAGAGCGUAUGAUGAACUCAUUUUGGUGGGGUCGAAAAGGGCAGGGCAGUGGUGGUAUCAACUGGUUGAAAUAGGAGAAGUUGUGCUUUCCUAAGACUCAUGGGGGCCUUGGUUUUAAAAGUUUACAUCUUUUCAAUGUUUCCAUGCUCGGUAAACAGGGCUGGAGCCUCCAGACCAACCCCAAUACGUUGGUAGCUCGUCUUUUCAAGGCCCGUUACUACUCACAUUCCUCGUUUGUUGAGGCUUGUCUGGGAAACAAUCCUAGUUAUGUAUGGCGCUCUAUUCUGUCAGCUCAGCUAGCCAUUUCUUGUGGCGGCCGUAUCCAAAUCGGAGGGGGUCAGCACACUGUUAUUGGAAGUGUGCCUUGGCUGUCCGACCCUGUUAACGGCUUCAUCUCCUCGAUCAUUCCAGCACCCAUCUCAGAAGCCUCAGUUGACAGUCUUAUGGAGCUUAAUCAACGUAAAUGAGACUUUGAUGUGGUGGCUGACAUCUUCAACAGCAUGGACCGCGAUCUUAUCCUCCGAAUCCCUCUCAGCUCAGGGCGGGAUGCUGACUCAUGGUAUUGGCUGCCUGACCCCAAGGGGCUGUACACUGUUAGGAGUUGCUACCGCAUGCUAGACCAAAAGCUUUCUCCCCCCAGCAGCAGCGUUUGGCGUAAACUGUGGCAGCUCCCUGUUCCUCCCAAAGUUAAGAAUUUCCUCUGGCGAGCUAUGGCCAAUGUCCUCCCCACCGCGGAUAACUUGCGGCAGCGUCGUGUUGAGGUACCAGUUCUAUGCCCAAUCUACCACUCCUCCUCAGAAUCCAUUUUUCAUAUUCUGGUUACUUGCCCUUUUGCUAAGUCAUGUUGGAUUUCCUCUAUAAUUGGUUUCAAUGGAUCUUGGUUGUAUUUUGACCAGUGGUUGGAGGAGUUGUUUGAUCGAUGUCAGCUUGAGGAUUAUAGCUUGGCAGCCAUGAUUUGUUGGGGUUUAUGGUUGAAUAGAAAUAACAUGGUUUGGAAAGGUGUCAUUGGGAGGGUCCAGCAGGUGGUUAAUGUGGCUGGGCAAAGUUUGUUCCUUUGGCAGCAAGCUUGUCAGAGUGACCUCUAUUCCCCCCCUAAGCAUGAUUCCUUCGUUCAUGGUUCUGUUUGCUGGACAAAGCCAAGGGCUGGGUGGCUUAAGUGUAAUGUUGAUGCUGCUCUAUUUCGUUAAAAAGGGCUGACUAGCUUUGGGGCUGUUCUGCACUCAGAUGGAGGUGUUUUUAUUGCGGCAAAAAGCAGCUCUCUCCCCGGAAGUUUUGAUCCUCGUGAAGCUGAAGCGCUUGCUGUUAAGGAGGCCCUUAGCUGGCUCAAGACUUUUCCUUUUACUCUUGUUAUUCUAGAAAUGGAUAGCUUGUUAGUUUUUAAUGCUUUACAUGAUCAGCUUGUCUAUCCUAAUGGUUUUGGUUCUAUCAUUGCAGAUUGUAGAGUUUUGGCUCAAUCCUUAGGAGAAGUGGCGUUCUCUUUUGUUCGUAGAUCUGCGAACUCCGCUGCUCACACUGUUGCUCGAGUGGGGAGUUCUAUGUCAGGUUCGGGAGUGUGGAAUUUUGUUCCUCCUCCCUGGUUAUGUAAUUCUUUGGCUGUGUAAUGAAAAUUUCUCCUUUAAAAAAAAAAUCAUGACUUGAAUUCCUCCAAUAUGAACAUUUCCAAUUUUAAGUCUAUCACUAGAUUUUAUCUUAUUUAUCCUAUCUUCUAUAUCAGUUUUUAAUAAUAAUGGUAUAUUUGUAUUUCCUCUUGCAUACCUAAUUUCAAUCGGUUUUUCUCUUACGAUAGCACUAAAAUACACUAUAUUUUUUUCUUUUAAUCGUGUUAGCAAUGCCUUGUGCUAACUUAUUAACUGAAGUCAUAGAUGAUUCCAAUCCUUUUUUAUUAAUCUUGAGAUAUUGCUUUUUAUCAAAUAUUAAUUCUCUAUUAAAAGAACCUUGCUCUUUUAACUCUUCAUCUUGAUAUAAAUCUUUGUUUUCUAAUUCUUCUAUACUCAUUCUGAAUUAGAUUCUGAAUUAGAACCUCUAAAAGUUUCAUCAGAUAGAUAAUAUAUGCUACAGUUUUCACUAACAUCUUUGCUAUCGGUGAUUAAUUCUAAAUCAUUGAAAUCUUCAAAUAUUUUUAUAUUUGCUUUCUUCUUUUUAGGACAUUCAUUUGCAUAAUGUCCUUCUUCAUUACAUAACCAACACUUACAUUUUUUAGGUGCAUUGGUUUUAGAUCUUCUUUUAAAUUUAUUUUUCUUGUAGAAUUUCUUUUUAUAUUUAUUUUUCUUGUAAUAUUUUCUGUUCGCUUUAAAGAAUUUCUUCUUUUUGAAUUUCUUCUUGUGCUUAUAGAUUUUAUCUAAACAUCCAAAUCUUGGUGGAUCUUCUAACCUAGAACAACAUAAUCCUCGAUUUUGCCUUUUCAUAAGUCUUCUAUCUCUUAUUUCAGAACACCAUUCAUUAAUUCUAUUUUGAGCAAAUCUAAUCCUAUUUCCUAAUGUAUUAGUUUCUGUGGUAUCUUUGUAUUCUUUGUUAUAUUCCAACAUAAUCCUUUUAUCCCAUGGGUCUGGUAUCUUUACAAAAUAUAGAUCAUGGUAAUAGCAUAUGUUAUCUUCAUCUUUAUCAAUUUCACAUUUAUAAUAUAUUUCUUCGAAGCUACAUGUAUAUUCUUCUAAAUAACAUAUAUUACAUAUUUCAAGCCUUAUUAGCUUCAUUAAAUUUUCUAUCUGUUUUCUUUUUAUUUCUUAUUGAAAAUCGGUUUCCCAAUCUUCUCCUAAAAAUUCUUUUCUUAUUUCAUUUUCGAAUCUAUUUAAAACUUGAUCAACACUUUCGUUUGAUCAUUAUUUUCUCCAUACAAUAUUCUAUUUUUGUGGUUAUCAUUUAAUCCCAUAAACCAAUGAGAUACAAUUCCUAUAAACGAAAUUUUAAGGAAUUCUAUACUAUUAUCCCUAUCAAUUUUGUGAAAUGUAAAAGCCAUUUUCAUAUAUUUAACCCAAACAGUAAUUGUUUUACCUCUAUCUUUGAUACAAUCUAAAUCUAAUCAUGCACCAUCAUGAUUGAUUGGUCCGUCUCUAUAUUCUCCUGGAGUUUUAUAAUCUUUUUUAGGCUUGUUAUUCCUAAAAUAUUGACCUUGUGGUAUUUCAUGAGUUGGUAUUUCUUCUCUAGCAUAAGAAGCUCUAUUACUAGUUUCUCCUUAUUCGAAAACGUUUGGUUUUGAUUCAUUCAUUUUUAGUUUAAACAAUCUCUGAAGCAGUGGUAUAACCGAUUUGAUCGAUUUAUGAGGAGACAAAGGCGUAAAAGAAAUAAAUUUGAUCAUUAUGUGUGUCAUGAUCCAACCUAGACCUGGUAAGAUAUUGUACGUUUUGGGCCUUAGCAAGGCUCGCACGGUUUUGUUCCUAGGGCGCCCAUACACCCCAAAACACGUUUUGCCAAUUAAGGUGGAGACCACCCCUUAUAAACCUAGCAUCUCUCCCGUGCUUUGCCGAUGUGGAAUUUGUCUAGGGUGUCACAUACACCCCCUUGGGGACUCAGCGUCCUCGCUAAGGUUUGCCCCACCAUCGCUCAAGAGGACAUGCGGAGCCGCUCUAAUAUCAUAAUGUCACGACUAAACCUAGACUUGGCAAGAUAUUAUCCGCUUUGAGUCUUAACAAGGCCUACACGGUUUUGUUCUUGGGGCACCCAUACACCUUAAAACACAUCUUGCCAAUUAAGAUGUAGAUCACCCCCUAUAAACCUAGCACCUCUCCCAUGCUUUGCCAAUAUGAGAUUGGCUUAGGGUGUCACAGUGUGUAUUUUCACAAGGUACAAAAAGGAUCUUUCAUAUAUUUGCUCUUGCAUGUUGAUGAUAUGCUAAUAGCAUCCAAGAGAAAAUAUGAGAUUGAGAAGUUGAAGACUCAAUUUAAUAAAAAAUUUGAGAUGAAAGAUCUGGGUGAAAGUAAGAAGAUUCUAAGCAUGGAGAUAUGCAGACAUAGAGUUCGUGAAAAAUCAACUAGUCUCAUAAGCAAUAUUUGAAGAAGGCACUAUAAUAAUUUGGUAUGACAGAGCAGACAAAACUUAUGGGUAACCCGUUGACUUCUCAUUUCAAGCUUUCUGCACAACUAUCUCCUUCAACAGAUGCGAAACGAGAAUACAUGUUACAAGUUCCGUAUUCAAUGCAGUGAGUAACUUGAUAUAUACAAUGGUGUGUACAAGGCCUGACAUUUCACAUGCAGUUGGUUUAUUGAACAGGUAUAUGCAUAAUCCUAGUAAAGGACAUUAGCAAUCAGUGAAAUAAAUUCUACAGUACAUUUACAAGACUGUGGAUGUUGGUUUACUAUUUGAGGGAGAUGAUACACUUAGUCAAGGUGUGAUCAGGUAUGUUGUUUCUGAUUAUACUGGUGAUGUGGACAAACGACGGUCAUCUACAAGAUAUGUAUUUACUCUUUCUAGAGGGCAAGUAAGUUGGAAGUGGACAUUACAAUCUAUCGUUAUUCUGUUAACCAUAGAGGUCGAGUACAUGGCAAAUAUAAAGGCUAUUAAAGAGGCUAUUUGGUUCAAGGUUUACAUGAAAACUUGGGAUUCAUACAAGAGUACAUUAAUGUGUAUUGUGACAGUAAAAAUGCUAUUCACUUAGUAAAAAACCAAGUUUAUCAUGCAUGUACAAAACAUAUUGAUGUUCAAUUUCAUUUUGUGCGAGAAAUUAUUUAUGAGGAGAAGAAUCUUUUUCAGAAAAUAAAGACUGUAGAGAAUCCCGCAGAUAUGUUGAUCAAGGUAGUGACAACGAUCAAGUUUGACCAUUGUCUAAACUUGAUCAAUAUCCUACAAGUUUAAAAAUAAUUGGAAAAGACAUAGAUUCGAGGAUGAUUUGAUAUAUAAGGAAUUUUGUAGUUGGCUUAGAUUUGGAUAAAUCUUCACUAAGGUAGAGAAUUGUUAAAAAAAUCAAAACAUGCAUUCAAAAUUAGUUGGUUCAUGCAAUUGAAAAACAUGCAUUCAUAUUGAAAAGAAAAACACAUGCAUGCAUUCAAAAUUGGAGAGACAAAUUUGAAAACAAAUUACUAAGAUAGGCACCUAAUUUUUGUUGACAAAAUUGUUGGGUUUGAUGCAAUAGUGCACUACAUUUUUUCCUAUAAGUUAAAGGCAAUUUUUCAUUUGUUGAGCAUCCAAAAAUUUGAGAAUAAUUGCAAGGGAAGUAAUUUGAGGAAGUUUUGAGAAAACUUCUACUUGAGUGUUCCUGUGAGGAUACAAUUUAGUACUUUGGGGUUUACACCGAAUCACAUAAUUAUUGUAUUUUGUUUUAUUUUUUUGCAUUUAUUUGUUACAUUUAUAUUUCUCUAGAAGUCACAAUCACUAGAGAAUGAGUAUUUGUUCAACCCGUAUUUCCACAACAGAGGGAUGUGAUUCAUGGAUUUAUCUAGCUUCAAUCAAGUCUUAGAGGCUAAACAAGGGUAGAGGAUUAUCCAGUUCCCUGACUCAUUGAUGGCAAGAGUUUUGCAAGCACAAUAUUUUAAAAGAGUAGAUUUUUUGAAUUGGGAUACAAACCAUCCUUCAUUUGGACAAGUAUUUUGUGGGGUAGACAAAUACUUCACUAUGGUUUGAGAUGGAAAAUAGGAAGUACAUAGCAAGUCAAAAUACAACAGCAACUGGAUCCUAAAGCCCUCAACUUUCAGGAUAAUGUUAGCACCCACUUUGCCCUUAGAUGCCACAAUUUCUCUAUUGAUAGUUAAAGAUCAUAAGUGGAACGAAAGUUUAGUGGGGCAACAACUCAUGCCUGAGGAUGUAGAUCAAAUUUUGAAGAUUGCGCUGCCAAGAUGUCCAAGACUAGAUCAACUUUUAUGGGGUUUUCACAAACAUGGCGAUUACUCGGUUAAAAGUGGUUAUCGAGUUGCUUUUGGGCUUAGAAUCUCAUAUUGUCCAGGCCCAUCAAAGAGAAGUCAUUCAGAAUAGUCUGAAAUUUGGAAGCUGGAAUUGCCAGAGAAAUUUAAGAUAUUCAUACGGAGGGCUGCACAAAAUAUACUCCUAACAGCAGAAAAUCUUUGGAAGAAAAAUGUUUUGCACAAAAUAUUCAUGUGCCAAAAGUGUGGUGAACAAGGAGAAAACCCUUCCCACGUUCAUCACGGAAGUCAUGGAGGAUUACAGAUUUUUCUAAAGAUAUGAAACUUUUUGUAAAUCAAGACCUACUUAGAGUGUUGCAUGCUCUGGCAGCGAAGAGAUGUAGACCAAAGAUAUAAUUCCUUGUAGCUCUAUGUUGGGCAAAUUGGCACUCAAGGAAUCUUUUUGUCUUUGAGGGAAAGAGAAAAGAUUCAUAGGUAUCGCUGGCACAAGCAGAAGCAAUUGUAAAUUCAUACAAGAAAAUCAAAUCUCCUGUUCUAGCAUUCCAUGUGAGUCUGAGUAGCUUGGGAAACUAGCAUUGGAAAUCUCCUCUAAUAGGAUAGUUCAAGGUGAAUGUGGAUGCAGCAAUAAAGCAAAAGAAUCUGGUGGCAGGCUUGGGAGCAAUCAUUAGAAACUUAGAAGGAAAGUUUGUAGCAGCAGCUCAAAAGAAAACCACAUAUUAUGGAGAUGUCACUACUCUAGAAACGAAAGCAAUAAAAAUGGCAAUUGAAACUGCAGUUUCUGCUGGUUGCAUGCCUCUAAUAUUUGAAUCUGACUGUCAAGAAGCCAUAAGCUUGGUUACAAGAAGAACUUGCAGCAGAACAUAAAUUUUCUGGAGUAUCUCAAAUAUCCAGGAUAGUUUACGAAGCCUGAACAAAGUUAAAGUGCAGUACACUUCAAGACUUCAUAAUAGCACUUCACACUCAAUUGCCAACAAAGCACUAAGCUCUAUAGAACCAACCACGUGGAAAGAUGAUUUUCCUUAUGUUAGAGUGCCAUUUAUGCACUAGUUUUGCAUUGUUUACUUCCCUUAAUAUCGAUGUUUUGCACUUAAUAAUAGUGAUUUAUUUGUGUUUUAUUUUUAUAGGUGCAAUUCUAUUGAUUAGUGCUAAAAUUGAGUUACAAGAUGAUGUUUAAGGAUGAUUGUUCUCUUGGAGAAAUUUUGAACGUCAGAAGAACUUUGUUGAUAAGGCGUGGGCGCGUGCUGUCAACUACGAACCUGCAGUUUUUAGUUUAACGUGUUUUGUAUUUUUGGUUAUUUUUGUAAUUACAAAUUUAAUAUUUCAAAUAUUAGUAUUUUAUUUUAAAUAGAACUCUAAAGAAGAAGAGAGAGAGAGUAUUUAAGGGAGGAACCUAUUGUGAAAGGGGGGAGAUUGGAAAAAAAAAAAGAAACCCUAGAUCUAAACUUUUCUCUUCUCUCCAUGAAAAACUAAACCUAUUUUUCUGGUUGAAGGUUGAUGAAGCUUUAAUUUAUCACUACUGUGAGAUCUUUCUUAUGCUUUAAUUGUUUUAUUGCUUUUUGGGUAUUUGUUUAUUAUCUGAAUUAUUUUCAUGAUUAUAUUUGUUAAUUAGGUAAUUGACCACUAUUUAAUUAUCAAUUUAAUCUAUUGUCAAUUAAAGGAUUUAUCGUAUGAAGAUUUUAAUGUUUGUGACAAAUAACAUAACAGAGAGUUGUGUUGUGAGAAUAAACAAUCUAAUUUAAAUGAACCAUCGUAUGUGUUUGUUGAUUAGGAUUUGGGUCUCUCUGGUUUUUCAGGCUGUCAAUUGAUUAAAUCCUAUGAUCGUAUCUAGGGUUGUCUAUUGAUUAGGGAAAUAAUCAAUGGUCGUACCUUAGAUAUCAACUAGUUAAGGAGAGACUGGCUAUUAGAGGGUCUCAGUAGCUAUAACCGGUCUAUUAAUAAGUAGUAAUAAUUUAUAUUUGAAUUAAUGAUCAUUUGUCAAAUUAAACUGAGUUAAUUCCUUCAACCAGAGCUUUCUCCAAUUUGAAUUACAAAUUUAAUUUGCAUUCUUGUUAUUUUAAUUUGAUUUUUAUUCUUGUUAACAAAACCCCCAUUUUAUGUUUUAAGUUUUCAAAGGAUUUAAAUAAUUACCGAUCUCUGUGGACACGACCCUGCUUAAUCACUAUACAUAAUUUAUUUAGAGUAGGUAUUUAUUUUUGUUGGCUUCGACAACCAUCAAAUUCUGGCGCUGUUGCCGGGGAUUGGUGUCAUUUAUUUAAUCCUUUUUACGUUUUACUUGAUGUAUGGUUCGUUCUUCUCGUACAUGUACACUUUUGUUUGAUUUUGAAAUUGAGAAGACAGCUCACCAGCUGAGACAGCAAACAAAGCGAGCUAAGCAACGAUCCUUGUCGCCUUUGCUUUCUGAAACAGAUAGGGUGCCUGGUUUAUUUGAAUCAUCUAGCGAUUCAGAAGAACAAGUGAUGGAUAGAGCUGCAGCUGUAGAAAGAACUCUUAGAGAGUUAGCUGAACUAGACUUGAAUCAGCAACCACUCUGCAUUCAAUAUGUAGACUUGGAAGUAAAUUUUGAAUUAAAAUAUGGUCUUAUUCAUUUGUUACCCAAGUUUCAUGGUUUUGCUGGUGAAGAUCCUCAUAAACAUCUCAAGGAGUUUCAUGUUGUAUGUUCAAGUAUGAGACCACAAGGCGUGACUGAAGAGCAGAUUAAGCAGCGUGCUUUUCCUUUCUCUUUAGAUGGACUAGUUAAAGACUGGUUGUACUACUUGCCUCCUGGAUCGAUUACAAUGUGGAAUGGUUUGAAGAAGCAGUUCCUCGAGAAGUACUUUCCUGCUUCAAGAGCUGCCAACAUCAGAAAGAUAUUUGUGGGAUCAGACAACUUCCUGGGGAGACUUUGUAUGAGUAUUGGGAGUGAUUCAAACAAUUGUGUGCCAGCUGUCCUCAGCAUCAGAUUUCUGAUAAACUUUUUAUUCAAUAUUUUUACGAAGGACUAUCAUUAAUGGAUAGGAGUAUGAUAGAUGCUGCUAGUGGAGGUGUGUUGGUGAACAAGACCCCUACUCAAGCAAGGGAGUUGAUCUCAAAUAUGGCUGCCAAUGCACAGUAAUUUGGCAGUAGGCAAGAUCCCACUUCAAGGAAGGUGAAUGAGGUAAAUAUUUUUUUUUUUCUGUUGAACAACGUUUAGAUAAACUUACUUCUCUUGUGGAAAAGUUUAUUGUAAGUAAUGUGCAACAUGUGAAGACUUGUGGCAUUUGUUACAAUAUGGGUUAUUUAAUUGAUAUGUGUCCUACACUUCAAGAAGAACCCGUUGAACAAGCCAAUACAGUUGGAGGAUUUCCAGGCAUGCCUCAGAGGAGGUAUGAUCCUUAUGCACAAACAUACAAUCCAAGGUGGAAAGAUCAUCCCAACUUCAAAUAUGGAGUUAGGCCAUCAGGAUUCCCACAACAGUAUCCACCAAGACAACCAGCACCUCCACAGUCAAACUCCAAGUCAGGUAUAUCUCUUGCAGAAAUUGUUAAAUCACUUGCGACUAACACUCAACAAUUUUAGCAAGAACCUACAACAAGCAUUCAGAAUUUGGAGAACCAAAUAAGUCAAUUGGUGACUACAGUGAACCGUCUGGUGUCUCAAGUAUUAGGGAGAUUGCCUUCACAAUCUGAGGUGAACCCAAAGCAAAACGUUAGUGCUAUAAUCCUUAGAAGUGGGAAGGGGUUGCAAGAGCCUAGUAAGAAAGUGACAAAGCAUGUAGAAGAUGAGAUUGAGAAGAAUGAAUUGAUGCCUAAAUCUCAAGAUGCGCAACCCACUAGAGUGAAACCUCUACCUAUUGUGAUACCUCCUCAUUUUCCAAGCUGGUUUGCAAAAUUCAAGAAGGAGGAACAAGAGAAAGACAUCAUUGAGACAUUUCGCAAGGUUGAGGUAAAUAUUCCUUUAUUAGAUGCUAUAAAACAAAUACCUCGAUAUACUAAAGUCCUUAAGGAAUUGUGCACCUCCAAGAUAAAAUUAAGAGGAGAUGAAAAAGUUCACAUGGGGGAGAAUGUUUCAGCAGUUCUCCAAAAGAAACUACCUCCUAAGUGCAAGGAUCCAGGUAUGUUUACUAUCCCUUGUAAAAUUGGUAGUGUUAGAGUUGAAAAGGCUUUGUUAGAUCUAGCAGCUUCUAUUAAUGUCAUGCCUCGUUCCAUUUAUUCAUAUUUGAAUGUUGGUCCAUUAAAAGAAACUGGCGUGAUAAUUCAACUAGCUGAUAGGUCCAAUGCAUAUCUUGAUGGGUAUUAGAAGAUGUCUUAGUACAAGUUAAUGAGUUGGUUUUCUUGCUAAUUUUUAUGUACUUGAUAUGGAAGAGAAUAACUCUUCUAAUUAUGUCCUAAUUUCGCUAGGAAGACCUUUUCUUAAGACUGCUAGGACUAAAAUAGAUGAACAUAAAAGGACUCUCACUAUGUGUCUAGCCAAAGACAUAAAACAAAGGCGCUUUUUGGGGGGGCAACCCAAAUGAUUUAUUUAUUUUGGUUUUGUUAUAUUUUCCUUUAAUUUUGAUUCAGAUUUUUUUUAAAUAAUGUGUUUGCUUAUUUUGGUCAAAAGAAAUUUUUUUAUAAGGAUUGCCCACGUCUUAACUAAUAAGUAUUUCUGUGAUUUUUAAAGUAAAAUGAUUUUAAGUCGUGCCCACGUGCUUAUUAGAAAAGCACUUCUGAAUUUUUUUUUUAGUGUCUCAAAGUGAUUUAUCACUAAAAAAAAAAGAGUUUUUUUCUUUUUUUUUCUUAUAUUUAUAUUUAUUUAUUUAGUAAAAAAUAAAAAAACAAAACAAAAACAACAAAAAUAAAAAAUCAUUGUUCACAAAUCCCUAAUUCAAAAAUUACUGUUGAUUAUCGUUUUCCAGCAGCGCGCCUCAACUUCAGCCUUCACCAAGCAACCGCGUAGCACCAGCAAUCCACCAUCGUGCAACGCAACCAGCAGCAGUAGACGAGUACGCCCAGCCCUAAUCGCAAUGCGCAGCAUUAUCCCCAGCCUACUCACGCAACAGAUCCAGCGUCACCAGCGCGCAUCAGUCCUAGCUGCAGCACGCAGCAUCGUGCUAUGCAACCAGCCCUAGCAGUGCGCAUUAGUCCCAGCCGCAACGCGCAGCAUCGCGCAACGUAACUAGCCCCAGCAGUGCACAACAGAUCCAGCAUCACCAGCACGCAUCAGUUCCAGCCACAGCACGCAGCAUCAUGCAACACAACCAGCCGUGCGCACAACCAGCCCCAACCUGUGCAGCACAAUCAUCCUUAACCAGUCCACUCGCGUAGCAAGCUCCAGCCGAGCAGAAAUUGUCCGCAACCAACCUGUGCCCUGUAUUUCAGCCGGGUAAUUCGAAAUCCGUGAGUAAAAUUAUCGUAACAAUAUUGAAGAGGAAAGCAUCAACUUCCAAGUCAUCUAAAAAGACACCCGUCGCAAAGAAAUCCAAGAUUGCCGCUCCCACUACGGUUCCAUGUAACACAGUUUCAGAUUCACGCCAAGUCGUGAGACAAAGAUUGAAACAUGGAAAAGACAUGAGUGUUUUGCCACUUGCGGAAUCCAAUCUCGGAGGGUGUAUCACAUUCGUGACUUAACAAGAGAAAGAGAGGUACAAGGAUAUUUCCAAGCGAAAAGUACUUCUAGCUAAGUAUAUUCAUUACCCGACUCUUGAAAAAUUGAAUGUUAAGGAUAAUUUUAAUUCUUUAAUAGAUAAGGUUGGUUGGCGUAAGUUUAUUGAUGUUGAUUGUUUGGGUUAUGUUGAGUUUAUUAGAGAGUUUUAUGCUACUUUUCAAUUUAAUAUAUCGAAUGAUUUUACUUUACAUACCCCGGAUGUCAUAAAGUUUAGGUUAAUGGGACGAAUUUUUUCAUACUCUAUCACUGAUUUUAACCUAGCUUUAGGAUUCAUUGAUGAUGAUUAUUCUUCUAGUAAUGCAUAUUUAGGAACAACUUGUGACUUUAGCGAAAAUUUUGAGCCUUAUUGUCUUUGGCGUAAUUUAUCUGUUGAUCACAAUGCCUAUGACCCGAGUAAAUCAAAGAGUUCUUUCUUACAUGAUCCUGUUUUGAAAUGUGUGCAUCGAUUCUUAGCAUAUAAUUUUUUAGGAAAGAAAGAUCACUCAUGAUUUUUCUCUAAAACUGAAUUUUAUUUUAUCAGGUGCAUGUUAAAUGAUGUGAGGACUAAUUUAGGUUUUUGGUUAGCGGAUCAAUUUCAAAGUGUGCUUAAAUGGUAUAGGACUUUAUUUCUUAGUCCAUACAUUACUCUGUUAGCUAUAAACCUAUGUGUGCUUGAUCUUGACAAUAAUGAUUUGCAUCCUGCUUGGCAAAAGGAAUUUUUGGAUAUGUCUGUGUUUGAAAGAACAGGUGUGGUCGAAUUCAAGGAGGGAAGAUUUCGGUUUACUGAACUAGGACCCACUCAACCUCCAAAGAAGCUUUAUGCUAGGAGUGGUGCUACCUUUGAUGACGAGUUUGACGAUGACAUUGUUGCCCCGCCAACUAUUCCUUCUACAUUUGCACUACCUUUGGGCAUUCAAUUAGAGAAAAUGGAGCACAAGCUAAACAAGAUGGAGCAGAAUUUGGCCUACUUUGAGAGUGUGGGAUUUAUCCCACCAUUUCCGCUAAGCCAAUAAACAUUAUGUGGAUCAAAGCUCACAAUUCCGGUAAGUUUUUGCCUUUAAUCUUUUAUCCUUACACUUUGACCUACGACCAUGCAUGCAAGAAACACAAAAAUAAAUGGGAACAAAACAAAUAAAAAUAAAGAAGAGUGAGAAAUUACGAUACUAACCUUAUUGCGCUAUUACAACCUUACUAUAAAAACACAAAAAUAAAUACGUGAAAUAAAUUAACUAAAAAUAAAUUAAUAAGAUAAAUAAAAAUCACAACGAAGAAAUAAAAAAAUAAAUUGAAAAUUAAAUUAUAGAAUUUUAAAGAAGAGAAAAAGAAAAGAAAUACUAACCUCUAAAUGUGGAUUCACCUUUUUUUUUCUUUUCUUUUUUUGGUAAAAAAAUACAAGAAAAUAAUUAAAUGGAAAUAUUCACAAAAAUUAAUUCUAUGAAUUAAAAUUACUUACCUCCCCGGCAACGGCGCCAAAAACUUGUUGUGCAAAUUUUAUUGAACUCGCAAGCGCACGAAUCUGUUGUAGUAUAGAUUAAUGGUGACGAGUGUCGAUCCCACGAGGAGGUGGAUUUUAAUUAUUUAUAGAAUUAAUUUUGUAAAUGGGUGGUUGGAUUUGUGGUGGAAAUAAUUUAGAAUAUGCUAAAACGAAAUUAAAAUGGCGAGAAUAAAUUCUGAAAUUGGAAUUGAAAUGACAAUAAUAAAAUGAAGAGAAUUCUAAUAAAAUGAAGUACUUGGGUAUCUGGAUUCGUAUCAACAUGCAUCAUGGGCUAAAUAAUCCUUAUUAAUGCCAAUUAAAUCAUGAGGGGGGAAUCCACACCUCAUGAAUCACACUCUAAUAAAUAUGGUACUAAGGGCUUAUCGUGCCAAAUAAUAAUAAUCUUAUACUAGGGAGUCGGUGAAACCAGAGCAGUACUAGACAAGAUUAUUAUUAUCUGUCAACGAGAAGUCAAAACAUUCACAAAAACUAGAGGGGAAGGGAAAAUAAAUUUACCAAAUCAAGAUCAUGACACAUGUUGAGACUUCACCUUCAACCCAAGCUUAAAAGAAAAUUAGCCACUCAUAGUUGAACUAGGGACAAAAUGGAAAUUUAUUAAAAUACGUAGAAAAUACAAGAUAGACAGAGAAUUACAGAAAAUAGAUCCCAAAAAUGAAUUCAGAGGUGCCAAAUUAGGGGGGGAGGCCCCUUUUUUAUAUAUACAUCGAGUAAAUCAUGGCCAUCAUAUUAAAAACAGUUUGGAUGCUCAAGAUUGUGCCACGUCAUCAGUCAACAAUAAAGUCAACAGUACGCGUGAACAGUAACACGGUUUGAAUAGUUACACGGUUUACACACCGAACAGUAACGCGGUUUGCACAGUAAAUAAUCCCCUAUGUUGCAUGUACCGUACGCGCGUUUUUUAGUCCACUAAUAUGCUGCCUCGUCACCAUAAACAGUACAUGAGAAUUUUAGUCCAACAGGAUCUUGACACGUCAUCAGUCAAUGCCACGUCAUCGGUCAAUGCCACAUCAUCGAUUCUUACAUGUGAACAAUGCCGUGAACAGUUCUCGUACAUGUGAAUAGUACCGUACAUGUGAACAAUGUCAUUUUUCCUUUUAUACUCCUCCUAAGGUUUUCGACCGUCCUGAGUUCAAAAAUGGUGUCCGUUUUACCAUUUGAUCUCUCGUUUAUUGUGAAAUGACUAUGAUGCCCCUAAAAUACAUAAAAUACUUAAUUAAAAUAAAACACACAUAAUUAAAGUAUAAGAAACUUAAACUCAUAAAAGUAAGGGUUGUAAGUAAUACUUGAUAUGUAAAAUAACGAUUUUCUCCUUUAUAAAUAUGCAUUUUCUAACACUCAACACACCCCCCCAAUCAGCUUAUUGCUAGUCCCUAGCAAAUAAAGCGAAAACAAAAUUCAAAAAUGAUUUUUUUUAACACUUUUGUUUAUUCAAUCAAAUUAAUGAUAACAAUCAAAUAAAAGUAUAAGCAUUAUCUCAAGUCUAAAUAAACAUCACACCCACAUCAACCAUCCACAUGAAUUAGCCCAGUAGACUUUGUCGUAGCUACCUUCAAGAAUGGCAUGUCAAACCCCAAAAUCUCACUGGAAGUAGUGACACUCUCACAAAGAAAUUAAACCCAAAAAAUAGUCACUCCAAUGAAUGGUAAUCGAGAGAAAAUAAUAAAGAAGUGAUCUCACAUGCUCUCACCAAAAAGAAAUAUGCCCUUAGCUUAGAAAUAAUACGAUUUCAAGUCAAAUAAAAAUACUAGUCAACCCAAUUUAUUUAUUUAUUUAUUUUUUUAUGCAUCACUACAUCUUUUUAGCCCAUAUAACUAGCUUCUACUUCAGAUUAUAGUUCCCUAAAAUCAAGAUGAACUUUUAUUAGAACGUAACGUAAGCUAGGGACAUGGUUAACAAAGAAGGAAAAUAGGAAAAACAAAGUGUAUGUUUGAGAAAAAUGCAGAGGAUUUUUUUUUUUUGGAAGUUGCAAGGUGGAUUUUACCUAUUAUUGUUUUUUUUUAAACAACAAAUUUUUUUUUGAAGCAACAAUUUUUUUUCUUUUUUUUUGAACUAGGCAUAACUUCCCUAUACAAAAUGUUUAUGUACAUUUUUCUCAAACAUAAAUAGGUGAUGGAUUUUGUAAGAUAUUGAGUAAUACUCCAAAUCGGAGUGGGUCAAAAUGAUAAGUUGACAAAGAAAAGUUUUUUUUUUUUUAAGGCUCAAAAGGGUUAACUAUGGAUAUUUGAUAAAAGGGAUGGCUAGAAAGGCUCAAACGGAUCAAAGAUGGCCUUUCUAUCAUCUUUUAAGGCUCUAAGUAAUCUGCCAUAUCUACUAAUUAGAUUGGCUUCCAAAUGUAGCAACACACUUUUUUUUUUCUUUUUUUUUCAAAUUUUUUUUUUAGGGUUAACUCAAAAGAAAUCUAGAGAUCGUGUACAAUAAUAAACUGCUAAGCUGUAUAAAGAAUGGGCAAAGGGGUUACUGUCCAAGAAAAAUGAUAGGCUCAAAAACUCACUUGGUAUUUAUUAUGACAUAUUCAUUCCUUCAAGCAACUCAUAUUUGUCUCCGACAUCAACAUGUAGAGUAGCAAACAUAGUGUAACAUCACUUCAGACUAAAGAUAAUACAAAUACUAAAAUUUGAAAUCAUCAUGUCAUCCAAUGUUAAAACAAAUCACACAAAUUUUUUUUAAACAACAGUCUACCCCCCAACCUAUUCUAAACGUGAAAGGAAAAUAUUCAUGCAAAAAUAUGAAAAUGGUGCGGAAAAACAAUUAGAAAAUGAUAGAAAACGAAAAUUGUUUUUUUUUUUUUUUAACUUAAGAAGAUGUGUUUCUAGAGGCAAUACACUCCAUAUUCAGCCAUCUUCGACUCAAAAAUUUUUUGUUUGUAAAUGUAUAUUUAUAAAGGAGAAAUUAAAAAGGAGAAGAAAAGUGAACAUCAAAACAUAAUAAAGAAAAAGAAAAUAUCUGAUUUUUUUAUUUUUUAUUUAUUUUUUAUUUUUUUAAACAAUGAAGAUGCGUUUCUAGAGUCACUACACUCCAUAUUCAGCCAUCUUCAACACAAAAAGUUAGCAAUAGUUAGUUUCUACAACAAAAAAUUAGUAAAACUUAACCAAGAUUCCACAGUUGUCAACUAUUCCCUCCCCCCACCCAGAACGAAACAUUGUUCUCAAUAUUUUAAAGGAAACAAGUAGAGUUUAGAAGACAUCACCUGGGUGGUGCAACACAGAAGAAAAUAUUUACAGGCGGAGAGUUAAAUCUAAUUUAUACUUCUUACUGCGGCUACUGUUACCGUCAUCAUUUGAGCGCUCCAACACAAAGCUCCAGGGGUCUGGCUCCGGUUUAUAAGCUUGUAACAUAUCAAGUAGCUCAUUAGCAGUGUGAGCACAAAUAAAAAGCUUUUUCGCACUGGAAGGAAUAAAGUAGUUUUUUAUUGCAUGGUUAAGAAAUGUGAUAAAGCCAUCAUAAAAAUUAUUGACAUUUAACAAACCGAUGGGUUUCUGGUGAAUGUGCAGUUGGGCCCAAGAUGCUAGUGUGAUAAGUGCCUUUAGUGUGGCAAGAUCUCCUGGAAGGAAAAUAAAAGCAUCAGCAUGAUUAAGCAUUUCAAUUAUUCGUUCUUGCAUACCUGAGACGACUAACUCUUCUCCAGUCGGUGAGUCAGACACACUACCCAAAGGUUUUAGGACUCUUGGAAUGAUGCCUAACACUUGGCUUCCUCUAACAAAAGCAGCUUCUGAGACCAAUUUUGAUAACCCUCAGUUACCUCCUCCAUACACCAAGUGUAAUUUUCUCUCUGCUAUGCUUCGACUAAGAUCUAUGGCUGCAUCAACGAACUCUUUAUGUUUGCCAUAGGUAAAUCCAGAAAGCACACAAAUGUUCUUGAAUUGUCUAUUAGGAGUAGCUGCCAUGGGAAUAUUUCUCAAAAAUAAUUUGUGAGUGCUUAACAAAAAGUCGUAUUUAAGAAUCUUGGUGACAAUGGAUCACAACUGUGUAUGAGGUGGCAUGUCGAUGUCAAAUAACGCGUAAAGCACAUGGCUCGAUAGUCAAAAAGUAAACAGUAAAAACAAACAGUAAUAAAAUUAUUAAAGACAAUAAUGCAAAUGAUAAAACAACAGUGAAAUGAAAUAAAAUAACAAUAAAGUAAAAUGAUAUUUAUAGGUAGUUGCGACUGUGGCUCACAUCUUCCUCUGGUUUUACGUCCAGAAACGGCUUGAACGCCCUCUAUGGGUCGAGGAUAGGCUUCCCAUCCAAUUUUCUUAUAAACUGGCAAACAGGGUCGUUUAUAGUCAGAUUCCCGAGACUAUAUCGAGCAUGCUCUUUCUGGAAUAAUGACCAUAACUGGAGAAUCGCUCUUUGCACAUAUCCACUGGGAUGCGUUUCAAGAGAUCGAAGGAUAUAAUCCAAUGACUUUUUAUUCAAGCCAUCCCUAAUGAAUUGAAUCUUAUUUUCCCUGUUAUCAGACAACAUUCCUGCCAAUCGUACUUUCGCCUCGAUUAACCAACGAAUGUCAGUAGGUAUGUUAUUCCUCAUGAGCAAUCGCAUGCAUUCAGACCGAGCUUUAUAGAUCGUAAAGAGGACAUUCUGAGGGAGUGAAGGGAAUCGCUUGUGAAGCUUCGCUAGAAUCUCAUUUCUGUCCAUACCAUCGCCUCAGAAUAUCAGUUAUUAUGGGAAACUAAAGUAACCGACUUGAUUGUCACGGAGUACCGUUAACCGCCACUUCACCGGGGUAACAAACUAAAGCACACAAACAGAAAAACAAAUUAAAACACAUAAAGAAAAUUAAAAUCAUCCUCUUUUUGAAUUUACCUCAAGCUCCAACUGGAUGUCGUAAACACCUCUCUCAAUAUUUCUGAGUUGGCUUUCUAAAUCCUCAACGUAGGCUACUAACUCUGGUGGUUGUAGAGCCCAAAUGCGAUGUGUUUUACAAGAUUGAAUCUGCCUUUUGAGAUGAGUUUUGAUACGUUAAAGUGGUUUAAGAAUGUUCAGGAGGAACGAUCUUCGGCACUCAUGAUUAACAAUGAUAAGAGAAAACUUAAUGGUAAAACAAACACACUUAUGCAAAAAUAAAUUCAAUAAGCAAAAGAAUAAUAAAAAAAAGAAAAAGAUCAAACCACUGAAAAGCAAAAAUCAAUUCAAAUCUGGUGGGUCACUCAAAUUUAUUUCGGUGUCUUCUCCAUGUGGUUGGUACUCUAGAUAUGACUUUAAUCUUUGACCAUUAACUUUAAACGUAACACCGUUCUUUGGGUCUUUAAUUUCAAUUACCCCAUGUGGAAAAACAGUAUGAACAAUAAAUGGACCAGACCAUCGAGAGCGCAACUUACCUGGGAAUAGGUGCAAACGAGAAUUGAAUAAAAGCACUUUCUGACCUGGAGUGAAAGACUUUCUCAUAAUAUGCUUGUCACGAAAGACUUUCAUUCAUUGCUUGUAAAUCUUGGCAUUUUCGUAUGCGUCAUUACGAAUUUCUUCAAGUUCUGCCAGUUGUAAUCUUCUUUCUGAGCUGGCUUGCUGUAUGUCAAAAUUGAAUUUCUUGAUGGCUCAAUAUGCACGAUGCUCGAGUUCCACAGGUAGGUGGCAAGCUUUUCCAUAUACUAGCCUGUAGGGUGACAUCUCAAUCGGUGUCUUGAAAGCCGUUCUAUAUGCCCAUAAUGCAUCAUCAAGUCUUAAUGACCAAUCUUUUCUGUCCGGUCUCACCGUCUUUUCUAAUAUGUGCUUUAUUUCUCGAUUGGAGAUCUCCACUUGGCCACUGGUUUGCGGAUGAUAUGGGGUCGCCACUUUAUGAGUGAUUGAAUAUUUUGUCAAAAGAGCCUUGAAUGCUUUAUUACAAAAGUGGGCACCACCAUCACUUAUUAUUGCUCGAGUGAAUCCAAAGCGCGAAACAAUGUUGCUUUUCAAAAAUCCUAUCACCACCUUGUGAUCAUUGGUUCUGCAUGGAACUGCUUCUACCCAUUUCGAUACGUAAUCAACAGCAACCAGUAUGAAUUGAUGACCAAAAGAAGGGGAAAAUGGUCCCAUGAAGUCGAUACCCCAUACGUCAAAAAUCUCGACCACUAAAAUUGGAUUUAGUGGCAUCAUGUUCCUUCGUGUAAUGCUCCCCAUUCGUUGACACCUAUCACAUGAAGAACAGAAAGUGUAAGCAUCUCGAAAUAUAGUUGGCCAAUAGAAACCACAUUGUAAAACUUUUGUAGCUAUUUUCUUAGCACUGAAAUGGCCUCCACAAGCUUGAUCAUGGCAGAAUGAAAUGAUAUUCUGAAUUUCAUUUUCUGGGACACAUCGUCUCACAAUUUGAUCUGCACAAUACUUGAACAAAUAUGGGUCAUCCCAAAAGAAAUUCUUUAUUUCUGCAAAGAAUUUAACCUUGUCUUGCUUGGUCCAAUGCUCUGGAAGUUUACAUGUAACAAGAUAAUUAACUAUAUCAGCAUACCAAGGUAAAACUUCCACACUCAUUAAUUGUUCAUCUGGAAAGGACUCAUUCAAUGUUAAUGGCUCUGUAAUUGUGUCAAAAUGGAGACGAGAGAGAUGGUCUGCCACAACAUUUUUUGUGCCUUUCUUAUAUUUGAAUUCUAAGUCAAAUUUCUGCAGAAGUAACACCCAACGAAUUAGUCUAGCUUUUGCAUCUUUCUUUGUGAGAAGAUAUUUAAGAGCAGCAUGAUCUAUGAAUACAAUUAUUUUACAACCAAUAAGAUAAGAUCGAAAUUUUUCCAAUGCAAAAACUAUUGCUAGCAUUUCUUUUUCAGUAGUUGAAUAGUUCAACUGUGCAUCAUUCAAUGUCAUACUAGCAUAAUAAAUAACAUGGAGAAUUCGAUAAACUCUUUGUCCUAAUACUGCUCCUACUGCAUAAUCAGAUGCAUCACACAUUAACUCAAAUGGUAAGUUCCAAUUUGGGGGCUGAAUGAUGGGUGAUGAUGUCAACAACUGCUUUAAUUUUUCAAAUGCCACAAGACAUGAAUCAUUAAAGAUAAAAUGUACAUCUUUAGCAAGUAAAUUGUAUAAGGGUCUAGAAACUUUGCUAAAAUCUUUAAUGAAACAUCUAUAGAAACCAGCAUGCCCAAGGAAAGAUCUUACUUCUCUGACUGUUUUGGGUGGAGGAAGAUUAUAAAUGAGAUCCACCUUGGCUUUGUCAACCUCAAUACCUUUGCUCGAAAUGAUGUGACCGAGAACAAUACCUUGUUUUACCAUAAAAUGACACUUCUCCCAAUUUAAGACCAAGUUCUUUUCGAUACAUCUCUGCAGAGCUAGUGUUAGAUGACGUAAACAUUGAUCAAAUGAAUCACCAAAGACAGAAAAGUCAUCCAUAAAGACUUCAAGGAAUCGUUCAACCAUAUCAGAAAAAAUGCUCAACAUGCAUCGUUGAAAUGUAGCAGGUGCAUUACAUAAUCCAAAUGGCAUUCUCCUAUAUGCAAAAGUGCUAAAAGGGCAAGUGAAAGUGGUCUUCUCUUGAUCUUUUGGUGCUAUGAGAAUUUGAUUAUAUCCUGAGUAGCCAUCUAGAAGGCAAUAAAAUUCAUGGCCUGCUAAUCUAUCAAGCAUUUGAUCGAUAAAUGGUAAAGGAAAAUGAUCUUUACGUGUGACAGAAUUCAACUUCCUAUAAUCAAUGCAUACACGCCAUUCUGUAGUUACUCUAGUUGGUUUCAAUUCAUUAUCGGCAUUUGUAACUACAGUGACUCCUGACUUUUUGGGGACAACUUGCACAUGACUGACCCAUGAACUAUCAGAAAUGGGGUAAAUGAUACUUGCAUCUAAUAGCUUAAGGACUUCAGUUCUAACUACUUCUUUCAUAUUAGGAUUUAACCGACGUUGCAUUUCCCUAGUAGAUUUAGCAUUUUCAUCAAGGUGAAUGUAAUGCAUGCAGUCUACGGGAUUUAUACCUUUUAUGUCUGCUAUGGUCCAUCCUAAUGCUCCUUUGUGCUCUUUUAAAACAUCCAACAACUUACCUUUUUGUUCGUCAUUGAGGGAUGCUGAGAUGAUUACCGGUAGAGUACUUUCUUCCCCCAAAAAUGCAUAUUCCAAAGUGUUGGGCAAUGGUUUGAGCUCGAGUUUCGGUGGUGAUUCUGAUGAUGGGAUGAGUUUUUUCUCUGAUGGUGCUAGUUGUUCAACUCUUGGCUUCCAUUUAUUAGUGUCCAUGGAUGGUGCUGAGUCAAGUAGGGCGUUGACCUCAUCGACCGAUCUGUCAAUAUCAAAAUUUAAACCUAAGUGAGUUAAACAUGUUUGUAAAAGGUCAUCACUAAGGUUUGAAACAAAAGUGUCAUCAACUAAUGCUUCAAUUAAAUCCACAUCAACGAUUCCAUCAUCUGUAUUGUGAGGUUGUUUGGCAAUGUUGAAGAUGUUCAGCUCCAUAGUCAUGUUGCCGAAGGACAACUGCAUAUUUCUAGUCUUGCAUUAAAUAUGAGCAUCUGCAGUUGCCAAGAAAGGUCGGCCUAGAAUAAUGGGGAUGUGCUUCCUUGAAUCCUGUAUUGGUUGAGUGUCAAUUACAAUGAAGUCAAUAGGAAAAUAAAACUUGUCUACCUGGAUAAGCACGUCCUCCACAAUAUCACGAGGUAUUUUCGUGGACCGAUCUGCAAGUUGUAAUACCACUGGAGUUGGGUGUAAUUCUCCCAGUCUAAGUUUCACGAAAACAGAGUAAGGCAACAAAUUUACACUAGCUCCUAAAUCUAACAAAGCAUUCUCAAUUGUGUGGUUCCCUAUGCUACAUGAGAUAGUGGGGGAACCCGGAUCUUUGCAUUUUAGAGGAAUUUUAUGUUGGAGUAUAGAACUAACGUUUUCUGUUAAAAAUGCCUUCUUUUGAACAUGCAUAUUUCUCUUUUUAGUACACAAGUCUUUAAGAAACUUGGCAUAAGAUGGAACUUGUUUAAUAGCAUCAAGCAAUCGGAUGUUAACACUUACCUGUUUGAAGAUUUCGAGAAUCUCACCUGUAGAUUUUCCCUUUUUCCCUUUAGCUAACCUUUGAGGAAAUGGAGCUCUGGGAACAUAUUCUCGUGGGUUGAUUUCUUCUUUCUCCUCCGAUGAUGAGUCCUCAACAUUCACAGGUACAAUUUGAUUUUCUUUCGUCACCGGCAUCUCCACUUUAUUGUCAACUUCUUUUCCUUUUCGCAAGGUCAUGACGGCUUUGACCUCUCCAUGCUACUGCGGUGAACUGGUACUUGCUUCAUGCACUCCUUUAGGGUUAGGCACUGGUUGACUUGGAAAUUUACCUUUCUCGACAGUCAUUGCCAAAGUCUGAAUUGAAGAAGCAAGUUGUCCCACUAUCUUCUCAAGGCUUAAAACUGAUUGAGCUUGUGAGUUGAAGCCCGCUCUUCUAGUACUCCUGAGUGAUCGACUCCGUUGUUGGGAAUUAUCCGCUUGUCGCUGGAAGAAUUCCCAAAUCUCUGAUGCACUUUUUGACAUUAGCUUUCCUCCACUUGUUGCCAUUAGUCAUUCUUGCAUAUUCGGUAAUAAUCCCUCCAAGAAGUAUUGGCAUUGGUGCCAUUUCUCGUACCCAUGAUGUGGACACUUCAAAAGUAACCCAUUGAAUCGCUCCUAUGUUUCGAAAAAUUGCUCGUCAUCUCUCUGGGUAAACUCUGAGAUUUCCUUGCGAAUAGCAUUGGUUUUAUGUACUGGGAAAUGUUUAUUUAAAAAUUUUGUAACCAUUUGUUCCCAUGAUGCAAUGCUAUUAGCAGGUAAUGUAUUAAGCCAUGAACGAGCUCUAUCCUUCAAACAAAAUCGGAAUAAUCUGAGUUUUACAUCAUCAUCUGAAAAAUUCUCAUAUUUAAAUGUUUGACAAAUUGGGUGAAAAUUAUUCAAAUGAUUGUAUGGGUCCUCAUUUUCUAAGCCAUAGAAUGUGGAAAGACAAUUUAGCACACUAGGUUUUAAUUCAAAACUCCUAGCAGCUACAUUUGGGUAUCGUAUGCAUGAUGUGCUCAAAUUAGCUAAGGGACUAAAGUAGUCCUUAAAUGGCCUCUCCUGUGGUGCUUGUAAAUCCAUUUUGUUUUUAAUGUUUUGGCGUGUGCGAAAUGUUUUCUCUAGUUCAAGGUCUAUAGGUUCAAGAUUAGGUAAUAAUGACCUACGACCAUGCAUGCAAGAAACACAAAAAUAAAUGGGAACAAAACAAAUAAAAAUAAAGAAGAAUGAGAAAUUACGAUACUAACCUUAUUGCGCUAUUACAACCUUACUAUAAAAACACAAAAAUAAAUACGCAAAAUAAAUUAACUAAAAAUAAAUUAAUAAGAUAAAUAAAAAUCACAACGAAGAAAUAAAAAAAUAACUUGAAAAUUAAAUUAUAGAAUUUUAAAGAAGAGAAAAAGAACAGAAAUACUAACCUCUAAAUGUAGAUUCACUUUUUUUUUUCUUUUCUUUUUUUGGUAAAAAAAUACAAGAAAAUAAUUAAAUGGAAAUAUUCACAAAAAUUAAAUCUAUGAAUUAAAAUUACUUACCUCCCCGGCAACGGCGCCAAAAACUUGUUGUGCAAAUUUUAUUGAACUCGCAAGCGCACGAAUCUGUUGUAGUAUAGAUUAAUGGUGACGAGUGUCGAUCCCACGAUGAGGUGGAUUUUAAUUAUUUAUAGAAUUAAUUUUGUAAAUGGGUGGUUGGAUUUGUGGUGGAAAUAAUUUAGAAUAUGCUAAAACUAAAUUAAAAUGGCGAGAAUAAAUUCUGAAAUUGGAAUUGAAAUGGCAAUAAUAAAAUGAAGAGAAUUCUAAUAAAAUGACGUACUUGGGUAUCUGGAUCCGUAUCAACAUGCAUCAUGAGCUAAAUAAUCCUUAUUAAUGCCAAUUAAAUCAUGAGGGGGGAAUCCACACUUCAUGAACCACACUCUAAUAAAUAUGGUGCUAAGGGCUUAUCGUGCCAAAUAAUAAUAAUCUUAUACUAGAGAGCCAGUGAAACCAGGGCAGUACUGGAGAAGAUUAUUAUUAUCUGUCAACGAGAAGUCAAAACAUCCACAAAAACUAGAGGGGAAGGGAAAAAAAAUUUACCAAAUCAAGCCCAUGACACAUGUUGAGACUUCACCUUCAACCCAAGCUUGAAAGAAAAUUAGCCACUCAUAGUUGAACUAGGGGCAAAAUGAAAAUUUAUUAAAAUACGUAGAAAAUACAAGAUAGAGAGAGAAUUACAGAAAAUGUAUCCCAAAAAUGGAUUCAGAGGUGCCAAAUUAGGGGGGGAGGCCCCCUUUUUAUAGAUACAUCGAGUAAAUCAUGGCCAUCGGAUUAAAAACAGUUUGGACGCUCAAGAUUGUGCCACGUCAUCAUUCAACAGUAAAGUCAACAGCACGCGUGAACAGUAACGCGGUUUGAACAGUAACACAGUUUACACACGGUUUGAACAGUAACGCGGUUUGCACAGUAAAUAAUCCCCUGUGUUGCAUGUACCGUACGCGCAUUUUUUGGUCCACUAAUAUGCUGCCACGUCACCAUAAACAGUACAUGAGAAUUUUAGUCCAACAGGAUCUUGACACGUCAUCAGUCAAUGCCACGUCAUCGAUUCGUACAUGUGAACAGUGUCGUGAAUAGUACCCGUACAUGUGAACAAUGCCAUUUUUCCUUUUAUGCUCCUCCUAAGAUUUUCGACCGUCCUGAGUUAAAAAAUGAUGUCCGUUUUGCCAUUUGAUCUCUUGUUUAUUGUGAAAUGACUAUGAUGCCCCUAAAAUACAUAAAAUACUUAAUUAAAAUAAAACACACAUAAUUAAAGUACAAGAAACUUAAACUCAUAAAAGUAAGUAAUACUUUAUAUGUAAAAUAACGAUUUUCUCCUUUAUAAAUAUGUAUUUUCUAACACUCAACAAUAUCCAAAAAAAUUAUUAUAAAAGUAAGCCAAAAGAAAUAAAAAUGAAUGGUAUGGGUAUUAAUACUUUAACGACAUGGAUCUUUCAAGGUAUUUUAAAACUAUAGGGACUAAAUAAGCACUAAUCUUAAAAUACAUGGACUAAAUGAGCUUUUACCCUUCAUCUUAGGGUAGCAAGAAGAGUGCUAAGAUACUCACAAGUCACAAUGAAUUAUGGCUGGAAAUUUUAAUAGAGAUAUAGAUGUGAACUUAAUUAGUUUCGGUGAUAGUGAUUGGGGUGGCUGUCUUGAUGAUAUGAAAAGCACCUCGGGUUAGUUUUGACAUAAUCUCUUAGGCAUUAUAGAAGCAACUAAUAGUGGCAUUAUCCACUACUUGAGCCGAACAUAUUUAUGCUUCAUUGGUAACUUCUUAAACUAUUUGGCAACGAUGAAUUUUAGGAGACAUAUAAGAGAAAUAAGAUGAUGACAAAAAGUUGUUUUAUGACAUUAAAUCAACUAUAAGCAUGGUAAAAAAUUUAGCUUAUCACAGCAGAACAAGAAGCAUAAGCAUAAAGUAUCAUUUUAUAUGAGAAGCAAUUGGCAAUGGAGACAUUUAGCUCAAGCAUUGCAAGUUUAAAGAGCAGACGACUGACAUAUUCACAAAAGCUCUGCCAGAAGUGACAUUCCAUCAGCUAAGGGAACUUUUGGGAGUUGAAAAACAUCACCUAAAGGGGGAGAAUGUUGAUUAAAGUUAUGUUCAAUUUUCUUUAAUCCUAGUCAUAUUAGUCUUGAAAAGCCAGUUCCAAAGCCAACUUUUGUUGAACGUAUGCAUAUGGUUAGCAACUCUUGACUGCAAUUGCAUAUGCUAGCAUGAAAUUUCUUACUUUUCAUCAAAGUCAGCACUGAAGCCAUUAAAACUGAAAGAUGGCCAAGAUUUUUUCCAUGCGUUCAUAUUGUAAGCUUUGCCUAUAAAUAGAUAAGCAUAAUGCGGUCGUAGUCCAUCCUAAAAUCCCAAGUUUGAGAGCAAUUGCAAGUGAAGUACCUUUAGCAAUUUGAGAGCUUUUAGUUGAGUAUCCUAGUAACCAAUUAUUGCCAAAGCAUAGGUUGCAUAAUCAUCAAUAUCACGGUGGUUUCGACUUUUAGAGAAAUAUAAAUUAUAGUGACAAGUAAAUGCAAAGAAAAUCAGGUACAAUAAUUUAUAUAGUUUGAUGUAAAGCCUACUUCCAUAGACAAAAACUGCAAGAUAAUUUAAGGAUAAUUAUCAUUUGUAUACCUUAAAUUUAUUCUGUUAUAAAAAGUACUGAUGUGCUCAUAAUUUAUUUAUUAUUUUAAUACUUCUUUAACUUAAUUUUAGGUUAAAUUGUAUUUUAUUAUAUUAAUUUUAUUUUAAUUUUUAUAUUUGUUAUAUUAAGUAUAGUAUGAGAUUAAAAAGGAAUUAAAUUGGAACAUUUAGGAGGAAAUCAACUUGAAGGAAUAAAAAAGGGAUCGCAAUAAAGAGAUUUAAUUGAAAUAAUUCAAGGAAGAUUUUAUUAAAUGUAGCAACAUGCAUGCAAUCGCGUGGGGAAGCAUUGAAGAAUUAUUUUUCAAAGAAAAUAUGGCUUUCACGUGAAGUUGGGCCUUUUGAUUUUGCAAGAUAAUGGCCUAAGAUUGUAAAGGUGGUGGCUGCAAUUUUAAUCCUUUCCAUGUGAGGAUUUAGGGCGCAACAAUAUAAAAAGAAAAGUGAAGAAGGCAGCCGCAAAAAAAUUGAAAAUUGGAGAGAAAACCCAGAGCAAGAAAAAAAAGAAAAGAAGAAGAAGAGAAGCCACCGCUGCAAAUUCGAGAGCAACAAUUUAGAGAAGUCAAUUGUGUUGAAAUUGAUUAAAAAAAAAAGGAAAAGUCAAAUGGGAACACAUUGAUUGCAUUCAAAUUGGCGGCUGGACUUUGACAAGCAAAAUGCCAAUUUUGAACCGCGUGAUGAAUUUGUCAAAAAGGAAGAAAGUUGUUGCCAACUUGUUAGAUUUUUGACGUGAUAGUUUGGCUAUAAAUUGGAAUGUCAUUUGAUGAGAAAUUAGUAGCAAUGAGCUUCGGCAUUGCUCAAGAAAAUAGACAUGAAAUGUUGGCCAUGGAGAGAAGCAAUCCAAAUUGAGAGGAGAGAAAUGUUCUUAAGCAUGUAGUUAUAUUGAAUGAGCAUUUGGCUCCUCAAUAUGGGUAUUACGGGUGUGCUUUGUUAAGGGAUAUUUCUCAGGAUUAUGUAUUUGGGGCUUGGGUGAGAGAAAAUUAUUUCUGAGAGUGGUUGUAAUAAUUUUCCACAUAGUGAAUAUUUUUCUCUGGUUGUCUUGUGACAACGGCCGUGGUUUUUCUCCGUAUUUGGAGUUUUCCACGUAAAUCUUGUGUUGUAUGAUUGGUGUAUUCUCCAUUUAAUUUUUCUAUUAAUUUGUUGCUUGAUAAAUUGCUUGGAGUGAUCUUGGGAGGAAGCUCAAUUUUCUAACAAAUUGUAGAGAUUGGAGAGAGACAACUUCUUGAGUGUUUUUUUUCCUCUUCUCUAUUAUCUUACUUGAAUGUUCCCAAUUAAAUUCAUGAAUUCUCUUUAUAUUCCCAUGAACUAAUUUAUUUUGCUAGGGCUACGAUAUAGCCUAAGUAUGAAGAUUUAAUUCAAUAAAUCUGUGUUAUUUUUAAUUUAUUAUUUCAUGGUUGAGUGUUCAUUAUUUUGCUUAAUGCUUUUAAAUAUCUGACCAAUAUUUGAAUAAUUUGAGGAUACAUAAUGAGACCGAGAGGAGAUUUAUGUAUUUUUGUUUUGUGUAAUGGAUGCCAUGAAUUGAACAAAAGACAAAGAUGUGCCAAUGUGAUUCGUGCAUUUUUAUCUAAGAAUUUUCAUAGAGCUUAAUGAAUCUUUGUAUAUUUAAUUUCACAUAGAGAUAUAGUGGGUUAAUACGUGAAAGUAUUUUUGAUAAUACUCGAGAGAGGGUAUUGAAUAGAUUAGGGAAAUUGACUGUCAACAUGUGUAAUAAAAUUUAAUAGCAUAGAUGGAGGAUUAAAUUAGAUUAGUUAUGGUGAAAUCGGAUAUCCUAGUGUUUUAAUCUCUUGGUGAUUUCUAUUAUUACCUGCAUCUUUAUUUAAUUUUUAGUUAUUUAAUUUUAAUCUAAAUUCGCCUAUUUGACUGUUCAACUAAAUUAGGGUUAGAUAAUUUCGGUAGCUAAUAUGAUAUAUAAUCUCGGUGGAAAGAUACUCUACUCUUUAUUAUAUUACUUAUGCCGACUAGUACACUUGCUAAUUUACUCAUCAAAUACUAUAACACUUUGAGGGUAUAUCAAUCGUCUAUCUUAAAUUGAUAAGAGUUAUUUGCCGACCACUAAAUCAUUAGCCGUCAUUUGAAAGUUAACAGAAUUACUCCGAAUUGAUGAUUUUACCCUUGGAACUAAAAUUAAAUUAAAGAAAAAUUAUUACUUGUAUACCCUAAAUUCUCGUAUUAUCACUUAUAUACCUUUAAAUUAUCACUUGUAUCAUUUAUUUUCAUAUGAAAAAACUAGAUGAGUCCUCUGACAUCAGCAUAUUUAAACAGAAACUAACAAUUUAGUGAAUGGGAGAUACAUUUUGUCAACUUAUGAUAAACGAUUGAUAUACCCUGAAAGUGUUGUAGUAAGUUUGAUAAUGGAGUAAACUAAGGGUAUGCGAGUAAUAAUUUUUCAUAAUGUUACUAGUAAAUGGAAAUUUUCAAAAUUUGGGAAAAACUCUUAAAACCUAUGUGGAAGCAUGGAUUGAGUAAUUACCAGUGUUAUGGUGACUGUGACUUUUGGAGAAAUAUAAAUAUGAUGAUAAACAAAUGCAAAUAAAAGAAGACACAAUAAUUUACUUUGUGCGGCUUAAAGUUUAUGUCCACGGGUAAAAAUUGGAAGAUAAUUUCACUAAUAAAUGGGAAUUUACAAAGUGGGAAAACUCUCAAAACCCAAAAAACCCUAAAUCACCUAAUUAAAUCCUCAUUAGAAUACUCAAGUAGAAGUUCUCUUAAAUCUCUCAAAUAGCUUCACUUGAAAUUGCUCUCAAAUGUGGGAUGUGUAACAAGUGAAGAAUUACCCUUUAUUUAUAGGGAGUAUUGCUCACCUACUACAAGUUUUAAUUUGGCUUCAAUUUGCCAAAUUGGCAAAUUGGCAAAUUAUGCUCAACUUUGUGAGCACCAAAUUCGAUUUUUCAGCACUUUGAAUUUAGUGCCCACAAAGUUCAACUUUUUUUCAACAAUUCUCCAUCUGGACAAAAAUUUUAAAACCUGAACCAACUGUCAACAAACCAUCCUCCAAUCUUUAUCUUCUCCGAGUACUUUCAAACUUGGAGAUAUUGAUCAAGUUUAGAAAAUGCUCAAACUUGAUCGAUGGCACAACCCUGGUCAAUAUAUAUGCGAGAUUCUCUGCAGUUUUGAUUUUUUGAAUAUGAAUAAAAUAUGUUUCGUACGUAUAUGAUAAACUUGAUUAUUUACUAAGUCGAUUGUGCCUUGACUAUCACAGUACACGUUAACAUGUUCUUGUACCAGGCCCAAGUUUGCAAGCGAACCUUGUAACCAAAUAAUCUCUUUAAUAGCCUCCAUAAUUACCAUUCACGCAGCCUCUGUGGUCGACAGUGCGACUGUAGACUAUGAUUCCCUGCUUCGUCCAACUUCAUUAAUUUUAAAAAAAAAUUAAAUUUAUGAAUUUUUAUGCAUGUUAAAUUUUUGUUAUAAUAAUUAACUACAUUUACUAGGGCGGGUAGAAUUCACUCAUAUUUAUUGGGUGGGCAAUAUAAUAUUACCAUGAAUUUUUGGUUCAUCAGAUCCUAAUCCUCAUGGAGAAAAAAAUUCAGGAAAAUCUUCUUGAAAUGUGGUUAUAUCAUAAAAAGAAUGUGGUGGCGGGACAGACUAUAAAAUAAAUAAGUAGUCUAUCAUUAAAGUCAGAGCUUCACAAGGGAAAAUGCGUGCUCUGCACGAUUUUAAUUGCGCUAGGUUUCCCAAAUUGCAGAGGAUUAAUUAUUAAUGCUAUUGAUAAAGAAGGGCAAGUAAAGUUGGAGGCAAACUCCUAUUAGCUUUUUAUUAAAGAUUAUUUUAGUCCUGUUAGGAAUAAGAAACACACACACACACUAUGUAUAUAAUAAUAAAAUAAGAAGUAUAUAUUCAUAUAGGUCCGAGUUUAAUUAAUUUGUCUCGUUUUAUUAUUAUUCAGCAGCUAUGGGCAGCAACUCAGAGCUUCAUGUCGUUCUCACCACCAUGCUUUCCUUAGAUAGAAAGACAAUGUAUAUGAAAGUAAGUAAAUUAAUUAUCUUUUUCCUUUUUUAUUAAAAAAAGAAUUUAAAAUUACUAUUUGCAUCUGCAUAUAUGUGUGUAUGCAGUUGAUUUUGUUGGAUUAUUUUCCUGUGCUGUUGCUAUUCUGUUGGUGGUUCGUCAUGUAUGGCGUCGACGCCCCUCUCAUUACUUUGACAGCCGAAACAUGCUCCAUGGCACUAAUAUUGACAGUUUUGUUUGAGGUACGGUGGAGGUGUCUUUUCAAAUAUUUUAAAAAGGUACGUAAAAGAUCUAAUUAUAUAUGGUAAUUAUUGAGGUUAUGGUAUGAGAAGGAGAUUAAUUUGGCAAUGUUAUUUCUUUUAAUUUAUUUAAUUAUGUUUUGUAUAUUGUGUUUCAGGAAAAAGAUUUGAAGAAUAUCAUUCAAUUUACUGAAACCCUACAAUAUUGUCAGGUAUAUAUAUAUAUAAUAAAUAAUAAUCAGUGUAUUCCUAAAUUUUAAAUUAGUAGAUCAAAAUACAAUCUGAGACCCAUAGAUCGGAAAUUUUUGAUAUAAUGAUAAUGUAUGUUGUUAGUUAAUUGCAUGUUGUUUAAAAAAUAAAUUAACCAAUUGCAGUUAAUGAACGAACGAAAGAAAGAAUUAAAAUUAAUUAAUUUUUGUUUUACAGAUAAUGUAUGAUCAUCAUCAGGCGCCACCAAAAUCUUUCAUGUUGUCAUCCAUUGUAUUCCUAAAUUUUGCGGGUGUUCUAAAUGCGGCCGUCCUCUACAUAGCACCACUGGGAUUGUUUCUCGAACCGGACGGGGACGUCUUUUUCUAUUUAAUGGGCUUUGUUCUGUUCGGCUUCUCAUGUCUCCAAAUAAGUUUUAUACAGCCACUGCUACUAAAUUGUGAUGCUGAUACCUUCAAGUUUAUUAGAAGCCAAGCCCUCGUUUUUUCGGAAACCACAACUGCUGCUGCUACUACAGCAAAAGAACCACCUGAGAGCUCAGGCUCAGCCGAAAUUGUGUAACUAUCUUUUUUUUUUUUGUAAAAAUAAUUUUAUUUUGUUUUAUUUUGUUAUUAGCUGUUACUCAUUUGUAAUUGUUUGCUUUUAUUAUACAUACAUAUAUAUAUAUAUAUAUCUGCGUCAUUCACCAAUUUAUGUUUUUUCCUUCAUGAAAUGCAUGCCUUCACUUAAAAAAUUUUAGUUGUCGACUGUUUUCUUUGUUAAAAUUUUAAAAAUUAAUAGAAAACAAUAUAUUCUGAAAACUGUAGCGAAUAAAUGGUAAAACCAAUUUUUUUUUUUGAGAAAGUGCCAAAAAUCGCCCUCAAUAAUCUGCAAAUUGGAUUGCACAAGAAUUGUUUAAACUUUUACCGUCAACCUUAAGAGAAUACGUUCUUUCAGCAUGCAUUGGCUUUGUAACACAUGGUUAUAUGUUGAAAAAUAUCAAAAAUUGAAAAUACCAUUUUACCCAUCAAAUGCAAUAGAUCUGUGUAUCUAUCAUAUUGCAUGAUCUUUUUUUACCUGGUUUCUAACCUUCACCAGUUUAUACACUAUCCAAUAUAUCCAUUCAUUUUAGUGUAAAAUUUGCAUGUUUUCAUCUAACAUUUUUGAAAUAGAAUAAUAUGAUAUUAAAUAAAAAAUUCGUCGGGAUAUGUCUUGACCUACGUACUUUAGUGGUCUUUGCGUUUGUAUAGUCAGAAAAUUUUUUACCGUUACUUUUUCCAUUCAAUUUCUGAUAAUUAUGUAACUAGUGAAAUUGAACAGGAGAAGUGCGGUGAGAACCACUGAACCAGAUUAUGAAAUACGUAUUAUUAAAAAGACCUGAAACUUCUUAUGGGAAACUGAAGCAUAAUAAGUUUCGUCUUUUACUUUAUUAAUAAUGUUAUCAAUUGUUAGGGGACAAAGUGGAUGGCCCAGCAACAAAGUGCCACAUGUCGGUACUAAAUUUUAUAGUAAAAGAAAAGUCAUCAAAAGGAUAUUGGCUUAUGUUGGGCACCCCAGGUCUUUUGAAGAGUACCUACGGUGCAUUAUGUAUGAGUAGAAAAGUCAGAAAAAUAUUAAAAAAAUUUAGUGAUAAAAGAGGCCUAAUCUUAAAAAGAUUGGUUGAUCUUUGUCAAAAAAAUAAGGAAUUAAUGACGGAAUAUUGUGUUGAAAAAGAGGGGAUAACAACAUGCCACACCUACAAAUGGGCCAAAAAAGGUUGUUAACAGGAUAGUUUGGAUUACAUGUCAUCUCCUGACACAACUGCAAAUCCCCAACAGCCUCAGUAGAGGUACGCAACACUAACCCUCUACGCCCAACACGUGUAAAUGCCUCAAACUUGUUCUCCACGUAUAUUUUGAAUUACCCGAAUGGUUAUGAAGGACAAAAAUAUCUUUGACAUGAUAGUAAGGAAUGCCAAUAAGAUAAUGCCAGGUGGUAUGGCAGGCAAGGCACUUCGUAGAAAAUACUUAGGUUUUAUUUUCUCAAAGCAACUAACACAAACACCAUGAGGGCUAAGUUUUAUUAAACCUCAGCCACCAUUACUAAUGUAAGCUCUCUAACAUGAGAUAACUUAACUUUGACUUGAGCUUAAGAUUAUGGUCGCUAGGCCACCCAGUUUCCACCUCUGAACUUUUUCUCAUUAUAUUGCAGGUCUAAGGUGAUUUGGCAAGCUUUCUGAGUCCAGAUUCAAACCUCCCACCAGUCCUAUUUCUUUUCACUAUUCCUUCACACUAUAACAACCAAAACAGCCUGUACACUACUACACCCCGACUAAGCUAGGUACCCUACAUCCCAACAAAAAUAAAUUCAUUGUUGUUAGUUAGAUUUUGUAGCUUUCACUCACACACCCAAAAUCAACUAAAAACAAUUGGCACCGUCUGGAUGGGGAGCACACAAAAAACCUCUACACGGUGAUAAGUUUGUCGGUACAUGUGCUCACACAACCAUGGCACCUGAUGUACCCACUGAUAACAUGAUGCUGGAUCAUGAUAGAUUGGAAGAUCACAAUAAUGAUGAGAGGGGCGAAUCUAUCAAGCAGUCAAUCGGUGUUUACCCUGAUAAAGAGCCCGUUUCUCAUAAGCACUUUUAGGAUUUAGCCCACACGAUCCAUAGAAUAGUAGGAUCUCAAGUACCCGAACCAAUUGCCUCCCCUGUGAUUCGUGAUAUUCCUCCUCCGUGAGGCGAAAGCAGAGCAUACUAUGAUCGGAGAUACCCUAGAGCAGUAGAUUGAAGCACGAGUCACUGGGUACCUGUUCAACUGGCAAUUCUUGAGAAGAAUGUUCCAUCACCUCUUGCGACUCCCGUAGUAGCUAGGGUACCAAGCACAAACAAAGGGUUUAAGAAGAUCUCCGAGAUAAGUUAAACACCAAAUGAGCUUCCCAAACGACAGUGGCAUCCUCAAGAGCACCUGGGUUGCUCCGCAAGUUUAUGGCAAAAAUGGAAUUUUUUUAAGCUCAAGCACCCUUUUUUGAAAAUCAAAAUGUCAUCAGUACUCCAGCACUAGUAACGUAUAAUUCACCAUUCACUAUUGAGAUUCAAAUAGUAACUCUCCAGGAAACAUUUGCCAUGCCUUAAAUACCACAAUACUCGGGUACCUCAGUUUUCACAGAGCAUGUCGAGCUAUAUCAUGACCAAAUGUUGAUUAAGGGUGUGGACGACAAUGCUAUGUGUUGGAUGUUCUCACAUACUCUCACUGUUCCUGCUAAAUCAUGGUUCUGGUCAUUGAAGGCAGGUAAUGUAUCCUCUUUAGACCAAUUGUUGAUAGAUUUUGAUCACGAGUUUUGUUACGCUUUCUUUUCAACUUGCUUUUGUUAAGCAAGGAGAAUAAGAGUCUUUGGCUGAUAUGUAAACUGCUACCACCAAGAAGUGUUGCCUACGAAUGUGUUUAGCCACCAAUAAACACUCACUAAUUUUGAAAAGAGCUUGUGUUUAGGGAAAUUAUGGCAGUUGUUCUAAAAGCACUACUCCUUCUCGUAUGGGGAAGAUAGCUCAUAGGCCUUACAACAAAUUAAAAUGGAUGAGAAGUGUCAUUUAAAAUGAGAGGAAGACAAAGCCAAAGCUGUAAAAAGUAAGGAGAAACAUAAGAAAAUUGAGGUACCCCCAAUAAGGAUACUCUGAAUACGCAGCCCACCCCAUCUUACUUCCCAUGAUAGGGAAUUCAGCGUACUUGGUGUACCCCGGGCACCACCGUUUGAUAAGUUGCCAUCGUCAGAACAACGCGAACCGCCACAGAAACCAUGAUACAAUUCUUUUAAUCUUUUGAAUCAAUAUCCAGAAUAGAUCUUAUACCAAAUCAGAAAUACUGGCCUACUCCGUUUGCCCAAGCUAAUAUGGAGAUACCCAAUAUUAAAGCAUAGUUUGAAAUACUGUGAGUUCUAUGAGAAUUUCGGCCAUAGCACUGUCAACUGUUUUAGCGUACUGGAAGACAUCGAGUUGUUGAUCCUGAAUGGGUACUUUAAUGAGUUUGUGGGCAACAUGUGACAAGCUAAGAAGUCUUUGAAGUAAGCUAAGGGCAGAUAAAUCGCCGACUUUAGUUCUGAGCUCAAGGAACCCUAGGGAUCCAAAAGUGGGGUUUACAUUCGACUGAUAGCGGAUGAACCUACCCUAACCAGUGAAUCUAGGUAGGCCAUCAAGCGCUAUAAAAUGUCACUGAUCCUAGAUACCCGUAUUGCCAACGAGGUCAACUUUACUAGUCGAAAUCAGAUUUGGGUACCUCAUGUACCCGACCAUCGUAUCCCCAUCCUUUUUACAAAUAAAGAUGCUGAAGGUAUCUCAUACCCUCAUGAGUUAUUUUAGUUAUUACCCUAAAGUUGCCACUGAUAAAGUAGCAAGAAUGCUUGUAGAUACCAAUAACUCCAUAUACAUCAUCUUUAAAAGCACAUUGGAUCAAUUGUUGAUCGAAUCAUAAAGGAUCACUAUGUAUGACACGCCUCUCAUUGGCUUUCCAGGGAAUAUGGUCAUCUUUAAGGGCAUCAUCACAUUGCUCAUUACCAUUGGCAAGGUACCCCACCAGGUCGUCUACAUGAUUGAUUUUAUUAUGGUGGAUUACCCGGGUGCCUAUAAUAUCAUUUUGGGAAGGUCGUUCCUAGCGGCAAAUAAAGUUAUGGUCCCCAUGCAUUACUACGCCAUUAAGAUUUCAACCGCCAGGGCAAUAAUCACAAUCAAUGAGGACUAGCAAUCAACUUAAGGAUGUUAUUUUGUCGCCUCUACGAUGAGUUAUCAAAUUGCUUCUAAUAUUUUUCUGCAAUGGUAUCCCACCAUUGUAGGGCCAUCAAUUAGCCGAACUAAGCGGGCAUUUGCUAAAUGAUAGAGAAUUGCAUACAAGAAAGCCCUAUAGAUAGCCGAUCAUUUAAAGCAACAAGAAGCAGAGCCAAUGAAGUUAGAUGCAAUAAUGCAUGGUGUACUUGGGGUACCACAUGACCCAAGUUCGGAGUCAAUCAAAGAGUUGGAAACACCUAUAGAUCCUUUGGUACCAAAGAAGGAGAAAUAAGGUACAUAAAUUAAAGAUCUUAUUUUUGUUUCAAUCUACAAUAAUGAACUCCACCAAAAUAGAUAAUGUUAGCUCUAACCUCUCUUAACAGUAAGGGAAACAACUUAUCAAUAUGCAUGAUCUAUAUUUCAUUUAUCGUGAUGUGUUAACCUGGUCUCAUGUCGAUAUGCUGGGUAUCUAACCUGGUCUCAUGUCGAUAUGCCGGGUAUCUUACCUUUCAAUCAAGAAUGAUAUGAUGCCAUUGAGUAAGAAGUAGACCAUUUAUUAGAGUCGAAUUCAUUAGGGAGGCAGUGUACCCUGAUUGGGUGUCUAACAUCAUCUUAUUCAAAAUGGCCAAUGGACUUUACGAACAUGAACAAGUCCUGAACCAAGGAUAGCUUUUCGCUUCCCCGAGUAGACCAGCUAGUCGAUGCCAUGGCAGAACAUUAGAUGCUCAUCUUCACGAAUGCCUUUUCUGACAACAACUAAAUUCUAAUGUAUGAGCCUGAUCAGGAGAAAAAAACUUUCAUCACCAAUCGUGGAUUAUGUUGUUACAAGACUAUUCCAUCCGGUUUGAAGAAUGUUGAUGCCACUUAUCAAUGCUUGAAAGACAAAAUCUUCAAAGAGAAGAUUGGGUGCACCAUGGAGGUAUAUGUUGCGAUAGAUUCUAAUGAGAUGUGUGUCAAAGUGUAAGUGUACACAAAAAGUAAUAUAAUGAUAAAUAUUCAAUAUCGUCUCCAUAGGAAUUGAUGUUAUCAGAUUUGCUAUAGUAAUUAUGACAAUGCAUAUUUUGUUCUAAAUUAAAACAAAACAAUAAAUGUAACUAAUAUACUAAUUAAAAUAAAAACGCAAUAAAUAAAAUGCAACAAAAUAAAUUAUCACGCCAAACUCAAGGAUAAAACCAAUGAGAAUAUAGAAUAGUUGAGUAAAUAUUCUCUUAAUGGUGUGGAUUAUUUUUCUAAUGUUUGGCUCGGUUGUUACAACAUUUGCCACUGCACUGGGCAGAAUCGUUAUGUAUCAUCAACUGUUGCAUGUUGGACAUCUUAUAUCUAUAUGCAACCUAAUAGUGAUCAGUUCUUAUGCCAACAUAAGAUAUAGUAUUACGCGCUUAGAUUCUAAUUACCCUACAAAGUGAAUCUCUAUGUUUAGUUCAUUACUAAUUUUAGAUUAAGUAUGUCCUUUUUGGAAUCAAAUAAAAUUCAACUUAGAAAACUCAAUCUAAAACAAAGUAUUGUUUUGAUAUGUUCCACUAAGAUAGGCCAUUUUAUGGCUCUUUCUUAGUUAGUAUCAUUAAAUGGGUGAUUAACCGAAAUAAUGAAUAGAAAUAAAUACUAUCAAAACAAAAUGUUACAGCAAACAUGCAGUAACACGUAUAAUCAGUCAAUGAACUAUCAAGAUUGCUUAUCACCCAACCACAAAUAAAUUUAGUUCAGGGUUUGCAAAAGAAAAAUAAAGAACAAAGUUCAGCCAUCAAACACAUCCUCGUGACUAAAAAGUAAACAAGAAAACAAGAGAAGAAUAAAAAGUACUAAGUUCCCGAUUGAUUUAUGUAAAUUCUCCUUUGAUGCCUCCUUAAAUCUUGCUCUUAAGUUCUGUUUUGCUCUUGUUUCUUUUCGGUUUUUGUUUGUGAUUGACGGCUCUCUCUUUUCCUUAUGAUGUGUACUCCUUUUAUAGUUGAAAAUUAUGGUAAACGAAACUUAGGGCGUGUAUCUUCUAGAUUAGGAAACUGCAGAUCGCAAUAUUCAGAGUAUCUCGCGCAAAAUUUUCUCUGUCAUUGUUCUAGGAUUGCUACAACAACGAUUACUAUAACAACUACACUGUUCCAAAUUUGUUUCAAUUCUUUUAUAGCCAAGUUUUUUUUUCAUUUUUUGCAAGCUUAUUGCAGCAGCAUUCCUUCCUUGAAAUUUGAGCUUCCAAUCACCUACAAUUAUGCACACAAAAUUAUUCUAAAACAACGCAAUUUAUUAAAAAUAAACUAAAAUGAUUAUUCAUGUAAAAUACAACUAAAAUGCAAUAAAAACAUGUCAUUUACUCUCUAAGUAAUAAUUAUUUAAGACUAAAAGUACCAUGAUAACUCUGAUUUCAUAGAGUUAUCAGACCUCCAAACUUAUACCAUUACUUAUCCUCAAGUAAUGAUAACAACACUUACACUUCAAUCACACAAUAAUGCAACAAAUAACUUAGCUCUGUCACCAAAUUUACAAGGAUUCUUCCACCCUCAGAUCACACUUUGAAUCACGUAUAAUGGUCACAACAGUUCAGUUCUAGACUAAGGCCUCAUUCUGUCCAAAGUGUAUAUGCCACUUUGAUCAAGUUCCAGAGAUACUGCAACAUUUCACAGGUAUUACGUGCUUAUAGCUUAAAGGUAGAGCAUAAGUUCAUUCACAUAAGGGGAGCAGAAGUUACAAAUAAGCUCAAACUAUUCUACAACUAAAAAGUCUAGUGUAAGUUCACUCAAACCCUUCAAUGCAAUAUUGAGCUUUCAUGUGAAUGCCUAUCACUUGUAAUGACGACACCUUAUUACUUACUCAAAAUACAUGUUAGAGUUGCUGCAAAAAACACAUCCAGAAUGCUAUAUCUAGGUCUUACCUUUGGAUGUCUUUGACUCAAGGCUGAAUAUGGAGCUCAUGAACAAACCUGGUUACACAGUAUCCUAGGCAGCAGACCCUUUUAUUUUUCAUUUCUUCAUCACCAUUUUUUUUAUAAUUGUUGUAGCACUGCUCAUAGCUCUUAUUGCCUUUUGACUUAAGUCUGCAUAUGGGGUUCAUACUCAGCCCUAGUUACUCAGCAACUUAAACCAUUCGAGUAGAAUUUAUUUCAUAACAGGCACAAUUUAACAAAAAUUUUCCUCCAAACUUGAGAUAUUUUCUACCCUUUUUGGUUUUUGUUGUACAAAUUUUAUUGAACUUGCAAGUGCAUGAAUCUAUUUUCGAAUAGAUUAAUGGUGACGAGUGUCGAUCCCAUGAGGAGAUAAAUUUUAAUUAUGUGUAGAAUUAAUUUUCUAAGUGGGUGGUUGGAUUUGUGGUGGAAGUGAUUUAAAUUAUCUUUAAAUUUAAAUUAAAAUGGCGGGUAUUAAUUAAAUCGAAAUUUAUUGAACUAAAGCACUUUAGUAUCUGGAUCUACAUCAACAUGCACCAUGGGCUAAAUAUUCUUUAUUAAUGCCAAUUAAAUAAUGAGGGGGAUUUCCACUCCUCAUGAACCACACUCUAAUCAAUAUGGUGCUAAGAGUUUAUCGUGCCAAAUAAUAAUAACCUUGUACUAGGGAGCCGGUUAAACCAGUGCGGUAUCAAGAUAAGAUUAUUACUAUUUGUCGAUGAAAAGUUAAAACAUCCACAAUAAUUAGAGGGAAAGAGAAAGUAAAUUUACCAAAUAAAGCUCAUUGCACAUGUUGAGACUUCAUUUUCAACCCAAGCUUGAAAGAAAAUUAGCUACUCAUAAUUGAACUAGGGGUAAAAUGAGAAUUUAUUAAAAUACGUAGAAAAUACAAGAUGGAGAAGAAAUUAAAGAAAAUGAAACUAAAAAAUGAAUUCAGGGAUGCCAAAUUAGGGGGGAGCUAUCUUUUUAUGGAUACAUUGAGUAAAUCAUGGCAAUUGGAUUAAAAAUAUUUUGGAUGCUCAGGAUUGCGCCACGUCAUCAGUCAAUAAUACGUGGUUUGAAUAGUGACACGGUAUGAACAGUAAUGGGGCUUGAAUAGUGACACAGUUUGGUUGUAAAUAACUCUGUGUAUAUGCAUGUACCGUACGCACGAUUUUUGGUCCACUAACAUGCUGCCACGUCACAAGCAACAAUACAUAAGAAUUUCAGUCUAAUAGAAUCAUGAUACCUCAUCAGUCAAUGCCAUAUUAUCGGUCAAUGCCACAUCAUCAUUCCGUAUAUGUGAACAAUGUCGUGAACAAUAACAUAGAUAAUACCGUACAUGUGAACAAUACAAUUUUUUCUUUUCUACUCCUCUUAAGGUUUUCGACUAUCCUGAGUUCACAAGUGAUGUCCGUUUUGCUGUCUAGUCUCUUGUUCAUUGUGAAAUGACCAUGAUGCCCCUAAAAUACAUAAAAUACUUAAUUAUAAUACAACACACAUAAUUAAAUCACAAGAGACUUAAAUACAUAAAAGUAGGAAUAUUAGUGAAACUUGAAGUGUAAAAUGAUGAUUUUCUCCUUUAUAAAUAUACGCUUUCUAACACUCAAUACACCCCCCAACCAGUUUAUUGAUAGUCCCUAGCAAAUAAAGCGAAAAAAAAAUUCAAACCCAAAAUAAUCUUUUUAAAAAAAUAAUCAUGUUUAUUUAAUCAGACUAAUGAUAGCAAUCAAAUAAAAGUAUAAGCAUUAUCUACAGUCUAAAGAAACAUCACACCUACAUCAAUUACCCACAUGCAUCAUGUUGAGUUUUAGAAAGUGUAUAUUUAUAAAGGAGAAAAUCGUCAUUCAAGUUUAACUAACAUUCAUACUUUUAUGUAUUUAAGUCUCUUGUGAUUUAAUUAUGUGUGUUUUAUUUUAAUUAAGUAUUUUAUGUAUUUUAGGGGCAUCGUGGUUAUUUCACAAUGAACGAGAGAUCAGACGGCAAAACGGACAUUACUUUUGAACUCAGGACAGUCAAAAACCUUAGGAAGAGCAUAAAAGGAAAAUGUAUAUGUUCAUAUGUACGGUACUAUCCAUAUUACUGUUCACGACACUGUUCACAUACACGAAACUAUGACAUGGUAUUGACUGAUGAGGUGUCAGGAUUCUAUUGGAUUAAAAUUCUUAUGUAUCAUUAAUCGGUGACGUGGCAGUAUGUUAGUAGACAAAAAAUCGCACGUACGGCACAUGCAUAUUGAUAACUCUAUGAAAUGAGAGUUAUCAUGGCACUUUUAGACUUAAAUCAAUACUACUUAGAGAGUAAAUUAUGUUUUUCUAUUGCACUUUUGUUAGAUUUUGCAUAAAUAAUCAUUUUAGUCAAUCUUAAUAAGUUUUGGUCGAUUUAAAGUAAUUUGUGCUAAAAUUGUAUGCAUAAUUGUAGGUUUCCAGAAGCUCAUAAUUCAUGGAAGGAAUGAUAUGCAAUAGGCUUGCAAAAAUAAGGAAAGAACAUGGCUACAAAAGAGUUGAAACAAAUCAGGAAUAGUGCAGUUGCUGUAGCAAUCCUGGAACAACGACAGAGAAAAUUCUAUGCGGGAUAAUUGCAUAAUUGCAUUCUGUAGUUUCCUAAUCUGACUUAUGCGCGACCUAGGCUUCCGUUUACCCUAAUUUUCAACUAUAAAAGAAGCACACAUCAUAAGGAAAAGAAAGGGUCGUCACCCAAGGAGAAAAACACAAAGAAACAAAAGGAAAACAAGAUUCAAGAGACAGAUUAAGGGCUGCACAAGAAGAGAAUUUGUAGAAAUCAAUUGGGAGCUCAAUCUUUCUUAUUCUUCUCUUAUUUUCUCGUUUUCUAUUUAUUUAUGGGGAUGUGUUUCAUAGCCGAAACUUUGUUCUUUAUUUUUCUUUUACAAAUCAUGAACUAAAUUUAUUUGUAGUUGAGUGAUAAACAAUCUUGAUAGUUUAUUGACUGGAAUAUGCGUUAUUGCAUGUUUGCUGUAGCAGUUUGUUUGGAUAGUAUUUAUUUUUAUUCAUUAUUUCGGUUGAUCAACCAUUUAAUGAUACUAGCUAAGGGAGAGCCGCAAAAGGGCAUGUCUUAGUGGAACAUAUCAAAGCAAUACUUGAUCUUAACUUGGGUUUCCCAGAUUGAGUUUUACUUGAGUCCCAAAAGGGCCAUGCUUGAUUUAAGAUUAGUGAUGAACUAGACAUAAGGAUUCACCUUGUAUGAUAAAUAGAACCUAAGCGUGUAAUACUAUAUCUUAUAUUGGCAUAACAACUUAUCACUGUUAGGUUACAUAUAGAUAUAAGAUAUCCAACAUGCGAUGACUGAGGAUACAUAAGGAUUCUGCCCAGCGCUGUAGCAAAUGUUGUAGCAAUCGAGCCAAACAUUAGAAAAAUAGUCAAUACCAUUAAGAGAAUUUAUUCACUCAACUACUCUAUAUUCCCAUUGGUUUUAUCCUUUAAUUUGACAUGAUAAUUUACUUUAUUGCAUUUUAUUUAUUGCGUUUUUAUUUUAAUUAGUAUAUUAGUUACAUUAAUUGUUUUCUUUUAUUUUAGCACAAAAUCUGCACUGUUAAGAUUGUUGUAGUAAGUCUAAUAACAUCAAUCCUUGUGGAGACGAUCUUAAAUACUCAUCACUUUAUUACCUGUUGUGUACACUUGCACAUUGACACCAAUAGUAUUUGAUUAUAAAAAUUACCAACAAGUUUUUGGCGCCAUUGCCGGGGAUUGAUUGUUCAUUGUGAUUUGUGAAAUUAGUUUUAACAGUGCUAAUUUUUAAUUUUAUUUUAAUUUGUUUAUUUUGUUGACAUAGGUGAUCUAGCAACCCUUGCAUGCGCAAAUAUAAAUCUUUUGAAUUCCAGUUUGAUCCAGAAAUUGAAAGAAUUGUAAGGAGAUUGAGAAAAGAGCAUCGGGAAUUACAAGCUGCUGCAGCAAUGGAUGAUUUGCAAGAUUUGAGAAACUUGAACUGUAGAGAAGAGAUACAACCAGUCGAUGUACAUGAAGGUCUGAAUGGACAGUGUGUUCAAAGGCAACCAGGGAACAACAACAUUAUUCACAUGGCGAAUGAUAGAGAUAGAGCCAUUCGAGACUACGCAGUGUUGACUCCUCAAGCCAUACAUCCGGGAAUAGUUAAACCCGAUGUUCAAGCUGACAAUUUUGAACUCAAACCCAUAAUGUUUCAGAUGCUUCAAACAGUGGGGCAAUUGUAUGGUUUGCCAUCCAAAGAUCCUCAUCUACACCUUAAGUUAUUUUUGGAAGUAAGUGAUGCUUUCAAGAUUGCUGGAGCAUCGCAAGAAGUAUUGAGACUCAGACUUUUCCCGUUUUCUUUGAGAUAUCGAGCAAGAGCAUGGUUGAAUUCUCUACCACUAGAUUCUAUCACCACAUGGAAUGAUUUGGCUAACAAAGUUUUGAUGAAAUACUUCCCGCCAACCAAGAAUGCAAAGUUGAGAAACGAGAUCACAUCUUUCCAUCAACUUGAAGAUUCAAUAAAGGCAAAAAAGACACUCAAGUAGAGAAUGAGUCACAGUCUUCCACUUUUCAGAAUGCAAAUUAAUACAAUUGUGCUACAACAUCUGCAGAAAGUCAUGAUCCAGCACCUGGUGGUGAGGAAGCUACAACACCAACAGCAACAGACCUGAGUAGAGCAAAAGAGAAGCAGUCUGCACAACCUGCUACAGCACAACAGUUUAGACAUCCACCACCCUUUCCUCAAAGGUUUCAGAAGCAAAAACAAGACAAACAGUUCAACAAAAUCUUACGAGUGCUGAAACAGCUACAUAUCAGUAUCCCUUUUGUGGAAGCUCUAGAGAAAAUGCCAAAUUAUGCAAAAAAAUUUAAGGAUAUUUUGACAAAGAAAAUAAGACUUGGAGAGUUUGAAACAGUUACUUUAACACAAGAGUGCAGCCGAAUGCUUCAGAGUAAGUUAUCAUAGAAGAUGAAAGAUCCAGGAAACUUCACAAUCCCAUGCUCCAUAGGCACUAAAUACAGUGGCAAAAUACUUUGUAACUUGGGGGCUAACAUCAAUCUCAUGCCUUUAUCAGUGUUUAAGCAAUUGAGAGUUGGUGAAUGUAGACCAACAACAGUGUCUUUACAACUUACUGAUAGAUCUCAUGCAUAUCCAGAAUGGAAGAUUGAAGAUGUGUUAGUGAAGGUGGAUAAAUUUAUUUUUCUGGUGGAUUUCAUUAUGUUAGACUUUGAGGCAGACAAAGAAGUGCCAAUCAUUCUAGGAAGACCUUUCUUAGUCACGGGAAAGACUCUAAUUGAUGUUUAAAAAUGAGAAUUAACCAUGAGGGUGAAUGACCAGCAAGUUACAUUCAAUGUGCUAGAUGCCAUGAAGAGUCCCGAUGAGAUUGAAUAUUGUAAUUUUAUCAGUGUUGUGGACUUUGUUGUAGUAGAGAGAUUACACAGUUGCUGUAGUAAGGAAGAAAUCAAUGCUGUAACAAUUGAAGAACUUAAUGAUGAAGAUCAUGGAGUAACUAACAUAGUAUGGUUAGGGGAGAAGCAACCCUUCAGAAUUGACGAGCAAAUCCAGCAAAGAGAACUCACUCCAGACCAACAAGAAUUCAAGGUUGAUGGGCCAAGAGUGAAGCAUUAUAUGGGAGAUAAUGUGAACAACCUAAGGAAGGAUCGGUUCUUGAAGGAUCCAGGUUGAGGAAACAAGAAAUGUUAGGCUGAAAGACCUAAACUCAAGCGCUAAUUGGGAGGCAACCCAAUAAAGGAAGUUGUUUUAACUCUUUAAAGCAUUACAUCAGAAUUUCUUUGAUACCAUCGAGUUAUAAAUUCUUUGAUACCAUAGAAUCACAAUUUUUUUAAUAUUUUAAAAUCAUUAUGUACGUGAUGUCCUAGCAUCAAAAUUUUUUUGACAUCAUAGGAUCAAUAUGUAUAUGAUGUCUUAGCAUCAAUAUUGUUUUGAUACCAUACAAUCAAUAUCUACGUGAUGUCUUAGAAUCAAAAUUUAUGUGAUACCAUUGUAACACAAAAUUGCUGAUACUAAUAACUAGUGUAAAUUUUUAGUUGAGUGUUCUAGUGGCCAAUUAUUGCCAAAGCAUGGGUUGAGUAAUCAUUAAUAUCACGGUGAUUCCAACUUUUAAAGAAAGAUAAAUAUAGUGACAAGUGAAUGCAAAGAAAAUCAGGCACAAUAAUUCAUAUGGUUUGAUGUAAAGCCUAUUUCCAUAAACAAAGACUAUAAGAUAAUUUUAGGAAAAUUAUCAUUUAUAUAACUUAAAUGUAUUCUGUUAUAAAAAAAUACUACAAUAAUUUAAGGGUAUGUUAAUCGUCUACCCAAAAUUGACAAAAGCUAUUUGCUGACCAUUAAAUCAUUAGUCGUCGUUUGAAAGUUAACAUAAUCGCAGUGAAUUGACAAUUUUACCCUUGGAACUUAAAUUAAAGUAAAGGAAUAUUAUCACUUGUAUACCCUAAAAUCUUGUAUUAUCACUUGUAUGCCCUUAAAUUAUCAUUUCCAUUCUUUAUUUUCAUAUGAAAAGACCAGAUGACCCCUCUGACAUCAACAUAUUUAAACGGAAACUAACAAUUUAGUGGACGGCAAAUACAUUUUGUCAGCUUAGGGUAGACGAUUAAUAUACCCUGAAAGUGUUGUAGUAAGUUUGAUAACGGAGUAAACUAAGGGUAUAAGAGUAAUAAUUUUUCAUAAUUUUACUAGUAAAUGGAAAUUUUCAAAAUUUAGGAAAAACUCUUAAAACCUAUAAUAGUUGUGGAAGAGUGGAUUGAGCAAUUACUAAUAUUACGGUGAUUGUGACUUUUGGAGAAAUAUAAAUAUGGUGAUAAAUAAAUGCAAAAAAAAAAUAGGACAUAAAAAUUUACUUAGUUCGGCUUAAAGCUUAGGUUCAUGGGUAAAGACUGGAAGAUAAUUUCACUAAUAAAUGGGAAUUUACAAAAGUGAGAAAAACUCUCAAAACAUUAAAAACCCUAAAUCACCUAAUUAAAUCCUCACUAGAACACUCAAGUAGAAGUUCUCUCAAAUCUCUCAAAUUACUUCACUUCCAAUUGCUCUCAAAUGUGGGAUGUGUAACAAAUGAAGAAUUACCCUUUAUUUAUAAGGAGCAUCGCUCACCUACUACAAGUUUUAAUUUGGCUUCAAUUUGCCAAAUUGGCAAAUUGUGCUCAACUUUGGUGGGCACCAAGUUCGAUUUUUCAGAUUUUGAAUUUGGUGCCUACAAAGUUUGAUUUUUUUUUCCAACAAUUCUUCAACUCGACAAAAAUUUUUAAACAAGAACCAACUAUCAACAAACCAUCCUUCAAUCUCUAGCUUCUCUGAGUGCUUUCAAACUUGUAGGAUAUUGAUUAAGUUUAGAAAAUAUUCAAACUUGAUCGACAACACCACCCUAGUCAACAUAUCUGCGAGAUUCUCUGCAGUUUUGAUUUGUUGAAUAAGAAUCUUUCCUUUAUCAAUAACAUUCCGUGUAGAAAAUGAAAUCGUACAUUAAUAUGUUUUGUAUGUGGAUGAUAAGCUUGAUUAUUUAUCAAGUCAUUGCACCUUGAUUAUCACAGGACACGUUAACAUGUUCCUAUACCAGGCCCAAGUUUGUAAGCGAGCCUUGUAACCAAAUAGUCUCUUUAAUAGCCUCUUUAAUUGCCAUGCACGCAACCUCUGUGGCCAACAAUGCAACUGUAGACUAUAGGGUAGACUUCCAACUUACUAGUACACCAACAAGAGUAAAUAUAUAUCUAGUGGUUGAUUAUUGUUUGUCUAAGUCACCAGCGUAGUCAGAAUCAACAUAUUCAAUCAUAUUUUGACCAAGUGAAUCAUCCUACUUAAACAAUAAACCAACAUCUACGAUUUUUUUAAUGUACUGCAGAAUCCAUUUUACAGCUUACCAAUGCCUUUUUCUGGGAUUAUACAUAUAUUUGCUCACUAUAUUAAUUCCAUGUGAAAUGUCAGACCUUGUACAUAUCAUUGCAUAUAUCAAACUACCCACUGCAUUUAAACAUGGAACUUGUAACAUGUACUCUCGUUCUACGUCUAUCGAAAGAGAUGGUUGUGUAGAAAGCUUGAAAUGAGAACCCAACGAGAUACUCACAAGUUUGUCUACUCAAUCAUGCUAAACUGUUGUAGUACCUUCUUUAAAUAUUGCUUUUGAGAAAAGUUGACUUUGCCACGUGUUAUAUCUCUGCAUAUGUCCACGCCAAGAAUUUUCUUAGCUUCACCCAGAUCUUCUAUCUCAAAUUUUUUAUUAAGUUGCUUCUUCUACUUCUCAAUCUGAUAUUUGCUCUUAGAUGCUAUUAGCAUGUCAUCAACAUACAAGAGCAAAUAUAUUAAGGAUACCACUUAUAGCUUGCAAAAAUACACACAAUAAUCAAAUUUAUUUCUUGUGUACUUUUAACCUUUCAUAAACCGAUCAAAUCACUUCUAUCUCUGCCUUAGAGAUUGUUUCAAUCUAUAAAGCAACUGUGUCAAUUUACAAAUCUAAUUUUCUUUUCCAACAACUUUGAAUCCAUCUGGCUGAGUCAUAUAGAUUUCAUCUUCUAAAUCACCAUGUAAAAAUGUAGUUUUCACAUCAAUCUAAACUAGUUCAAGAUCAAACUGUGCAAUCAUGGCUAUGAAAAUUCAAAUAAAUGAGUGUUUCACAAUUAGAGAAAAUACCUCAUUAUAAUAUUCUCCUUCCUUCUAAGCAUAACCCCUCGCUUCUAAUUUAAUCUCGUAUCAAAUUUUAUUUUUACGAGGAAAUCUUUCCUUUUUUGCAUAUACUUAUUUGCACCUAAUUGUCUUCUUUUUCUUAGAUAGUGUAACUAGCUCCCAAGUUUCAUUUUUUAUAAAGUGACUGAAUUUUUUCAUCUAUUGCUAAUUUCUACUACACACUUUUAAGGCUACUAACUGCUUCUCUAUAAGUGGAAGGAAUAUUAUCAUCUACAAUUAGAAGUGCAUAAUCUAUCAUAUCUACAAAUCCAAAAGGUCUAUGAAUCUCUCUUCAUGGCCUUCUACAUUCAAUUGAAUCUUGUUUCUGUGAAGAUUCCUGGGUUAGAACCUCUUCUUCAUCCUCGAUCGAUGGAUAAUCACCAUUUGUUUUCUCAAUACCAACUAGAUCAUCUUUAACCUUUUCAAAUUUUACCUACUACGAAGUAUGACUACCUUUGCCAUCAUUUUGUUUCAACAUUCUUGAUUAAUCAAAAGUUACAUCUUUACUAAAAAAAAUCUUUUUGUAAUAGGAUACUAGAAAUAGUAUUCUUUAACUCCACCAGUUAUACCCAUGAAUAGCUUCUUUUGUUUUUGGGUCUAACUCAUAUUCUUUUAUAUGAUAAUAAGUAGUGGAACUAAAAAUAUGUAAAGAAUCAUAACCAAUGACACAACUUAAAAGUAAUUUUUAACUCCCAAGUAUAAGAGUGUCUUGUUGUAUUAUAACUCGGUGAGUCCGAAGUCGAUCCACAGAGAAAAUAUUUAAUUUGUUUAUUUUAUUUUAACUAAAAAUUGAAAUUUAAACUUGAAUAUAAACAACUUAAUUUAAAUGAAACUAUGAAAUUGAACUAGUUAAGGUUGUGGAUCCACUCUUAGUAGUAAAUAAAACUUAACAAAUUCUUUUUGCCUUUUUUUUUAGAUUUAUUGCCCAAAAGAUUAAUUAUAUAAAUUAUUAUUAUUUUCCCUUUAAUUUUAUGAUGGAUUAAGUAUUUAUUGUGCCAAAUUUAAUUUGUCUACAAUAAGUCAAAAUACCAUUUUACCAUACCUUAUAUUAAGAUAUUAAGAAUUUAUUAUGCCAAAUUCAUUUGUUUGUCUACAAUAAAUCAAAAUUUCAAAAUAUAAAAUAUGUAUAAAAUUAAAUAGAAAAUAAUUUAAUUUAUAAAAUUAAAAAUAGAAUUUGAUUAAAUCAUAUUUAUUUCCUAAGAGUUUCACCUUCCCCUAACUAAUAUUAUUUAGUUGAGCAUAAUUGAAAUAAAAAGAAAUAUUAAAAUUGAAUUACUUAUAAUUAAAAGUAAUAAAAACAACUAAAAUUGAAAAUAAAACUAAUUUUAUUUAUAAAAUAAUUAUACAAAAUAUUAAAAACACACCUGAAAAUCAAGAUCACAGGGAGAUGGAGAGAAUUUGAGAAGAAGAGAGUUGUAGAGAGAUGAUUAAAAACAUAAAAUGAGGCUCUUUUUGUAGAAAAAUAAAUUCAUAAUCCAGUGUGUUGCGGUCCAUCAUAACCUUCAUGUAUGUGCUCCUCACAACCUUUAGAUCAAGAUCCAAUGGUUGGUCAAACUUCAAAAGUCAACAUCACACGUGGCAUCGUUUGACUCGUCCAAUUUGCCCAAAGAACGGUUGAGAUUUGGCGGGUUAAUGGGUGGAUCGGGUCGACCCAAAUACAAAGAUUUAGAUCCUACAACUUGCUUCACCAACCAUUGCCACAUGGCACAAUUAUGGCCAUUGAAUCAUGAACGGUUGAGAUUUAGUCAAAAUUGCCAACUAUCCCAUGCACUCAUAUCUAUUGUAAGCUCAUUUUAUCAUCCAAUCAGUGCCCGGUCAACAGAAAAAGUCAACUCUUUUUACACAUGCCCAAUUUUAAGUCGAUCUUGAUUGAUCUUAAGGUUUUCGGACCUCCGAAAUCUAAAUUUGACCUUCGUUUAUCUGUUUGGAGCCUCGAAUUACGUGAAAUUAAUAUUUUACCUAAUAAACACACAACAAUACACAAAAUUAGAUAUAUUUAAAACAUAAUUAAUAAUUCCUAAUAUAUUGCAUAAACACAAAUAUAAAUUAUAACAUAAGCACAAAAUAAUAUUAUUAUUGCUUGAUAAUUAGACAAUUUUUAAUACUAAUCAAUCAGUAGCAGGUUUACCACUCCACAUCUCUAUAGGUGUUUUGCCCUAAAUUGCAGCCGAUGGCAAAAAAAUUGAUCAAAUGACGCGCAUAUACAAUUGCCUCAACCUAAAAUUCCUUGCCCAAUCUAACAUUAGACAACGUGCACCAAACUUUCUCCAGUAUAAUCCGAUUCAUGCAUUCUCCCACCCUAUUUUACUAUGGUGUAUCUCGAACAAUGAAGUAUCUCAUAAUAACCUCAAUUAGGCAUACUUGUAAAAAUGGAUUAUUCAUGUACCACCACUAUUGUCUGAGCGAAUUCUUUUGACCUUUCAACUAGUCUAAGUCUCGACCAUCUUCUUUCAUUUUAGAAAUAUGCAUAAAGCUUUAUUCUUGUUCUUCGUUAAUUUCACACAUACGUUUCUUGAAUUAUCAUUAUCAAGAGUAACAAAAUAGUGCAUACCUCCUAAAGAAGCUAUUGAGAUAGGUCCCCAAACAUCAUUGUGAACAUAGUUCAGAAUUCCUUUUGUACGGUGAAUUUUUUAGCCAAAAAUUUACCGGUGUUUGCUUACCCAGAACACAAUGCUCACGAAAUUUUAAUUUACAAGAAUUCGCACCUUUCAAUAAGCCUUGCUUUACUAAAGUAUGCAAAGCUUUUUCACCAGUAUGUCCAAAUGCAUUUGCCAUAACUAGGUUACUUCUAAAUCUACAUCUUUUCCAAACAUUAUUAACAUGGAUCCAAUAACUGUACUUGCUUAGAAAUAGUACAAAUUAUUUCUUUUUGUGCCUUUUAUCACCAUCAGUGCCUAAGCUACUACUUUUAAAAAUCCAUCUCUCAGAGUGAUUGUAAGCCUUUUGGAUUUUAGGACUCCUAACGAGAUGAGAUUUUUCUUCAAACUUGGCAUGUAGCGAGCAUCUACCAAGACUUAGAUUGAGCCAUCAUGAUUCUUUAAUUGGAUUGAACCAAUUCCCAUGGGUUUACAGACAUUGUCAUUACUUGUAAAAACAACUCCACUAUCCAGCUCUUUAAAGCUAGAAAGCCAGCCUUUGUUAAGACACACAUGAUAAGUACAACCCAAAUCCAAAAUAUAUUCAUCUAUGUGACUUGUUAAUCUUAUGCCAAACAAAUUAAAGUAUGACUCUUUAUCAUGCUUUACUACACGUGCAUUAGAAAUAGCUUUGCCCUUUCAUAACUUAGGACAAUUCUUUUUCUAAUGCCCUUUCUAGGGAUAAAAAAACACAUUCAUCUUUGGCAGGCCUCCCUUUAGAUUUGCUCCUUUUUCCAAGUUUACAGAUUUGUGAAUGACAUCUCAUUGUCAAUGCUUCUGUAAUGUCUUUCUUUCUGAUCUUAGAGUUAUAUAAUGUACUGCAUAUAGCAACAAAUGUGACAUUGUCCUUCUUAAAAAGUAAAGUGGUGAUGAGAUGACCAUAUUCAUCUGGAAGAGAAUUCAAUAACAACAAUUCUUUAUCUUAAUCUUCAAAUUUCUCAUCCAAAUGUAAUAAAUCCACCAAUAUCUUAUUGAAUAAGUUCACAUAGUCAUUCGUUGACAGCCCAAGUGCAUAUAAAAAUCGAUAAAGUUUUUUUUCUUCAUACAAAGCCUAUUUUCAAGGCUUUUUUCAUGUACUUUUCUUCCAGUGUCUUCUGUAAUUUCUUUACUAAUGUCUCCCUCAUGAAAGAGUAUUUUUUUAUUUUUACCUAAAUAUCAACAAACAAUAACACAUGCAUGUUUAUUUAUCUUUAUUAAAUCCUUAUCAUCCAUCUUGUCAGGCUUUUCUUCAGGGAUAAAAUCCAACUCUUGCUAACAUAAGACAUCCAACACCUUAAAUCGCCGCAUACCAAAGUUAUUGGUACCGUUAAAUUUCUCCACUUCAAAUUUCGCAUUAGUCAUAGCAGUCCUUGCUGAUUAAGACGACAGUAAUGCCUUUGCCAUCUUUCUUAACCCAAAUAACCAAUGCCUUCAACAACAACUACUUACAGUUGAAAGAACAGCCUCUAUGAUAUUAAUUCAAGUGAAUAAAUGCGCCAAGAAAGUUUUCAGGAGAAUAGAGGGGUCACAAAGGUCCCACUUAAAAGUCAAACUCCUUAAAUUCUUAUUAUCUUAUUGACAAACCUUUCCUAGACAGCAUAAAUUCACAUUAAUUACAACAAACAAUCUCCCAAGUACAAAUGGUCAUCUUCACAGUAUGUGUGAACAGUACCAUAUACGUCAACAGUAUUGAAUACGUAAAUAGCACCGUAUACCCAAGUAUGAGCCUCUGCUAUGAUACUAAUUAUUGCGAAAGCGCGGGUUGAGCAAUUAUCAAUAUUAUGGUGACUGUGACUUUUGGAAAAAAAACAUAAAUAUAAUGAUAAAUAACUACAAAGAAAAGAUGAAACAAUAAUUUAUGUGGUUCGGCUUAAAACUUAUGUCCACGGGUAAAGACUAUAAGAUAAUUUCAUUAAUAAAUGGAAAUUUACAAAACUGUGAAAAACAAACAAAAAAAAACCCCAAAUCACCAAUUGUAUCCUCACUAGAACACUUAAGUAAAAGCUCUCUCAAAUCACUCAAAUUGCUUCACUUACUAUUAUUCUCAAAUGUAGGAUGUGUAAGAAAUGAAGAAUUGUCCUUCUAUUUAUAGGGAGCAUUGCUCACCUACCACAAGUUUCAAUUUGGCUUCAAUUUGCCAAAUUGGCAAAUUGUACUCAAUUUUGGUUAGCACCAAGUUUGAUUUUUCAGCACUUUGCAUUUGGUGCCCACAAAAUUUGAUUUCAUUUUUUCAACUGUAAUUAAGGGCAAAACACCCAUGGAGAUGUAGACUAGUAAACCUACUAAUGAUUAUGAUUCUUUACAUGUUUUUGGUUCUACUACUUAUUAUCAUAAAGCAUUGUUCAUGGGUAUAAUUGGUUGAAUAAAAGAAUAUUGUCUCUAGUGUCCUGUUACAAAGAAUAUUAUUUUUAGUAGAGAUGUGACUUUUGAUGAAUUAGUCAUAUUGAAACAAAAAUAUUCACAAAAGUUGAGCAUUGUCUAAACUUAAUCAAUAUCCUACAAGUAUGAAAGCAGCCGGAGAAGGCAAAGACUGGAGGAUGACUUGUUGAUAAUCAGCUCAGAUUUAAAAAAUUUUCGACGAGGUGGAGAAUUGUUGAAAAAUCAAACUUUACUUUGUGGGCAUCGAAUUCAAUGCCCAUCAAAGUUGAAUUUUUUAUUAUUUCAAAAUUAAAUUUUCCAAUUUGACAAAUUGGUCAAAUUGAAUGCAAUGGUAGGUAAGCAAUGCCUAUAAAUAGAGAAGAGAGGUUAAAGCUUGAUGAUCCUAAAAUUGAGAGAAUUGAGAACAAUUGCAAGUGAAGCAAUUUUGAGAGAGCUUCUACUUGAGUGCUAGGAGGAUUCAAUUGGAUGUAUUGGGGUUAUAAAUAUUGAGAGUUUUUCCAAUUUUUGUAAAGUCUCAUUAUUAGUAAAAUUAUUUUCUAGUCUUUGCCCGUAGAAAUAUGAAUUAUGCCGAACCACGUAAAUUAUUGUGUCUUAUUAUCUUUGCAUUUGUUUAUCACCACAUUUAUAUUUCUCCAAAAGUCGCAGUUACCAAAAUAUUAGAAUUGCUCAACUCGCACUUAUGCAACAGUAUCGACAUGUGGCACUUUGUCGCUAGGCCUUCUACUUUGUCCCCCAAACAAUUGAUAACAUUAUUAAUAAAGAAAAAGACGAAACUUAUUAUGCUUCAGUUUCCCAUAAGUUUCAGGUCUUUUUAAUCAUACAUAUUCCAUAAUCAUCUCUUGGUUAAGUGGUUCUCACCGCACUUCUCCUAUCCAAUCUAUAUCUACCACAUUGUCAACGCCAACUUAUAGCUUAUAAGGAAAGUAAAAAUUGACAAACCAAUGAGAAUCAAAAUAUUAUUCAAGGCAAACAAUCGAUCAAAUUCACUACAAGAAAAUAGGCAAUAGAUGACGGAAAAUAACUGUCAUAAAAGAGGGUGCAUGACAGACAGUUUAUAUGUCAUCUAUAUCACUGUCAUUAAUUUAUGACAGAAUAUUUUCCGUCAUUAAUUUAUGAUGGCUUUUCACAGUCAUAUAUCUGUCACACAAUAUUUUAAUAUAAAAAAUAAUUAAAUAAAAUUUAAAUUUAUUUACGCGCUUUUUAAAAAAAAUUUGGCAAAAAAUUGAAUUAUCAUUUGUAAAUUUAUUAUUCAAUUUUAGCAGUAAUUUAAUUAUUUAUGACAGAAUGUAUGAUGGCUAUUUCCCGUCAUAAAGUUUUCAUUUUUUUAAAAAAAUAUAUAUAUAUAUUACAAUUACAAUUUAUUGAUGAAUUCCUAUUUAAUAUCAUUAGAAAAACCAAAAAAAAUAAUAUUAAUUAACAUCCAUUCAAUCCAACAAACUAAUUUCAAAAUAAAUACAUCUAAUAUUCAAUGAGAUCACCAUUAAUAAAUAAUAAAAUAUCCCAAAUUGAGAAAAUCAUCCCAAAGUAUUAAAAAAAAAGUUAAAUUAUAAUCAACCUCCAAGAAAAGCAAUUAAAAUUACAACCACAAAGCCAAGUUACUUAACAAAACUUCUAAAGAUUAAUUCAAGUAUUCCAACAACAGGACUUGCAGUAAAACUUCCAACAGCAAUCCAAUCUUCUAAGAGCACUCUAAUUCCAGCCACAUGCCCUGCAACACUCCAACUAUUAGUCCAACUCAUAUGCAGCAACCCAACAUCUUCCAACAGCACUCUAAUUCCAACCACGUAUAUAGAAACACUCCAACCUAUAUCCAGUGACCCAAUCUAUGUAGAAUCAAUCAAAAUACCUAAUGUUAUCAAAUGCAUAACAUCUACACUACAAUCCUUAAGAACAACCACUAUAGUUUGAUACCACAACUUUAAUUUUGACAAAUUGUAACAACUAAUAACAAGGUGCAUCUAUAGUUUUACACUCAUACCAACCAUUUUGCUGAAGCAACAAGGAUGUCAAAAAAAUGGUUAGCCGACUCCAAAGGAACCUCAUCAAGUUCAUCCUAAGUGUAUGCUUUCUUUCCAUUAGAGUGUUAAUCACAAGAUUAAUACUGUCAAACUUUAAAAAUAAUGCCACAGAUAUGGAAUAAAACAAAGUUAAGAUAUAUCAUCAUCAACUUACAUUGUUCAUUAACAAACAAAGAUGUAUAUACUGCACAAGAAGUUUAAACAUUGACCUGCUUUCAUGCUUUUGUUCUUCAGGCUCAAAUGUAUAGAAUUCGGCAGAACUCCUUCCAAUUUGUUAGUUUAUAUCCCAAAAGCAAUAAACACGUGAUUAGCUAUAAAAUUGGAAGGAGCACCACCAUUGUCUACAACUAGAAAUGCAUAAGCCACCAUAUCAACUAAGAGCAAAGAAAGCAUUGUUCAUGGGUAUAACUGGUGGAGUAAAAGGAUAUUGUUUCUAGUUUCCGAUUACAAAUAAUAUUAUUUUUAGUAGUGAUGUGACUUUUGAUGAAUCAGUCAUGUUGAAACAAAAAUAUUAACAAAAGGAUGACAAAACCAAUAGUACUUUGCAGCAGAUGGAGUUUGAAAAGAUUAAAGAUAAUCCAGCUAGUGUUGAGGAAACAAAUAGUGAUUCUUCAUCAACCGAGGAUAAAGAAGAGGUUCUGACCCAGGAACUUUCAUAGCAACAAGAUUCAAUUGCAUAUAGAAGGGGACAAAGAGAGAUUCUAGAUCUGUUUACUUUGUUGAUAUGGUGGCUUAUGCAUUUCUAGUUGAAGAAAAUGAUGGUGUUCAUUCCACUUAUAGAGAAGUAAUAAGUAGCCUGAAAGAAUACAUUAGAAGCUAGCAAUUGAUGAAGAAAUGCAAUCUCUUCAUAAAAAUGGAACUUAGGAGUUAGUUACAAUGCCCAAGGAAAAUAAGGCAAUUGGGUGCAAAUUGGUAUAUGCAAAUAAAGAAGGAUUUCCUCAUAAGAAUGAAAUUUGAUACAAGGCUAGAUUGAUAUCAAAAAGCUAUGUUCAGAAAGAAGGAAUAGACUACAAUGGGGUAUUGUCUCCAAAUGUGAAACACUUGUCUAUUCAAAUUUUGUUAACCAUGGUUGCGCAAUUUAAUCUUGAAUUAGUUCAGCGUGAUGUAAAAAUUGUAUCUUUACAUGGUGAUUUCGAAGAGGAAAUGUACAUGACUCAACCAAAUAGAUUCAAGAUUACUAGAAAAGAAAAUUUGGGUUUGCAAAUUGACAAAGUCGCUUUAUGGAUUGAAACAAUCUCUGAAGUGAAGAAUUGUUGAAAAGUCAACACCGAAGCCAACUUUGUUGAACAUUUGCAUAUGGUUAGAAACUUUUGACUGCAUUUGCAUGUGCUACCAUGAAAUUUCCUACUCUUCAACAAAGUUAGCACCAAAGCCAUUAAAAUUGAAAGAUGGCCAAGAUUUUUUUCCAAGUAUUCAUAAUGUAAGCUUCGCCUAUAAAUAGAGAAGUAGAAUCCAUUUGUAAUCCAUCCUAAUAUCCCAAGUUUGAGAGCAAUUGCAAAUGAAGCAACUUGAGAGAUUUGAGAGAGCUUCUACUUGAGUGUUCUAGUGAGGAUAUAAAUGGGUGUAUUGAGGUUGUGGAUUUUCAGAGAUUUUCCUAAACUUGGUAAAUUCUCAUUUAUUAGUAAAAUUAUCUUUCAGUCUUUGUCCGUGUAUGUAAGUUUUAAUUUGAACCACGUAAAUUGUUGUGUCCGAUUUUCUUUGUAUUUAUUUGUCACCACAUUUACAUUUCCCUAAAAGUCGCAGUCAUCGUAAUAUUGAUAAUUACUUAAGCCGCGCUUCCACAACAACUGGAAGUCCUAUAAUUUUAUAUUAUGUUAGAUUAGAUAAAUUCUUUAUUGUCAAAGGGUUGAAGCUACUAUAUAUAUGUCAAUUGUAAGACUAAUUAAGAUCAUUAAGAAAUAAAAUAAAUAAUUUUUUUUGUCUUCUCUAUAAGUAUUCUGUUUUCUUCUCUAUUUUUCUUGUAUGUAUAAAACCGAAUCAGGCAAAUAACCAACGUUACUAUGAAAUAUUAUAAUUGGAUAAGUCAUAUGAAUCGGAAUUGAGCAAGUGUAGGUAACUACUUGGAAAUAAUUAUAAUAGAGUUCUAUGAUGAAGAAAGGACGAAAGAUUUAGAAAGUGUUUUUGAUAAGUUGAGGUGAGCAUAUCGAAUACAAAAAUUAGUUUUCAAUAGAAUAAUGAAAAGUUAUUUAAUUACAUAUAUUCCAUUUGUUUUAUCUAGACUUUAACAUUUGUUUUGUUAUUUUCGCAAUGACUUUAGCAUUUAGGUGCAAAAAGAAGGCUCUGUGUUUUAGUUAUUUCCUUCUGCACUUCUACUUCAAACGCUUUUUCUUUUCUUUCAUAUCUUAAUGAAUUGUAACAAUUUUGCUUGAUUGGACAAAGGUGAUUUGUUGUAAUUAAAGCUUUAUUAUUGAUUUUUUUUUUCAAGUGUACUGUUUUUAUUGGAUGGGGCAUGUGACGGAUAAAUAUAAAAAAGAAUUUAAAAAAAAAUAGUAAUAAAUCCAAGGCAGUUUCACUCUAACAAAUAGAAUGCAUUAUUUUAAUUAUAACAGGAGAGCAGUUGUUGCUGUUAAACUGACCAUCAAUAGUAAAAGUCUUUUGUCAUGUACUUCUUUUAACGGCAAUGUUUACGGCAUUAAAUCUAUGUCAUAAAAACUAAAUGACUUUCCACGGUUCAUGAAUCAACAUCGCACCCAUUUAUGUGUCAACAUAACUAUUUGACGGCAUUUUUUUUUUUUUUUUUGCCGUUAAAAGUCGUUUUUGUUGUAGUAACAUGACAGUGAUUAAGAUGUUGCCUGGGCAAUUUGAUCAUUUGAUCAUACCAACCGCACGGCCUAUGAUUCCUUGCUUCGUCCAACUUCAUUAAUUUUUCUUUAAAAAAAUCAAAUUUAUGAAUUUUUAUGUAUGUUAAAGUUUUGUUACAAUAAUUAACCACAUUUACUUGGGGCGGGCAGAAUUCUCAUGCCAACCACACCGCCUAUGAUUCCCUGCUUCGUCCAACUUCAUUAAUUUUUUUAAACAAAUUAAAUUUAUGAAUUUGUAUGCAUGUUAAAUUUUUGUUAUAAUAAUUAGCUACAUUUACUCGGGGCGGGCAGAAUUCACUCAUAUUUCUUGGGUGGGCAAUAUAAUAUUACCAUGAAUUUUUGGUUAAUCAGAUCCUAAUCCUCAUGGAGAAAAAAAAUUCAGGAAAAUCUUCUUGAAAAUGUGGUUGUAUCAUAAAAAGAAUGUGGCGGCCGGACGGGCUAUAAAAUAAAUAAGUAGUGCAUCAUUAAAGUUAGAGGUUCACAAGGGAAAAUGCUCUGCACGAUUUUAAUUGCGCUAGAUUUCCCAAAUUGCAGAGGAUUAAUUAUUAAUGCUAUUGAUAAAGAAGGGCAAGUAAAGUUGGAGGCAAACUCCUAUUGGCUUGUUAUUAAAGAUUAUUUUAGUCCUGUUAGGAAUAAGAAACACACACACACACACUAUGUAUAUAAUAAUAAAAUAAGAAGUAUAUAUACAUAUAGGCCUCAGUUUAAUUAAUUUGUCUCGUUUUAUUAUUAUUCAGCGGCUAUGGGCAGCAACUCAGAGCUUCAUGUCGUUCUCACCACCAAGCUUUCCUUAGAUAGAAAGACAAUGUAUAUGAAAGUAAGUAAAUUAAUUAUCUUUUUCCUUUUUUAUUAAAAAAGAAUUUAAAAUUACUAUUUGCAUCUGCAUAUAUGCGUGUAUGCAGUUGAUUUUGUUGGAUUAUUUUCCUGUGCUGUUGCUAUUCUGUUGGUGGUUCGUCAUGUAUGGCGUCGACGCCCCUCUCAUUACUUUGACGGCCGAAACAUGCUCCAUGGCACUAAUAUUGACAGUUUGUUUGAGGUACGGUGGAGGUGUCUAUUCAAAUAUUUUAAAAAGGUACGUAAAAGAUCUAAUUAUAUAUGGUAAUUAUUGAGGUUUUGGUAUGAGAAGGAGAUUAAUUUGAUAAUGUUAUUUCUUUUAAUUUAUUUAAUUAUGUUUUGUAUAUUGUGUUUCAGGAGGCAGAUUUGGAGAAUAUCAUUCAAUUUACUGAAACCCUACAUUAUUGUCAGGUAUAUAUCUAUUAUUAAUAAUAUUACAUAUAUAUAAUCAGUGUCGUCAGCUUCCAAUCUGGUAAACUCAAAUUUUAUUAAAAUUCGUUAUUAGUAGAUCAAAAUACAAUCGAGAUUCAUAGAUCGGAAAAUUUUUGAUAUAAUAAUAAUGUAUGUUGUUAGUUAAUUGCAUAUUGUUUAAUAAAUAAAUUAACCAGUUGCAGUUAGCUAAUGAACGAACGAAAGAACUAAAAUUAAUUAAUUUUUGUUUUACAGAUAAUGUAUGAUCACCAUCAGGCGACACCAAAAUCUUUCAUGUUGUCAUCCCUCGUAUUCCUAAAUUUUGCGGGUUUUCUAAAUGCGGCCGUCCUCUACAUAGCACCACUGGUAUUGUUUCUCGAACCGCAAGGAGACGGCUUUUACUAUUUAAUGUGUUAUGUUCUGUCGGGCUUCUCAUGUCUCCAAAUAAGUUUUAUACAGCCGCUGCUACUAAAUUGCGAUGCUGAUAGCUUCAAGUUUAUUAGGAGCCAACCCCUCGUUUUCUCGGAAACCACAACCGCUGCUGCUACUACAGCAAAAGAACCAGCUGAGAGCUCAGGCUCAGACGAAAUUGUGUGACUUCUUUCUUUAUAAAAUUAUUUAACUUAAUUUUUUCUUAUUUAAUAAUCAAUUACUCAUUUGCAAUUAUUUAUUUUUAUUUUAUAACAAGGUCCUAGAGCGAUACAUACAUACAUACAUAUGUAAAUAUAUAUCUGUGUGUGUGCGUGUACUUAUAACAAUUGAAGAUCAGCUCGUUAAUUAUGUCACUAGCUAGCAGUUGAAAUCUUGUUAUUAUAUAUAGUUGCAUGGUUAACGCAAUCAAUUAUUGCGGUAAGCACAACUAAUUCUUAUUCAUUCCUUGCAAAUAAAGGAAUUGGCCUCAGAUGAUAUAAUGUUUAGUGGUAAAUUUCUACUAAUAUUUCUUCCCAGUUUUACUUUACUUCAAUUCCUGCCUGAUCAGUUGCUUGAUAUCAAUUAUCACUUCCUGCCUGAAUUGGCCUCAGAUGGAGGUUGAAUCCAGAAUUUAUCGAGUCAUCGUGAAACUUAAUUUCCAAUCAUAAAAUUCUGAAAUCUCCGAGCAUUGACUUGUAAAUAUCUGGUAGCAUCCCGGAGAAUGUAUGGUAGCAUAAUCUUCCUCUUCCUAUUCCACUUGAAAGUGCAAUGAGUAAUGAUGACCUAAAUAAUUAAACUUUUUACUUGAUCAGGACUGAAAGCAAUAUCAAAUUCCUAUAAACUUGAUCAAGCCUCGAAAAUUAUACUAUCAGCUUACCCUGAAUAUAGUUAUUAAAAUUGGAUUCCAUUUUCGUUGCAACCUUUGGGCAAUGGCAAUCCACAAAGAAAAGGAUUUCCCUCGUGCGUUUGAAAAUUAUUUGUUUGCAAAUUGUGCAGUCCACUAUGGGGUUAGCCUCAAAAGUUAUAGUGUGCACACUGAAAACAACUAAAUGUGUUUAAAUCCACUAGUUGACGAGGGAUUUCCCAUUCAGUUUGUUGUGUGAAAGUGUUGAAAUAUAUAAUCUUGUGAGUAGAACAGAACUAAAAUGCAACUAAACUAUACAGCUAAAUUACAACAAAUACAGUAACUAAAUAGAAGCUGUAAACAAUAUAAAAUUGUAGAACACCCAAGGCUUGUACUAGACAGUUUUCUUAAAAUACAUUCGCCAUCUAUUGUUCGGUGACCACAUUUGUUUCCUAAAAUACAACGGGUAUGAAAUAAUUUUGGCACAUCAACAAAUCUAUUCCGAGGACAUCCGAAGUGCUUAAACUGUUUGCCAAAGAAAAUGACAAGGGAGGAAAAAUCUUUUACAAUUUAGUAAUUAAAAGCAUGUAUAACUGUUAGCCAUUAUUUGUUUGAUUAAAUGGCAUAAUCACUGUUUUGAAUUUAAAUUCACGCUUAAUCAGCAAAUCAAUUAAAAAUAAUAAUCCUUGCAGUUAAACAUUAAAGAAAAUUGAAUAAAAAUUGUAAAACACAACUAAGAUGAGCUUGGCACUUUUUGGGCUGACAUUUGUCUACACAGAAUGCGACUACAUACAAAUCAAGCUGAUGUUCAUGUAUGUAGAAUGUGAGCGCACACGAAUCAAGCUAACCAGGCUGCGACUUGCACCCCACUGCGUGAGCACAUGCAAGAGGGAAUCUUUGUGCUUAUAUUCUUAAUCAAAUAGACAUGAGUAAUCAUAUAUAACCUUUCAUACCUUAACUUUCUCCCAUGUAAGACAAGUGCAUUUUUUCUUUAAUUUUUCCAACUCCAUGGUUGUACGUUGAGUAACAAUUUCUCAUUCACUCGAAUAUCAUUUUGAUCAUAUAACUAUACUAUUUUGAAGUACCUGCGAAGGAGCAUUUGAAUCGCCCUAGACCUUUACUUUCACUAAGGUCCCACUCAAAAUCAUGCCUCAAAAUAGCGACUGGUACGCUAUUUUUCAACAGAAAAAUCCAAACUUUUCGAUUUACUUCAAGUUUGAAAAUAUUGAAGGGAUUGAGACAGUCAGUUGUUGUGUGACAGAUUUAAUAUUUGAAUCCUAGUCAAAUUUCCAAUUUGAGGAGGAAUCUCAAUGAUUAGCUUGUUACAAGAAAGAUUGAGUCCUAACGGGAAGCGAUCCACUAUUUCUUCAUAACUAUAUCCCUAUCACUAGAGAGGAGAGAACAUUCACCAUCGAUCAGGGUUUUGGCAUGUGACAACAUCUAUUAAUGAUUAUUGAGGAAGACAAGAGCAUUUUACAAUGAGCUUUGCAGAGAGACGUAAUGAUUAUUGAGCCAUAUUUAUCAAUCCCAUUUAUCUCCCCACCACACGCACCGCCAACCCCCCCCCCCCCCCCCCCAAAAAAAAGCAAAUUUAAAAUAACAGGGCACUCUAGUUAGGUCACAAGUUUGAAGUUUUGAUUAUGAAUUUUUUAACCCAAGAUAAUGAUUAAAAGUAAUAUUGUAGAUACCUAAUUUGAACUAUAUCUAAAAG